AAUAAAAUAAAAAUAUUGAAUAAAAUAUUUAAUUUUCUCAUAAAACAAUAUUUUUAGAACAUUGCAUAAAUAAUUUUUAUAGCGUAAAAGCAAAAUAAAUUCAUAUAUAUUGUAAUACAGUAAGCCAGAGUAUUUAAUUUAAUUUAUAGUAACAAGUGGGCCCUCGAAUAACCAAAAGUAAGAAAGAUUGUGAACCUAUAGUUUGGAGGAUGCAAAUCCAAUGGUGGUCCUCGAUGAAAUCAGCUAUCUAUAGACUAUCUUGAGCCUGAAAUGGGUGGAAAGGAGGGUGGUGAGAUUAUAUAAUCCCAGUGAGUAAACAAAUACCAUCUAAAAUAUCUAAAGCCGAGUAAAUAGAGACAGAUAAAAUAGAUUAGCAUACUGUAAUUCAUCACCUUUUAACUUGUUUCAACCAAAUAAAAUCAAUUCAUAUAAAUCGAGUAAUCAACAUGGCUUAUGAAUUUCUUAAAACUUUGGCUCGUGCCAAAAUCAUUUUCAUACCCAAUUAUCAGGGAUACCUUGAUCGAGGGCUAUCCCAACCGAGUCCGCCAAGGCUAAUAAAAAGUUAUAUACGCAUAAAUCUUGUUUUUAUUUUGAAAACAUAGUCAUUCCUUGACGUUGGCUGAGUUCACCCUCACGUGGUGGUUUGGCGUGAAGUGAACUCUAAAGUGUUAACCUUAGGAGUUAUCCAUCCACGCCUCUCAUACUGAGGUAUAAAUAUAAUAGGGUUACCGUGCCCUUCUAAUAGGCUGGUCCACAGAACCCGUCCACUGCAGCGACUAAUUUAUAACCCACCAUACAACAAAAAUUCAAUAGCAUGACAUGAUAAUUAUUUUAUUUUACAGCCUCUCAAGGCAAAUUAACAGUUCAUACAUUCUCAACACAAAUACCAAUUCAGCCAUUCAUGCAAAUAUUAUCAUAAGCCAUUCAAUUCAAACCAUGAUUUAUAACACAACAAUUAGUCUCCAAUUACUCCAUUUUCAAAACCAUCGUUCAAUUUCAAGACAAUUUUAUAAAAUCAUUUCAUUUAAACACAUUUUGUUUAUAAAACCUAAAAAUUUACCAUUUAAACUUAUUUUCCAUAAAAUCACAAAAUCAGAUAAAAUCACUUUAGAUAAUUAAGAUGAUAGUAAGGUUACUCACUAUUUCGGGGAGUCGAAUUUUGAGUACUCCGAUUCUUGAUCCUCGAGUACUAUCUCUUUACUUUUGCCAGAAUGCUCACCACCUAGACAUAAUGCACAAUAAGCCAUUUACUACAUUUGUGCUAAAUUGUUAUAAAACCAAUUCAGGCUCUAUACUAAUGCAUGAAAUGGGAUGUGAAAUACUCGGGUAACUAUCUAAAUAUGGUGUUCCAUAUAAAUUCAAUUAUGUACCUAAAUAAAACGGUAUUGGCUUAAUUCGAUCUAUCACUUGAUUAAUUAGCCAAUACGUCCAAUUCAACUCUAAUUAACUCCAUUUUUCUUCCAAUUCUCCAAACCAUCAAACACAAGUUAAAUAACCUGAAAUAUGACAAAAUCAUUCUCACAUUUUCUCUUGGAAAAUUCGGCCAUGGUGGGUGCAUCAACACUAUAAUUUUUCCUACUUGAUUCUCACACCAUAAAUCACUAAUUCUUAACCAAAUCACUUAAAAUAAAAUCAAAAUCGUCCUCAAUAUUCCACAUGGAGAAUUCGGCCAAUGAUGGGUGAUGGAAGAACAUGAAUUUUUCUUGCUUGAUUUUCAUGCUACAAAUCACCAAUCGACUAAAAACACUAAAAUACAUUGAAAUCUAACCAAAUCAAGCAUCAAAACCUUUCUCUAAGUGUUCAGCCAGCAAGAUACCCAUCAUGAAAUCAUGUGAUUCAACCAUGGAAAAUGCAAAAGAAUGUAUGGGAAAGGUAGAUCACAAGCUAGAAUUGAAAAAUCUUACCUUUUGUCACUUGUUUUCUUGAAUUUUCACACUUUUCCCUUGAAUUUUUCCACCUAGGGUUUUUGUUCUUCUUGUCUUCCUUUGUUCUUCCUUUGGCCGACCAUAUGAAGAGAAAUAGGCUGAUUUUGUGCUAAUUUAUAAGGAAAAUAAUAAAUGAUUAAGAAUUUGACACAUGUCACCAUUCCAUUGGUCCAUGUGUCAUACUUACCCAUUAAGCAAUCUCUCUCCACCACUUAAAUUUUCUUAAUUAUCCAUGAUAAUAUUGGGUAAAAUCCAUGUGCUGAACAAGUGUUGGGUGGUGUAAAAUUACAAUUUUGCCCAUAGGGUGGCAAAAUGACUAUUUUACCCCUAUGCUAAAAAAAGGUCGAAAUUAAAAUUUUUCACUUCUCAAACUCAAAUUAUGUUCUAAAUAGUCAAUCUUGAUCAAAAACUUCUUCCAAUAUGCCAAUUUUAACCUCGAGUGGCAAAAUGACCAUUUUGCCCCUUGAUCAUGAAAAUUCUAAUUUGACUCCAAAUCGGUCUUCGAACUCUGAAUCAUCAUUUUAAGUCAUUCUGGGGUUUUAAAAUUCUCAAUUUCAUCUUAAAAUCUCUAUUUGAUCUAGUUCGAGGCUUAAUUCAACUUAAUUGUACCAUUUGGUAAAUUGCCGUCCUUUAACGAUUUUCAAGGUACCCAAGUAAGCAAACAUGCAUUCUUAUGUAAGAAUGGCAUAAUAAACAUAUUGUAGAGCUGGGCUUGAAAAAAGGUACCAAUCAAAGAAUUGAAACCAUUAGUAACACUUCUCAAACUAUAAUCAAGCAUGUUUUAUUUGUUGAAAGUCUAAAGCAUAACUUGUUAAGUAUUAGUCAACUUUGUGAUAGAGAAUUUAGAAUUUGCUUUAAUUGUCAUGUAUGCCAUGUGAUUGACAUUGACACUAACAAAGUUGUAUUCAUUGGCAUAAGAUUUGAAAAUGUUUAAGUGAUUUUUCUUGAUGAAAUUAUAUUCAAAAUGAGUUUUAUCUCAUGGCCAAUGAUGUGUGUGAUAGUUGGUUGUGGCAUAGAAGGCUAGGAUAUGCUAGCAUGAACACCUUUUCAAAGAUUUUAAGAAAAGAUUUGGUUAUUGAACUGUCAAAGAUUUUGUCAAGACCCAAAUUUAGAGAGCCGUGAUUGGCAUGCACGAGCCUUGCAAGCAAGCCCAUAGACUUGAGGAAGCCUUCAUAAUUAAGUCCUGUUAAACAUAUUUCAUAAUCAGAAGGCCCCAUGGCUAACAUCACUUCAUAACCACUUAAGUCCCUAAUAUUUAACAUUAGCCCUUCGGCUCGUAAUAAUAUUCAAGUCUUAAACUUAUCAUACACAUAGCCAUACAUUGAAUAACUCAUCAUCAUAUAUUUAUCAUUUCAUUACAUGACAUCAUACAGGGUGACAUAGUACCCACAUAAUCCAUUCUAAAACAUAACCUUUUUUAUACAUUGCAGAAGCACAAGACUUGCCUAUGACCUAGCAGAGUGACACUAUCAGCAGAUAGCAUACUACUUGCCAAAAUUGUGUGUUGGAUGAUGACAAUGCUAAGCUACCCGAUCUUUGGUGUCUAUUUAUUUUCACAUGUACCAUUAAAGUGGUGAGUCACACUAGUACUUAGUGAGCAGGAACAUAACAAUUGUAAAUGUGCAAGGAUGGUUGCUACACAUAUCCUCUAUUCAUGCAUGCAUAUCAUACAUCAUAAAACAUGUACAUAUAAGACAAGUCAAUCAUCACUCGUUGAUCAUAGUCUAACAUAGUCAUGGCAGCUGUACCACGCUGCAUAUCUCUAUUUAUGAUCAAACUAAGGCGGCGUAAUAAUCAUCUUCACCUUAUUCAUCCCAUAAUGACCAUCAAUAAAACUGUUUGUCAAACUCAUUCUAUCGUAUGAAUAGGCCCACCAUAUGGCUUUCUAUAUACGUGGUUAAGUAUACUUACCUCAUGGCGCUCACCUCGACGCUAAUCCAUAAGCUUCUCAAGCACACAACAUAUCAUGGACACAUGACAAUUUACAUAUGGCUCUUUCCUCAAGCCUUAGCAUAUAUCAUCAUUUUAUAGCAUAACACAUCAUGAUAUGCAUUUCAUUUCCUAUGGCAUGCCACUACAUAUUCGUAUCAUCAAAACAUAUCAUGGAGUGGCCCUUUCUGGACAUAACAUAGUCACGUAAGGUGGCCAACCGACAGAAAACAUACAAUUUACUAUCACACCCCAUUGCCACAGCAAGUGACAGAGUCAUGUCAUGCCCCAUUGUCGAAGCAAACGACGGAGUCAAUAAACAACACCCAAAAUAGUCGCAUCAGAUGGCAUCAUAUCACUAUAGGGGAGAAUUAUAGGCGGGACAAAACCACAAUUCAUAUUUACCACCAUCCUUGUAGGCAGCAUACAUCAUCAUUACACAGUAGGUGGGAAUCAUAGGUGGGACGAAACCACCAUCCCUGUGUGAGACCUCAACCUCUAUAGGCUCAUAACUAGGCAUAGACAUAAUAACAUGGGCCAAGGGUAGUUUCGUCAUUUCCUUAGUAAGCCCUUAAAAGUAAGUUUUAAAUAAUAUUAAGGCCUAAGUAGGCCUAAGGCAUAAAUGAAUGAUGAAAAUAUGGGUAAAAUAACGAAAGAAAUAAAAAUGAUGAUGAUUUCCACGAUAGGGGUAAAAUGGUCAUUUUUCACCUCGGGUCAAAAUUUUUAAGUUUUUGGGAACCCGAACAUUUCUAGACCAUUAUGGACCUUGUCCUAGUGUCAAAAGAGUAAAAAGAUUGUAUAAAGGAUUGGAGGAGAACAAGUUAACUUGUGAGGGCAUUUUGGUAAUUUAAGUGGAGUGGAUAAGUUUGGGCUCUAAAUAUCUCUUUCUUCCAGCAACUUCUUCUCCCAUUUUCCAGCAGCUUUUUCUUCUUCUUCCUUCUUCUUUUUCAUGUUGCUUUCAUCCUCCAUGGAAGCUUGAUAUGAAACCUCCAUAACCUCUCUCAAAAUAGCUCCAAUUUUCAAGCUUUUGUGCAUUUUUGCAUAGAACCCUUGUACUCUUUCACUCUCUCACUUUAAAACCCUUGAAAAAUAAUACUUCCAUACUUUUUCUCACUAGUUAGGUGCUUAGAGAGAGAGAGAGAGAGAGAGAGAGAGAUAGAGAGAGAGAGAGAGAGAGAACUCCCAUAAUAGCUUGGAAAAUUUUUGGAAAGAAUUUCAAAGUUACAAAGCUAUUAAGGUGAGUAGUAAAUUGGAGUUGAGUUUUAAGUGUUGAGAAUGUCUAGUAAUCAGAUUUGUGAGAGUUUAUUUGUUGGGAUUGUUAUUCAUUUAAGUGUGAUUAGAGUAUUGCAAACAAUAACCAUUUAAUGGUAUUUGGAAACUAGUUAAGAAUGACUUGUAAAACCUAAUUUAGAAAAUAUCUUUGGAAUAGUAUUAAUGCCAAGUUGGGUUAAUGGUGAUGUUAUUGUGCAUGAUAGGUCCCAACGAAGUCCCACAGCCUCAAUUGGACCAUUAGGAAAGUUAGAGUCGGCUAAAGGCUCAAUAAAAUACAGGUGAGUGAAUUUGCAUUUCAAAACUGUUUUGGGAAUGUGAAUCUAUUUGCACAAAACAUUGAUUGAUUUAUCCAACUUUUCUUAAAAACGUGUGCCUUAGGAACAAGCCCUUGAUAAAAUAUGUUGAUGUUGUGAAAAUGUGAAAUGUGUAAAAAGGACUGACCUAUGUGCUUCUAUACUGUGUUGAUAUAUAUAUAUAUAUAUGUAUAUGAAUAAUGUUGUGUAAUGAUAUUGACCCGGCUAUGUGCGAGUAGGAGUGUGCAUAAGCUGAUGCUUACUCGGCUACGUGUGAGUGGGAGUGUGCAUAAGCUGAUGCUGACUUGGCUAUGUGCGAGUAAGAGUGCGCAUAAGCCGAUGCUGACCCAGCCAUGUGCUAGUGGGAGUGCAUAUGAGCUGAUGAUGAUGGGAGGGUGUGCAUGAUGGUUGAUAUAUAUAUAUAUAUAUACAUAUAUAGAUAUGUGUGUUAUAGAAAGUUCAUGAGUAUGGUAUGUGGUAUUGUGCAUGUGAAUCUUGCAUGUUGAACUUUGGAAAUUUUAUGCGUUUCAUGUUGAUUUUUUGUCAUUUAAACAAGAUGGCUUUUUCUUGAAAGAAAGGAAACUUUUUCUUGGUGCUCUGUUUCUCGCUAUAGUGAGAUUUAAUCUCGCUACAGCGAGAAACUCUUGGGUUUGGAGGGGUAAUGCUGGCUAAAAUCUCACUACAGUGAGAAAGUUAUUGUAGCUUCUUGUUGCAGCGAGAAACUUUCUGUUUUAUGGCAGAAAUUUCAUUGCAGCGAGAAUGCCUUCUCGCUGUAGCGAAAAACUUUCUAUUUUGCUCUUUAUUUUGUUCGGUUGCUGCCUUAUUUUUCACUCCUUUGGUACCAUAGUUGAGCAUGGACUUCUAACAUUAAGGAAUUAAUUAGUUAAGUCUGAAAUGAGGAGGUUUGGUGAGAAACCCUCGGCUAGCUGAGAAACCUUCGGUCAGUUGAUAAAUUGAGCCAAAAUUUCGCUACAGCAGGAAGGCAUUCUCGCUGCAGUGACUUGACUUAAUUUGCAUAAAGGCUAUUAAAGUUUUCACUCUUCAAAUCAUUUGUUGAGCGUGGACCCUUUUUAUCAAGUGAUUUACUCACGUGGGGUUUACAUGAGGGGUUUUAAUAAGAAUGAAACUAAAUAGAAUUGUUUUGAAAAUAAAUGCAUCAUGAGUUCUUUAAACUUUCCUUCUCGUUUGCUUGUUCCCUUCUUAUGUUCACUCACUGAGUUUGUACUCACCGUUUUCAACUUUAUGUUUUCAGAUCAGGAGGCAGUCGAUAACUAGGUUGAGGUGUCCUCGUAGAUUCGACUCUUGGUAGGUGUCUCGGCAUUUAAUAGCUAUACUUUCGUUUGAGUCUUUCCAUUGGAAAUCGAGUUUCCUUUUUCAUAUGUAUAGACAAACCUGAUUUAAAUUAUUAAGAUACAUGUUGUAGACAAUAUAUGUAUAUUUGAUGGGUAAUGCCAGUACUAGUUGGCAAUGAUUAGCUUUAUUUUGAUUCGAACUUAUGAAAUGUGAUUUAGCAACUUUGACGAAAUGAUGAACAGGUCAUAUUAAUAUGCUUGCUUGGGCUUAGUGGACUAUGUCCAUUGGGCCCGCGCAAAGGUCACGGCUCAGAAUUUGGGUCGUGACACCCUGCUUACCACCAUCCUUACUGGAGGUAUACAUAGUCUCAAGGGAUUUGGACACACUCAAUCUUCCUAAUAUACAUCGUCCGGAAGUCCUCCACAGAUAAAACAUACUUAUUCUAUAUCAUAACAUUAUCCAAAAUCAUCUGCGGACGGUACAUACAUCAUGUCAUAUACCCACUUAAUCAUACUUAUCGCCACACUGUCAUGAGUCAUACAUAAUCAUGCUUAUUUCAUAAUAUUUUACUCAUAUCAUCAUCAUAUCACAUUCUAUAUUUAGCCUAGGAAUAGCCUUCUAGGUAUAUCAUACAUUUUUCAUAACAUCCACUAGUUUAGACAUAACAAUUAUAGAUGUAUUUGUCAUAUACAUAUUCAUUAUAACAUCAUAAUUUCCACGACAUUGGCUCAUAAUCACAUUGACAUCGUUGGCCUAGGCUUAGCCCUUCUAGGCAUAUCACAUUAUUCAUGAAUAUUUUCUAGUUUAGGAAUUCUACCUCUAGACGUACUUAUAGCUCAUACACAACAUACAUUAUGCAUUUUCAUUAUUGAAGCAUAUAUGUACCCUAGUCAUCAUGCUCCUUAUGCAUAAAAGUUUUGCCACUCACCUUGACAAUCUAGAGGUGUUCUUGAGUCAAGCUUCAAUCCUUAGCCUCCAAUCAUGUUUCAGCUCACAAACAAGUCAAAUAGCUCCAAAUUUCCUUUAAGCACAUCAAAACAUUACAAACUCAUUAAAUCCUGGCUUUCGAAGAAUGUCGACUUUUCUUAAAAUAGCCAAGUCCUUAGCAUAUUAACAAAUAAGCUCAAAUCCUUCAACAACGAGGUAACCCAUACCUUAGAAGUUGGGUUGUCUAAUUAUUUACCCUAAAUCUUCAGUCAACUCAAGAUAGUUGUGCGCGAUGUGGGGGUGCACACGAUGACUCCAGCUAUGUGCAGUGUGGGAGUGCACAUGAGCUGGGUGAGGCAGUGGUCGCAUACGUGUAUAUAUAUAUAUUUACUAUAUAGAGAGGUUUGGAAUUAAUAUGUGAUUACAUUAAUUGUUGAAACUUGAUUAUUGUCAAAUGUGUUUAAACUAAUUUUCGUUGCAACAGGAUGAAUUUUUAAUGCAGCAAAACCCCCCCUUAAUUUUAUUAGCCCUAAUUCUCGCUGCAGCGAAAAUGAAUCUCGCUGUAGCGAGAAACUCUCGGGUGGUUCACUAAAUCUGUGCUCUGAAUUUCGCUGCAGCGAGAAACUCUCUGUGAAACCUUAACCCUCAUAGACGCAUAACUCGAGGUGGAACUUAUGUUUAAAGGUUUAAUUUGAGCUAAUGAUGCUAGUUUUACAUUACUUAUAAUUAUUUUAUGUCGUUAUAGGAGUACGAUUCAGAAAUAAUUUCAAUUGGUGAAGAAAGGUGUAUAAUGGGCUGUUGUUCUAUUUGCAUAUGUUUCGGUUUGUCAAGCAUAUCUCCCACUACAAAAGUUCAAAUGACAUUAUUUUUGAACCAUUAGAAAGCUAAAAGGUAGGGCUACAACUUUGAUGUUUACCACUUUGCCUAGUUUUGACAGAAAGGUGGUCAAAAUCUUUGUUAAAGUGAAAAUACUAUGCUAGAAGAAUAGAUUUGGACAGAACAUUUGAGUGUCGCGACGUUGGAAAUUGAGAGCAGCGGCCCGCAUCGUAAUUUCCAUAAAUAACAAGUUUAGGGGAUUUUUGAAGCUAGGACUUUUUGGGGCUACUUAAGGGACCUUUUUCAAAGGAUUUUGGACCUUUUCCAGUGUCAAAAGAGUAAAAGAUUGCACAAGAAAAGGAGGAAGACAAGUGGCCUUGUUAAGGGCAUUAUUGUAAUUGCAUGAAGAUUUAGAUAAGCUUUAACUAUAAAAAUCUCAUUCUUCCAGCAUCUUCUUCACUUCUCCAACAACUUCUUCUUCUCUUUCCUCCCAUCUCACGUUUCUUUCCUAUUCCAUGAAAGUUUCUCUCAAGCUUCCAUCACUGUCCUAAACUAACCUCAAUUUUUGUGCUCUACAUACCCUGUUGUAGGGUUUUUCAUACUCUUUUACUCCCUCACCUUAAACAAACCUUUAAAAGUCUUUCUUCAAUCCUUUCUCUCACUAGUUGAACUUUGUAGAGAGAAAAGGAGAGGCUUCAUGAUAGCUUGAGGACUCUUGGGAAGAAAUUUCAUUACAAUCCACCAAGGUGAGUGAUGGAUUGGGACUGGUUUUAAGUUAUUGAUAAAGGCUAAUAAUUAAAAUUAAGAGUUUUGUAUCGCUGAAGUUGUUUAUCUAUUUUUGUUGUUACUAAAGUAGAGAAUUGAAUAGCCAAUCAAAUGGUAAUGGAAGAUAAAUAGGAAGGGCCAGUGAAGCUUGAUUUGGGAAAAUAGCUUUGGAAUGGUAUUAAUGCCAAGUUGGGUUGAUUAUGAUGUUGUUGUGUAUGAUAGGCUCCACCGAAACCCCACACCUCCAUUUGGAACAUUAGUCGAAGUUAGAGCCCACCAAAACAUCAAUAAAGACUAGUGAGUGAACUUGGAUUCAAAAUGUUUUGGGAAAAUGUUUACGUGUUUCAAUGAAUCAUUUGGGAAUUUUAUCGAUUUUUGUUUUAAAAUUGCUUAGGAACAAGACAUUGAUAAAAUGUUUGAUGUUGUGAAAUGUGAAAUGUGUAAAAGGAUGAAUCCAUAUGUUUUUGUAUGAUGUUGAUAUAUAUAUAUGUAUACUAUGUCAUAAAUGGUACCAUCGUGUGACAAAUGCAACCGUGCAUGUGCGGGGUGAGUGUGCACUCGCCGGUGAUGAUGGUGGUGAGGGAGAUGGAUGGUGAUACUGUCCGGCUAUGUGCAUGAUGUGGUGGGAUGCACAUGAGCUGGGUGAGAUGGAAUGAUUGCUAGAAAUUUCCUCUCUUUCAAAUUUCAUGCUAAAUAUGGUUCCUUUAUCAUUAAAUGAUUUAAUAACCAGGGGUUUAAUGGAGGGAUUAUAAUAAGAACUUGAACUAAGUUGCAUUGUUUUCAAAUAAGUGCAUCAUGAUUAUCAACUUUCCUUAUUAUUGCUUGUUCCCUUCUUAUGUCACUCACUGAGUUUGUACUUACUGUUUUCAACUUCAUGCUUUUAGAUCAAGAGGCAGUUGGAACCUAGGUUGAGGUGUUCACGUAGUUUCAUCUUCUUGGUAGGUAUGCUGGCAUUCGGUAGCUGUCCCUUCACCUUGGUCACUCCGCUAAAAGCCCACAGUCAUUUUUGUUUGUAAAUAAGUACAUGUGAGGUAAAAUACUAAGAUACGUGCCUUAGACCAUAUAUGUAUAUUUGAUUUGGUAAGCCACCAUGAGUGGCAAUGGUUAAUAUUAUUAUGGGUUAAUAUAAAUGCAGUUUUGAUUGCUAUAGCUUAUUAGUAAAGUACUUGAAGGGUGGCAUUGUGAGAUGUAGCUUUCAGAAUAAUUGAUGGGAUGAUGAGUAGGAUUACGUAAAUAGGCUUGCUUAGGCUUAGUGGACUACGUCCAUUGAGUCCAUGCACCGGUCAUGGCUCAAAAAUCGAGUCGUGACACUCUCAGGAGGUUCAAAAAUUUUCUUUGUUCGAAUUUUACUGCAGUGAGAAACCCUCUGUUAUGCUGUUAUGCUAGUCUUGCUUGGAUUCUACUGUAGUUCUCACUUUUUCCAACUUCAUGGUUGAUCAUGGAUCCUUCAACAUUAAAGGAUUAAAUAAUCAAAGUUUGAAAUGAAGGGUUUUAACGAGAAUUUAAACUAAAUUGCAUUGUUUUUACUCUAAAUGCCUUAUGUUUUCUAAACUUUCCUUAUCUUAUGCUUGUUCCCUUAUUAUGUUCACUCACUGAGUUUAUGCUCACCCUUUUUAACUUCAUGUUUUUUAGAUCUGGAGAUAGUUGGAACCUAGAGUGAGGGGUCCACGUAUAUUCGCCCUUUUGGUAAGUACCACGACAUUCAGUAGCUGUACUUUCACCUAAGGUCACUCCGCUGGGAGUCGAGAGUCUUUUGCCUGUGUAUAUGUAUACGUGAUGUAAAUCACAAAGAUGCAUGUCACAAAACAGUAUGUGUUCUAUUUUAUUAAUGUUGCCACUAUGAGUUGGCAAAUGGUUGACAUUAUUUCGGGUUUAUAUGAAUAUAAGUAUUUGGUUGUCAUAGCACAUUACUAAAGUACUUAUAGUUGAAAAUUAAGAAAUGUAACUUUAGAAAUAUCUGAUGGAAUAAUGAACAGGUUGCAUAAGAGGCUUGCUUGGGUUUCGUGGGUUGUGCCUAUUGGUCCCUUGUGCCGGUCAUGGCCCAAAAAUUGGGCUGUGAUAUGAAAUCUCCUUCCUUUAACACUUAAAAUCUUUGAUUUAUCAUUGGGAUUUAGUGGGUUUGAAGGGUGUGAAAGUUGAGAGAAAAUGGAUGGAGAAUGAAAGUCUAGAAAGAAAAUGAGGAAAUUUCACGUUUUGGGGGUUUUUAAGCUAUAAAUUAGCUGAUAUGGUAGUCUAGGAUUGACUAUGGGAGUCUUGAAGUUGAUGGACCAAAUUUACCCCUGCUCCCAUUGCAUUGCCUAGGAUUGACUAUGGGAGGCUUGAAGUUGAUCUUGGACCAAAUUUACCCCUGCUCCCAUUUCAUUGCCUAGGAUUGACUAUAAGGGCUCUAGAGUUGAUCUUCAGCCACUACAGUUUCUUCUUCUUGCUCUCUACUUCACAAAUUCCAUCCUACAUGUGCUAGGAUCGACUCUUGAGGUGCAAAUUCAUAAAAAUUGGUUCUUUUGAAGUUUAAAUUCAUUCUAAAUCUUCUCCACAACCGUCAAUCAUUCAUAUUUCACUUAAGAUCAACAUAUAAGUUCAUCAUGCACACCAAUUUCUCAUUCUUGCCUUAUGUCACAAACUACUAUCUUUCACUUAAGUAUGUGAUAGUCCAUGCUUCACUUGAGUGGACGCUUCCCUACAAGUCAGCUAAUACUCAGUUAUAUCUGAUCAAAUAUCAAUAACAACAACAAAUCAGACUAAGAGAAUCCACAUCAAAAUCAGAGGGCAUACCGAAUGCCAUAUAUGCAAUCAAUGAGCCAUAAAAGGAAAAAAUAUUUUAUUAAUAUGAAAUUAAUUACAAAGGGAUCAAUACAUGCCAUCACCGGGCCAUAGGGGAAGCCCUAGAUGAUUCACUACAAACAUACCUUUACUAGUGAGGCAGUCAACAAUUUGCUAACUACUUACUCCCUAUAAAGAGUUUACGAGAUUUUAUACAUAUUUUACUAGUAACUAUUACAAUGCUUGAAAUGAGGACAUUCCUUUCCUAAAGUGUCUUUCCUACUAAAGGCUUAACAAGUAUUUUUAGAGGUGCCACCAUAAGCCAUUACAAUGUUUGAAAGGGGGAUAUUUCCCUUACAAGUACAAAAGACUCAAUCUCAUCGACAACUCUACCCUAUCAUAGUUCAAUACAAGGUUGGCUCAUGACACUUUAUGUCACAUAACAUAUUAAUUAAACAUGGCAUCAUUUGCAUACAUAUCAUACUCAUCUCAGUGCCAAACAUAUGCAUUAUGUCAUUCAUGUGCCGAGUGUGAGACCUUGUCAAGCUCGAUUAAAAGACGGUAUUGUACCGAGUGAUACAACUAAGUUAAAUCGAGCCUUGAACUAGUUCAAAUAGAAAUUCUAACAGGAAAUUAAAAAUUUUGAAACCCACAGAAUGGCUUAGAAUAGUGAUUCGAAGUUCAAGGUCCAGUUUGGAGUCCAUUAGGAAAAUUGACCGAUUAGGGAUAAAACGGUCAUUUUACUAUUUGAUGAUAAAAUGGAGAUUUCUAGCCAAGAUUUGAUCAUAUUUGACCAAGAAUAAUUAUAUGAAAUAUAAUUAUGAUUAUUGGAGCAUAAAAUGAUGUUUAGUAGUGAAAAAUUAUGAUUCCCGGUAUUUUUGAAGCACAAGGGCAAAAUGGUAAUUUUGCCACUAGAGGACUAAACGAAAAUUUUUAUAAAACAAAAUUUGCCCCAUUUGGUUAAUAUUGGUCAAUAUUAGUGUUAUUUGAGGUUGAAAAGUAGAAAUAAUGUGACUUCGGUACAUUUUGGAGUAUAGGGGCAAAAUCGUAAUUUUUUCGCCCGAGGGUAAAUUGGUAAAUUAUUCGCCCUAGCACUUGUCAAGACCAAGGGAUUUUAAUUGUGGUAGGAUUGGAUAAAUACCAGAAUAUUUGUGGUGGAAAAUUAAGAAGAAAAAGUCAAAAAGUUAAAAAUUGGGCCAAUAAGCAUGUGACACGUGGCAUGCUUGAUUAUUUUAUUAUUUUCUAUAGAAAUCAGCCCAUUAAAUCCCCAAUUCCCUCACCAUAUUCGGCCUAGACAUCCAGCAACAAGAAAAAAGGAAGAACAAAGGGAAAAACAAGAAAACCUAGGUGGAAAUUCAAAGAAAAAGUGAAGAAAUCAAGGAAACAAGCUAGGUAAGUUAAAAUUUCUUUAAUUCUCCUUGAUACCUAGCUUACCCAUGCUUUUGUUCUUGAUUUCCAUGGUUGAAUAUUGAGUUAUCAUGAUGAAUUCAAUUCUGAAAAAUGGGUAUGGAAGAGGAAUUGUUGUUGGAAUAAUUUGAUUUUAGACUAUGUUAGUGUUUAGGGAUAGUUAAGCAUGGUUAUGAACAAAAACACAAAAGAAAUAUUCAAUUUCUCUAGGGUUCCUUGUUGGUCGAACCAUGAGGGCUGAAUAUCAAUGGGGGAUUGUUUUUAUUUCAAGGAAAAUGGCUUGAAAAAUGAUGAAUUAAGGUGAAACGGUUAUGUAGAAAAAAUUUCGGUGCUAGUGCACCAAAUGACCGAAUUUUUCUAUAAGGAACUGUGAGGGUUCUAAUGCUGAAUUUGGCUUUAUUUAAAUGGUAUGUGGUAAAUUAAGGUAUUAGAGGAGAAAUGGAUUAAUUUGGAGGUGAUUUGGACACAAUCGCCAAUUAAUCGGGUGAUCGGUCGAAUUUAAUCGAUAUCGCGAUUAAGCGGUAAUCGAACGUAUUUUUGCAUUUACAUAUCAAGCAUUAGUAAUUUAAAUUAGUUUAUAUCAAUUUAGGGACAAUAUAGUAAAUUCCUCGACUUUGUUAUUUGUCAAGGUAGUGAGACGUCCGGAAAAGGCAAAGGAAUUGUGCUUGAGGACUAUUAGUCCGAGUGCACCCGAAAUCCGGAUUUUUGACACUUGUGAGUGAAUUUGCAUUUCAAAAUUUAUUUGGGAAUUCUAAUUAAGUUGAAAUGAAAUGCGUGAAUGAUUAUAUCUAAUUCCCAUUUAAAAAUGAAUCUCGGGAACAAGCCUUUAGUGAAAAUAUUUCAGUGAUGUUAAAUAUGAUUGCGAUGCAUCUGUGUAUAUCUGUAUGAUGCCUACAUGUAUUAUUGAGAAAUUGUGUGAAAUUAAGUGUACUGAAUCUGUGUACCCUUGUAUUAUGCUGAUAUGCAUUAUUAAUAAAUUAUGGUGAAAUUGAUGCAACCAUGCAUGUGCGGAUUGGGAAGUGCAAUGCCAGUUGAAUGACAAAGGAUGUGAUAAUUACAACCGUGCAUGUGCAGAGUGGGAAGUGCAAUGCCGGUUUAAUGAUAAAGGUUGUGGGGACGGCGAUACGUAACGCCCACAAUUUCCUAAAAAUUCAGAGGUGUGCAAAGAGGGAUACUGAGUGAUACCCCUUACCGAGUACUCCGAUAGUUAUUUCUUUGUACCACCAAGAAUAGUGAAGACUUGGCGGUGUAUAUAAUUGCUCAUAUCUUUGUGUAUAUAUGUUUGAUUGUGUGGUAUGUGAAACCCUUGUUUGUGACGGUUUGUGAUAAAUCGUUAAUUUUGCUAUCUUGCUUGAUAGAACAAUUGGUGAAUGAAAUUGUACGUGAUACAUAUGCAUAUAUGAAUCAUACGAGUUGUGAAACCUUUAUUGUGUGACGAUUUGUAAAUAACUGUCAGUUUUACUACUUUGCUAGAAGGAUCGAUUUAAAUUCAAGGAUGUUUAAUCCUUGAAUGAGUAAUAAAUUUCUAGGUAAGGGAAAAAGGGUUUGGAAUUGUAGUUAGAUGAAAAUGGCUUUAUUUUCAACUAGUGCAUCAUGAUUGUCAAAUUUCCUGGUUGAGAUUGCUUGUUCCCUUCUAAUAUUCACUCACUGAGUAUUGUACUCACGUUUUAUAAAAAUUCAUGUUUUCAGAUCACGAAGCAGCCGAUAAUUAGGACGAGGUGUCCUUGUAGACUUGUGUCCAUCUUUUGGUAGGUGUCUCAGCAUUCGGUAGCUGUAUAUUCAUCCGAGUCCCUUCGCUGGAAGUCGAGUAUUAUUUUAUUAUGUAUAGGUGAACUUAAUGUAAAUUUUAAAUGAGUAAUGCCAGUACGAGUUGGCAAUGUAUAUCACUAUUUUGAUUCAAAGUUAUGAAAUAUGACUUAGUGAUAAUAGAUGGAAUUAUAAGUAAGAUAAAUAAUAGGCUUGCUUGGGUUUAGUGGAUUAUGUCCAUUGGACCCAUGCGUCGGUCAUGGCCCAAAAAAUUGAGUCGUGACAAUCUUGGUAUCAGAGCCCUAGGUUUGUCUAGGUCCAAGGACUUCCAUUUGUUGGUCCAGCGGAGUGUCGAGUUUUUAUGUGGGAACUUCGGUUGUGAAGUGUGAACCGCGACAUAUUUUACAACCAAAUGACCGCAUAGAUUCCCUAUCUUAGAAACCACCUUUUGCCUUAAGUAUGAUUAUAAUAUGUGUUUAAUAAUAGGUGUUUGCUCUUGUCUAGGUAAGAAUGCUGCCUAAGACAUGAGCCGCCUUAAGACGGGUAGGGGAGUAAGAUGCUCCCAUUGAGAUGGCAGAUAGACCACGGGCAUCCACCCGGAGAGACCGAGGUAGAUGUGGCAGGGCCACUAGGCCAGUGAGGUCGGAUACACCUGUGAGUAGGAAAGAGGAGGGACAGUCCUCAGGUGAUGUAGAUAGACACCCAGUUGGGGGUAUUAUUAUUGAGGAUUUGGUGGCAGGCCUAUAGGGAGUUAAUCGGGUUAUAGAGAUGAUGGCGACCCGUAUGGAGGAUAUAUAGAGGGUAGUAGAGGGGAGACCUACAGUGCAAGAAUCCCCUAGCUCUCAAGGACAGGCCGACCACCAAUAUCAUGAGGUUGAGAGGGGUCACUUAGAGAUUUCUCUUCCUGAUUUUCUUAAGCUUAAGCCUCCAUCAUUUUCAGGGUCCGAUGCGUCGGAAAAGCCCCAGAUCUUUUUAGAUAAGAUGGAGAAAAUAUGUAAAGCUUUGGGAUGCUCUAGUGUCCGAUCAGUCGAGUUAGCCGCCUUUCGAUUAGAGGAUGUGGCGCAGGAAUGGUAUAGUUCUCUAUGUAGAGGCAGAUUGACGGAUGCAGCACCAUUGACUUGGGGUGAGUUUAGUGUAGCCUUUUUAGACUGAUUCUUACCACUCAGUGUACGUAAUCCACGAGCUAGGGAGUUUGAGACUCUAGUGCAGACCUCGAGUAUGACGGUGUCGGAGUACGACAUCAAGUUCACACAGUUGUCUCGGUAUGCUCCCUACCUAGUUUCCACUGAGGAGAUGAAGAUUCAGAGGUUUGUGGAUGGGCUAGUAGAGCCACUGUUUAGGGCUGUGGCAUCUCGAGAUUUUAAAACCUACUCCGUAACGGUAGAUUGUGCUCAGCAGAUUGAAAUGAGGACUAGUGAGAGUAGGGCCGCAAAAGAGGUAGCAAAAAGAGCCAAGACAGAGGGUUAUCAGGGUCGUAGAGACUUUAGCAGUGGGAUUUCAUUUUCUAGCCGUCAAGGCCCACAUGGGGAAUUAAGGUUACCCCAACAAGGGAGUAACGUGAUGAGUACCGGUGUUAAGUCAGGGCAGGAAGCUUUCAGUGGAAGGAGGCAAUAACAAGACUCAAGGCAAAUUAGUCAGGCGAUUCCUCCUUGUGAUAAUUGUGAAAAACGACACAGAGGAUGAUGAUAUUUUCGCAUGAAAACUUGUUUUGGUUGUGGCCAGCUUGGACAUAGGGUGAGGAACUGUCCGAUGGCCCAACAAUCACAAGGUUCUGUUCGUAGUCCUAAUCAGCUAGCUUUGUCUGCUCCUUCGGUAACUGUUUCAAUUGGCCAAGAGGUUAACGAGAUAAGAGAUAGAGGCGCUGGUGCUUCCUCUCAGGGUAGACCAUAUGGGUCUGGAUGUCAGAGUUUAUUGGAAGCGGGCCAAGCAUGGGUGUAUUCUUUAACUGCCCAAGAGGCCCAGACCUCAAAUGCAGUGGUCUCAAGUAUUUUUUCUAUCUGUGAUAUGAAUGCUUGGGUGUUGUUUAAGCCUGGUUUAACCUAUCUGCUUAUUUCUACAUGUUUUGCACAUCGAUUGAGUAAGAAUCGUGUUAGAAGAGAAGAAUACUUGGUGGUACCUACUCCUUUAAAGGAGGUAUUUGUGACUGAAUAAGAAAAUAAAUUCUGCGUAGCUCGAAUCAAGGAUAAAAAUACCUUAGUGAAUUUAGUGGUGUUAGACACCUUAAGGAGCUUAAGGAUCAGUUGGAGGAUCCUUAUGGAAAGAAAGAAAAGAUGUUUACCAAAGGCACAGAUGAAAAGUUGAGGUAUGGAAAUAGACUUUAUGUGCUGGAUAAUAAUGAAUUGAGGAGAGAGAUAUUGAAAGAGGCGCAUAUGGUAGCCUAUGUGGUACAUUCAGGAGCUUGGCAACGAGGCUGAGUGAUACUGCUUGCCAAGUGCUCUGAUAGGUACGCUUUGUUGCUCGUCGCGGAAGGGAGAAAGGGCUGCCUUGAAGGGUGGAGCCACCCCUAGUGACAAUGUUGGUAUCAGGAUUUAAAGGAGGUGACGUGGGAAGUUGAGGAUGAGAUGCGGACAAAGCAUCCACACCUCUUCGAUAUGUAAAGGUAAGUCACUCUACAUUGAAUUUAAAUUUGGGGACCGAAUUUUUAUUAGUGGGGGAGAAUGUGAGACCCUGUCAAGCUCGAUUAAAAGAAGGUAUUGUACCGAGUGGUACAACUAAGUUAAAUCGAGCCUUGAACUAGUUCAAAUAGAAAUUCUAAGAGGAAAUUGAAAAUUUUGAAACCCACAGAAUGGCUUAGAAUAGUGAUUCAGAGUUCAAGGUCCAAUUUAGAGUCCAUUAGGAAAAUUGACCAAUUAGGGACAAAACGAUCAUUUUACCAUUUGAUGAUAAAAUGGAGAUUUCUAGCCAAGAUUUGAUCACAUUUGACCAAGAAUAAUUAUAUGAGAUAUAAUUAUGAUUAUUGAAGUAUAAAAUGAUGUUUACCAGUGAAAAAUUAUGAUUCCCGAUAUUUUUGGAGCAUAAGGGUAAAAUGGUAAUUUUGCCACUAGAGGACUAAACGAAAAUUUUUAUAAAAUGAUUUUUGCCCCAUUUGGUUAAUAUUGAUCAAUAUUAGUGUUAUUUGAGGUUGAAAAGUAGAAAUAAUGUGAUUCCGAUACAUUUCUGAGUAUAAGGGCAAAAUCAUAAUUUUUUCGCCUCGGGGGCAAAUCGGUAAAUUUUUCAUCCAGCACUUCUCAAGACCAAAGGAUUUUAAUUGUGGUAGGAUUGGAUAAAUACCAGAAUAUUUGUGGUGGAAAAUUAAGAAGAAAAAAGUCAAAAAGUUAAAAAUUGGGCCAAUAAGCAUGUGACACGUGGCAUGCUUGAUUAUUUUAUUAUUUUCUAUAGAAAUUAGCCCAUUAAAUCCCCAAUUCUCUCACCAUAUUCGGCCUAGACAACCAGUAACAAGAAAAAAAAGGAAGAACAAAGGGAAAAACAAGAAAACCUAGGUGGAAAUUCAAAGAAAAAGUGAAGAAAUCAAGGAAACAAGCUAGGUAAGUUAAAAUUUCUUUAAUUCUCCUUGAUACCUAGCUUACCCAUGCUUUUGUUCUUGAUUUCCAUGGUUGAAUAUUGAGUUAUCAUGAUGAAUUCAAUUCUGAAAAAUGGGUAUGGAAGAGGAAUUGUUGUUGGAAUAAUUUGAUUUUAGACUAUGUUAGUGUUUAUGGAUAGUUAAGCAUGGUUAUGAACAAAAACACAAAAGAAAUAUUCAAUUUCUCUAGGGUUCCUUGUUGGUCGAACCAUGAGGGCUGAAUAUGAAUGGGGGAUUGUUUUUAUUUCAAGGAAAAUGGCUUGAAAAAUGAUGAAUUAAGGUGAAACGGUUAUGUAGAAAAAAUUUCGGUGCUAGUGCACCAAAUGAUCGAAUUUUUCUAUAAGGAACUGUGAGGGUUCUAAUGCUGAAUUUGGCUUUAUUUAAAUGGUAUGUGGUAAAUUAAGGUAUUAGAGGAGAAAUGGAUUAAUUUGGAGGUGAUUUGGACACAAUCGCCAAUUAAUCGGGUAAUCGAUCGAAUUUAAUCGAUAUUGCGAUUAAGCGGUAAUCGAACGUAUUUUUGCAUUUACAUAUCAAGCAUUAGUAAUUUAAAUUAGUUUAUAUCAAUUUAGGGACAAUAUAGUAAAUUCCUUGACUUUGUUAUUUGACAAGGUAGUGAGACGUCCGAAAAAGGCAAAGGAAUUGUGCCUGAGGACUAUUAGUCCGAGUGCACCCGAAAUCUAGAUUUUCGACACUUGUGAGUGAAUUUGCAUUUCAAAAUUUAUUUGGGAAUUCUAAUUAAGUUGAAAUGAGAUGCGUGAAUGAUUAUAUCUAAUUCCCAUUUAAAAAUGAAUCUCGGGAACAAGCCUUUUGUGAAAAUAUUUUAGUGAUGUUAAAUAUGAUUGCGAUGCAUCUGUGUAUAUCUGUAUGAUGCCUACAUGUAUUAUUGAGAAAUUGUGUGAAAUUAAGUGUAGUGAAUCUGUGUACCCUUGUAUUAUGCUGAUAUGCAUUAUUAAUAAAUUAUGGUGAAAUUGAUGCAACCAUGCAUGUGCGGAUUGGGAAGUGCAAUGCCAGUUGAAUGACAAAGGAUGUGAUAAUUACAACCGUGCAUGUGCAGAGUGGGAAGUGCAAUGCCGGUUUAAUGAUAAAGGUUGUGGGGACGACGAUACGUUACGCCCAUAAUUUCCUAAAAACUCAGAGGUGUGCAAAGAGGGAUACUGAGUGAUACCCCUUAUUGAGUACUCCGAUAGUUAUUUCUUUGUACCGCCAAGAAUAGUGAAGACUUGGCGGUGUAUAUAAUUGCUCAUAUCUUUGUGUAUAUAUGUUUGGUUGUGUGGUAUGUGAAACCCUUGUUUGUGACGGUUUAUGAUAAACCAUUAAUUUUGCUAUCUUGCUUGAUAGAACAAUUGGUGAAUGAAAUUGUACGUGAUACAUAUGCAUAUAUGAAUCGUACGAGUUGUGAAACCCUUAUUGUGUGACGAUUUGUAAAUAACCGUCAGUUUUACUACUUUGGUAGAAGGAUUGGUGUAAAUUCAAGGAUAUUUAAUUCUUGAAUGCAUAAUAGAUUUCUAGGUAAAGGAAAAAGGUUUUGAAUAGUAGUUAGAUGAAAAUGGCUUUAUUUUCAACCGGUGCAUCAUGAUUGUCAAAUUUCCUGAUUAAGAUUGCUUGUUCCCUUCUAAUAUUCCCUCACUAAGUAUUGUACUCACGUUUUACAAAAUUCAUGUUUUCAGAUCACGAGGUAGCUGAUAAUUAGGACGAGGUGUCCUUGUAGACUUGUGUCCAUCUUUUGGUAGGUGUCUCGGCAUUCGGUAGCUGUAUAUUCAUCCGAGUCCCUCUGCUGGAAGUCGAGUAUUAUUUUGUUAUGUAUAGAUGAACUUAAUGUAAAUUUUAAAUGAGUAAUGCCAGUACGAGUUGGCAAUGUAUAUCACUAUUUUGAUUCAAAGUUAUGAACUAUGACUUAGUGAUAAUAGAUGGAAUUAUAAGUAAGAUAAAUAAUAGGCUUGCUUGGGUUUAGUGGAUUACGUCCACUGGACCCAUGCGCCGGUCAUGGCCCGAAAAAUUGGGUUGUGACACCAAGUUUAUUUGUCACUGGGGUUUUUUCUUGACCCGUGUGGCCUAGCCUUUGCCUUACUCGAGGGCUUUUAGAAAGGCUAGUAGCCUACUCAAUUAGAAAAAAUUAGGAUCGUUUAAAGCAAUCACAAGUGAGAAAGAGAGCUUUUAUUUCAUAGAAUUUCAAUACAUGAGUCAUUACCCUUAAAUGAGGGAGUUCCAAGGGUAUUUAUAAGCCAUGGACCCCUUAGAGCCAUUACAAGGCCAUUCCUAAUGGCUAGGAGGGAUGUUGAGCUCUAUUGGACCUUCUUGACCUACCUCAGCCAUUAUUCCCAACGAUAGACAAUGUUUGCCCUACAGCCUCGGGCUGGCCAAUAGUUCCUGCCCAUCAAACAAACUGCAUGGGCAAUCCGUGCACCUCAAUUUCAUCCAGUCUACCUGUUGUGUUAUGCGCCCUUUUCCUGCUGGCCCGUGUGCCUAGUCUGCUCCCAAGUGCCACUUCUUUCGAGCCAUAGUGCUAUCCCGACAUGGAAUCAGAGUCUCAACCCUUGUUGCUCACCCAUCCCCAAGCUGGCUCGCCUACUCUCGAGCUUUAGUCCCCUAUCGUCGAGUUGGCCCACCCUUCACCACAAAAUGGGUGUGACAUAUGCACAUCAUCAUUUUAGCUUUUACAUACUCAUACAGUCCUUGACCAUUUCUCUAUAGACUAAGCAUUCCUUGAAUUCACAUUCAUACACAUCGAAGUUCACAUCAAUCUACCAGCUAGUCUAGCAUCACACAUAGUUAACAUCAAAGAUCGGGAGUGUUAUAGAUUUCUUUUUAAAAUGAUAAUGUUUGUGAUGCAUGUCAAUUUGAAAAACAAGUAAAAGGUUCUUUUAAAUCAAAGAAAGUGAUUUCAACUUUUAGACCAUUUUAACUAUUGCACAUUGACUUGUUUGGACCUAUUGAUGUUAUUAGCAUGAGGACAAGUCAUAUGGUUUUGUUAUUGUUUAUGAUUACUCUAGGUAUACUUGGUUGUAUUUCUUUGCUAGGUAUACCAUAGUCACUAUGGUGGUGAAUUUUAAAAUUGUGAAUUUGAAAUAUUUUGUAAUAAAAAUGGUUUUGAUCACAAUUUUUCAAUCCCUAGAACUUGACAGCAAAACGGAGUUUUUUAAAAAAUAUAGGACAUUGAAGGAAAUGACAAGAACAAUGCUUUGAGAAAACAAUUCACCAAAACACUUUUGGAUUGAAGUUGUAAACACAGCCUCCUUCAUUUUAAAUAGAGUUUCCACUAGGCCUAUGAUUUCAAAAACCCUUUAUGAGCUUUACAAAGGAAGAAAACCAAUCAUUUCACAUUUAAGGAGUUUUUGAUGCAAAUUCUUUGUUUUAAAUAAUGGAAAACACACCUUGGGAAAGUUUAAUACUAAAAGUGAUGAACCUAUUUUUUUUGGUUAGGCAAUUAAUUCUAAAACAUAUAGAUUGUUUAACAAAAGAACAUUAGUUAUAGAAGAAUCUAUUCAUGUUGUUUUUUUUAGAACAAAAAAAAGUAGUGUAUGAUAAUGAUGCAGAUGAUAUUGAGGAGAAAAUGGAAAAGAUGAAUUUAGAGAACAAAGAAAAUGAUGAAGACAACUCUAAGAAGAGAAAUGAAGAAAAGCCAUCAUUGGAGGACUUAUAAAAAAUUAAAGAACAACACAAUGAUCUUCCUAGAAAUUGGAAAUUUGUAAGAAAUCAUCCUUAAGAGCAAGUAAUUGGAGAUCUCUUGAAAGGUGCCAAAAUUAGAAAAGGAUUAAAGGAAGCUUGUAACUUUUGAGGUCUACAAAUCACAAGUGGAACCGUAAGAAUUUUGAGGAAGUUGAAAAGGAAGAAAGUUGGAUGAUGGCCAUGUAAGAAGAACUUGGCCAAUUUGAAAGGAACAAGGUCUGGACCUCAGUUCCAAGGCCAACCAACCAUCUUAUCAUUGCUACCAAGUAGGUAUUUAGAAACAAAAUGGAUGAGUUGGGUAAUGUGGUAAGGAACAAAGCAAGGUUAGUUGCUCAAGGCUACAAUCAAGAUGAAGCUAUUGAUUAUGAUGAAACCUUUACUUCCUUAGCAAGAUUAAAAGCAAUUAGACUCUUACUUGCAUAUGCAUGUUAUGUGAAUUUCAAAUUGUUCCAAAUGGAUGUUAAAAUUGCAUUUCUAAAUGGUUUUAUUCAAUAAAAGGUAUAUGUGGAAUAGCCCCAUGGUUUUGAAGAUUUUGAAAAGAUUAAUCAUGUUUAUAAAUUACAUAAAGCACUAUAUGGAUUGAAACAAGCUCCUAGAGCCUAGUAUGAAAGACUUCUAAAAUUUUUGAUUAAAAAUAAUGAUUUUCUAUAGGGAGUAUAGAUACCACACUUUUUAUUAAGAAAAGUAAACAUGAUCUACUUAUUUUUCAAAUAUAUGUGGAUGAUAUAGUCUUCAGUGCUACUAAUGAGAAAUUAUGUGAGAAUUUUGCUAAAGAAAUGCAAAGUGAAUUUGAAAUGAGCAUGAUGGGAAAAUUAAGUUCUGUCGUUGGUCUUCAAAUCAAGCAAUGUAAGGAUGAGAUUUUCAUCAACCAAGCUAAAUAUACUAAGAAAAUGCUAAAAAGGUUUGGUAUGAUGAAUGUGAAAUCAAUUGGAACACCUAUAAGCUCCUCCACAAAGCUUGAUAGAGAUGAGAAAGGAAAAGAUGUGGACUAGAAACUCUAUAGAGGUAUGAUUGGUUCACUUUUUUAUUUAAUGGCAAGUAAACCUGAUAUAUUGUUUAGUGUAUGCUUAUGUGCAAGAUUCCAAUAAUGCCCAAUCGAGUCACACUUGACGAUUGUGGAGAGAAUCUUUAAAUAUCUCCUGAGUACUCGAAGCUUAGGUCUAUCGUAUCCAAAAAGGUUUUUUGAUCUUCUUGGUUAUUUCGAUGUUGAUUUUGCUAGUAGUAAAACUGAUCGGAAGAGCACUAGUCAUAUUGUCAAUUCUUUGGAAACAUGCUUGUGUCUUAGUCUUGCAAGAAACAAAACUCAGUUGCUUUAUCCAUUGUUGAAGUAGAAUACAUUUCAAUAGGUAGUUGUGGUGCACAAAUUUUAUGAAUUAGGCAAUAAUUGAAUGACUUUGGCAUGUCCAUGCAUAAUAUUCCUAUCUUUUGUGACAACACUAAUGCUGUUAACAUCUCUAAAAAUCUUGUUUAACACUUUAGAAGUAAGCACAUUGAAAUUAGGCAUCAUUUUAUUUGAGAUCAUAUGCUUAAGGGAGAUGUUAAAAUUGAAUUUGUAGAUACCUUGCAUCAAUUAGCUGAUAUCUUUAUAAAACCAUUAAGUGAGGACCAAUUUUUUAAAAGUAAAAAAGAAUUGGCAAUCCUUGAUGUGAAUGAGAUCUGAUUGAUCUUAGUUGAUUUUUUUUAUGAAAAAUUGUGUGAAAUUUUUCCUUAAUUUCAUGUUUUACUUGGUUAAGGGUACAUUUUAAUCAGUUGUAGGAAUUUUAGAAAUGAGAUAAACUUGCUUUGAUCAGUUAGGACUUCCUUUAACCAAUUAAAAUGAGUCUGUGUGCAUAAUGUAAGGCCAAACCAGUAUAGUUUUAAUAAGUUAAAAAUCCUUUUAAUCGAUUAAAAUAGUUGUGUUCACUAAACUCAAAAUUGAGCCUUUAAGUUAGUAGCACUUUGAUCAAUUAAAGCUUGAUUUAAUAGAUUAAAAAUGUUAGGAAAAAUAAAAAAAAGUGCAUUAUGAACUCUCUCAUGAUGAUUUAGUCGAAAUGCAUGUUCUUGAAAUUGCAAAACUUGUUGAAAAAGGGAAAAACUUUCAUGAAUGCUUGAACUAUUUAUUCCAAAACAUGGCACUCAUAUUGAUUUAUUAAUUCUUUUGUGCUUAAAUGACAAAAAUUGGAAAAUGAGAAAUUAUUUCUCAUGUGCUUACAUUGAAAAAUCAUGUCUUAAGAAUUUAAAUGUUCAAAUGCUUAGUUUAGGAACAAUUCUUGAAAUAUGUUUCAUGUUUGUGCCUAAGUGAUUGUUUCAAGAUCGAAUCAUUGGCUAGGGUCAUAAAAUUAAUUAGGAUGAAAUGAUUGAACUUAAUGAAUUUUUUUAGAUCAUUAUUGUUCUGGUCAAGUCAAAUGCUUACAUGACCUUUAAUCUUGCUUGAUCUUAAUGAUUGAAGUCUAUAACUCAACUUAAGUGAUAGAAUUGCUUAUAAUGCUUAAUUUCAUAACUUAAGUCAAGUUUGAUCAUGACACAAAGUUUGUAUUGACAUAAUUGAAAUAUCCUUUGAAUGUAAAUUUGAAUAUUACUAUGUCUUCAUUGAGCCUUAAUUGUUCACAUGAUUGAAUUUGGUGUGCAUCCACUCUAACUUAUAGGUUACUAUAUAUAAUCUAGAAUGUCAAAUGAAAAAUGACCUAUAGCUUAAGUGAGCAGUGAAUGCCUAAAGUGCUUAGAAUGAAUACUCAUUUCUUGAAUCUUGGUAAUUGAUAUUCAUUGAUGUUUAGAUGUUCACUUUUGACAUAUUCAUGAGAUGAGUGCUUUACUUUUAAUAUUCCAUACUCAUGAAUUGUAAGGAUUAUUAAGAAAAAACAUGUACCACAUUGAAGCUCAAUGCUUACAUAUUUUUGAUUGGUAUAUGUCCAUAUAGUUUAUAUUCAUGCUUGCAUUUCAUAAACAAAUUAGAUUCAUGAUUAAUGAAGAUAGCCAUUUUAUUUCUUGUAAUCAUGAUUGUGGUCACUUGAUCAUAAUAUUCUCUUGCAUGACUGCAAUAAGUGCAAAAUGAUUUGGUAAUGCUUGAUUAAUAAUGAUAUUUUCUUGAUGUCAAAAUUCUCCUUGAAUUGAUAGUUUCAUACAUGAUUUGGAGAAUAUUUCUUAGAAUGUUUGCUAAAGAAAAAAUUAAUGGUAAUUAAGAAUGCUUAAUGAUGAUGUUUUUUUUUUCAAUUUCUCCUUGAGUUACUUUUUUAUAUAUGAAUUAGAGAAUUUCCUAAAAAUGCUUGACUGAUAUUGCUUGGUGAUACUUGCUAAAUAAUGAUUGAGAAUAAAUAAUGGAUUACUGAUAAUACUUGAUGAUAAUUAAGAAUGAUGCUUGAAGACUAAUGAUACCUUAGACAUGCUUAGAAACUAUUUUGCAAAUAUUUCUUGAAAAUAUGAGUUGAUGCGUAUGUUGAACAUCCAUUUAAAUACUCAUACUCUUCCAUGAAUACUUGAGUAUUAGAUGAAAAUGUUGAAUAUCUACUUAAAUACUCAUUUAUUCUAGGCUUAUGAUUUCUUUCCUAGCAAUUGGUGUUUUAACAAUUGGAAACUUAUUGGUUUUAUGAUUUGUCCAAGGGGGAGUUAGAUUAAGCUUUAAAGUGAUUAUCUCCUUUAUCCUUUCUCCUUUCGCAUCAUGUUUGAAUUAACCUGGUUUUACUCUUAACUCCUUUUUUGAUAAUGACAAAAAAGGGAGAAUGAACAAAGAAUUGUUGUAUUUGUUGUUGUGUUUGAUGAAAAAAAAAACCAUUGUACUCAAAUGCUUAAUUUUCUUUAAAUGUAAGGGGUUUAGCCCAAAUAAUAAAGAGAAAAUAUUACAAAUUUUUAAAAUCUAGAUGUAGUCAUUAAGGGAGAGUUUUAGAUAUCUUUUUUAAUCAUAACAAAAAAGGGGAGAAAAUAGAAGGACAUAUUAGGUUGAUUAGGCUGAACAGCUGAAUAAUGUUUAUAUUUUGUGCAACUAAACAAAUGUUUAUAUUUUGUAUUGCUGAUUUAGUUGUUUUUAUGUUAAAUGUUUUUAUUGAAUGUUUCUAUGCUGAAUGGUGCUUACAUCUAUGUUUUAUGCUAAAUGUUUAAAUCUAUUUGAUUAAAUGUUUUAUGCUGAAUGUUUAUAUCUAUGUGAUUAAAAGUCAAUCUUGAAAGUAUUGCACUUGUUUAUUUAAGCAAUAAUUGUACAUAGAUAUACAUUAAACUUGUAGGAAAAAGAAUUUCUAUGCUCAUAUUAAGGGGGAGCUUACAUUUUGGGGAGGAAUCCCUUACUUGCACAUAAAUAUAAAAUUCAUAUUGACAUUGCACUCUGAAGCUAGGGGUGUUUUGUCAUCGUCAAAAAAAGGGAAAAAUGUUGAUUCUAUGUGUUUUUGAUGAUAACAAAAUAUUCCUUAUUCAUUGAUGUCUAACUUCACUACUUAAAUGUGCAGGAUAAAGUUUAAAUUCCUUUAAUAAAUUUGAUGAAUAAAGGCAAGUCAAGAAGCUAUCUUAGAAGAAAAGUUAAUCAGUUAAAAAUGCAAAGAAGACAGGACUUAGUGAAAACAGAACAAUGUUAACUGAUUAACGAGAAGCCUUAAUCAGUUAAGGCAAAUUUGACUGCUAUAUGAAAGUGAGACAGAAAAGCUUUAAUCAGUUAUGUCAAGCCUUACUUUAUUAUAUACUUGUCAUGUCAUUUAUGUGCUUGAUAGAAUGUUUGCAUAAGUGAAUAUAUCGGAGAAUCGUUAAAAAUCGGUAUCGUACCUAGUGGUACAAUUAAGUCAAUUAAAACCUUGAACUAGUUUGAAUAGAGAUUUUAGGAUGUAUUUGAGAGUUAUUGAACCUUAGAAUGUCUUAAUAUGAUGAUUCGGAGUUCGAGGAUUGAUUUGGAGUUAAUUCAGGAAUUUUCAUAACAUAGAGGCAAAAUGGUCAUUUUGCCACCCAAGGGCAAAAUUGGAAUGUUGGAUGAUAUUUUGACUAAAUUUGAUUAAUUUGAGCAUUAUUUGAAUUUGGGAAGUGAAAAUUUUUAAUUUUGACAUUUUUUUGAACAUAGGGGCAAAACGGUCAUUUACGUGUCCACGGGGACGUAAUUGGAAUUUUUAGAAUUUUACACCACCAUGACACUUGUCAAACCCAUGAAUUUCACCCAUUAUUUUUUAUAGUGAGAGAUUAUAUGUGGUGGGAAUGGAAUGCUUAAUUAUUAAGUUUUUAAACAUGGACCAAUUAAAAGGUGACAAGUGUCAAGCUUUAAUAUUAUUUUAAUUGCCUAUAUAAACUCACUUAAAACCUUCACAUUCACACUCUUAUGGCCGGCCAAGUGAGGGAACAAAGAGAAAAAGAGAAGAACAAACCCUUGGAAAGAAAAAUUCAAGAGAAAUUGUUGGAUUUCAAGAAAUCAAGCAAGUAAAGGUAAGAUUUUUUAAUUUUAGCUUGUGAUCUACCUUUCCCAUGCAUUCUUUUUCAUUCUCCAUGGCUGAAAUUCAAGUUUUCAAGAGGGAACCUUUGCUGGCCAAAUCUAGAGAGAGAAGUUUUGGUGAUGAAUUUUGCUAGAUUUCAUAAUAUCCUAGUGUUUUUAGUCAUUUUGUGAUGUUUGGAAGGAAAAACAAGCAAGAAAAUCACAUGUUCUUCAACCACCCUCAUUUGGCCGAAUUUUCCAUAGGGUAUGUUGAUGAUGGAUUUGGUUGUAAAUCAUGUUAUUUAGCUAGGAAUUGAUGAUUUAUGGUAUCGGAUAUCGAAAUCGGAAUGAAUUUCGAUUAUGGUGAAUUAAGUCAUAAUUAAGCUUAUUGAGGUACUUUAGUGUAUUUGGAAUAUUGGUAGUGUAAUGAAGAUAUUUGGAGUUGAAUUGGAUGUUUUGGCUAAUUAAACAAGGCAUAGUGCGAGUUAGGUCGAAUGCCAAUUCAGUCCGAUCAUAAUUGAACCCAUGUAGAACACCGUCUUUAAGUGAUUAUUUGGUCAAUUCUCAUUCAAUGUCAUGCAUUCAUAUAGAGCUUGAAAUAGUUUUAUAACAGUUUGGCACAAAUAUAUUGAAUUACGUGUCGUGUAUUAUGUAUUGGUGGUGAGCCCUCUGAUAAGGGUAAAGAUAUUGUACCUGAGGACCAAGAAUAAGAGUACCCCAAACUCCUACUAUUGUGAGUAAUCAAAUAUUCAUCUUAAUUAUCUAAAGUGGUUUAUACUUGUUUUAAGAUUUUAAAGAAUAAGGCACUUAAUUUUUAAAUUAUUAUGUUUUACAUUUUAAACGUUGGUUAAUGAAUGAGAUUUAUAAAUUAUUCUGAAACUAAAUGUUGAUUUUCGAAAUAGAGUAAGUGGAGGCUAUACAUUCGUAUUAUAUAUAUAUACAUGAUUUGAAUUGAUGGCUUAUGAAAUUGUGGUAGCAUGAAUGGCUGAAAAUUGUGGUUUUGUGAAUUAUAUAAAUUGUUUUGUCUUACAUUGACAGGUUGGAUAGUACUAUAUUAGCCAUGUUAUGCUGCCAAAUUUUUAUUGAUUUGGUGGGUUAUGUAUUUAGCUUACUGCAGUGAGCAGGUUUCCGUGGACCAACCUAUUAGAGGGGUACAGUAAACCCCGUUAUAUUUUACCUUAGUAUGAGAGGCACAGAGGGUAUCUCCUAAGGUAAGUUUAGAGUUCACUUCACAUCGAACCACCACGUGAGAAUGAAACUCAGCCAACGUCAAGGAAUGACUAUAUUUUAAAAGUAAAAACAUGUUUUAUGGGUAUAUGUCGUUUUAACAUCCUUGGCGGACUCGGUUGGAUGCCCGGGCCAAGGUGUCCCUGAGUAUAAGUUUUGGCACAAACCAAGUUUUUAAGAGAAUCAUAAGCCUUGUUGAUUAUUUUGAUGAAACGUAAUUGUUUUAUAUGAAUUGAAAUGAGUUUUGGAAUGUUAUGAAUUAUAUUAUGAUUGGAUGAUUUAACUGUCUCCAUUUACUCGGCUUAGAUGUUAUAAAUGAAUUUUGCUUACUCACUGGGUUUAUAAAAACUCACCCCUUCUUCUCACCCAUUUCGGACUCAAGAUAGUCUGUAGAUAGCUGAUUUCAUCGAGGAUCUACUUUAGGAUUUACAUCCUUAGAAAUCGAAGGUUUACCCUCUUGUACAUAUUUGUUUAUUUUGGGGGCCCACAUGUCAUUGUAGAAUAUUUUGUAUACUUGGCUACGUGUACCACUGUAUGUAUGAAUUUAUUUUGCUUUUACGCUACAAAAAUUAUUUAUGCAGGAUUCUAUAAAUAUUGUUUUAUAAGAAAAUAGAAUAUUUUAUUUAAUAUUUUUAUUUAGUUUGAUUAGCCAUAAUUUCAUUCUUAAUGGAUGAUUUAGAUUACUAAAAUUAUCUUUAGAUAAGAAAUGUAUAUUUUUCAAUCAUAUGCUAUAUUUUUACCAGGUUUCAAAUUUUUCAGGUAAAAAUGACCAAAAUACCCCUACGUGGUAAAAAUUAUUUUUUUGUUUGUUUUGAUUUAAAAAUAGUUUAUAUUCCUUUAAAACAUGAUAUUUAAUAACUAUUACUCACAAGGGAGAUGUAAAACAGAUGCGAGAGCCUUGCGAGGUUUCGGUCGACAUUCCAGGUAAUGAAUGUCUAUCUAGACAUCGCGGCGGAUGUCACGGGCUCGAAGGGAGUACCGGGUCAUGAAAAGUUAGCAUCGGGAUUAACUGAUUAAGAAAGUGCUGGAAGUUAAGGACUGAAGCUUGCUAACUGGUUAAGCAAAGGGGUUGAUUAGUUAAAGUUCAAGACUUGAAGCACUUUGAAGUGCCAAAGUUUAAAUUCAAAGUGAAGAUGAUCGUUGAAGGGAGCCAAAAUGAAAAAAAUUCAAUUCAAAGAAUUUUUAAUUGGUUAAAGUAUAUUUUAAUCUGUUGAAGAUGAAGGGAGAUAUGAUUUAAUCAAUUAAAGGGAGGAUUAACUAAUUAAAAGAAAACUAUUGGUUGGAGAAGUUCAAAAAUAGAAUGUCCUUAAUCAGUUAGAGUUUUUCUACCUGGUUAACAUAGUGAAUAGAGUUGCCAGAUAGUGCAAGUCAAAGAAGUUUUAAUCAGUUAGACCUUGCCUUUAACUAGUAAUGGAAAUUUGUUUGCCUAUUUGAAUUUGAAUGUUAGACGACAAAAUAACGGCUAGUAUGGCAUUAGACAUGUUCACAAGGGCUGGAAACUAUCUUUAACAGAAAAAUUUAACUCCUUAAGUAUAAAUUGAAGCUCCAACGGUCAAAGAAGCAAGUCAGAAGCUACUUAUAGUGAUUUUGAGCUUAGAAGACCAAAAAUCUUCUCUUUACACUUGUAUUCCACUCUUAUCCUUGUGAAAACAUUUGUAGAUGUAAAGAAGAAAGGACUUAGUGAAAAUAGAACAUUGUUAACUGAUUAACGAGAAACCUUAAUUAGUUAAGGCAAAUCUAGGCACUAUAUGAAAGCGAGACAGAAUAGCCUUAAUUAGUUAACAGCAAGCUUAACUAAUUAAGAAGGUGUUGGACGCUAAAGACAAAAGCUUGCUAAUCGGUUAAGUAAAAGGGUUGAUUAGUUAAAGCUCAGGACUUGAAGCACUUUAAAGUGCCAGAGUUUAAAUUCAAAGUGAAAAUGAUCGUUGAAGGGAGCCAAAAUGAAAUAAUUCAAUUCAAAUAAUUUUUAAUUGGUUAAAGUAUAUUUUAAUCGAUUAAAGAUGAAGGUAGAUAUGAUUUAAUCAAUUAAAGGGAGGAUUAACUAAUUAAAAGGAGACUAUUGGUAGGAGAAGUUCAAAAACAAAAUGUCUUUAAUCGGUUAGAGUUUCUUCUAACUAGUUAACAUAGUGAAUAGAGUUGCCAGACAGUGCAAGUCAAAGAAGCUUUAAUUGGUUAGAGCCUACCUUUAACCAAUUAACGAAAAACUAUUCACUUAUUUGAAUUUGAAUGCUAGACGACAAAAUAAUGGCUAGUAUGGCAUCAGACUUGUUCACAACGGCUAGAAACUAUCUUUAACAAAAAAAUUUGACUCCUCAAGAAUAAAUUAAAGCUUCAAUGGUCAAAAAAGCAAAUAAAAAGCUACCAAGAGUGAUUUUGAACUUAGAAGGCCAAGAACCUUCUCUUUACACUUGUAUUCCACUUUUAUCUUUGUGAAAGUAUUUGUGUUGAAGCUUGUAUAACUUAGAUCAGUUAGGUGAUCAUUUGUACCUCUUUUUAUCUUUUAUUUCUUAUUUAUUUAGAGUGUGUGAGACACUCUAAGGGGUAGUUUAAGCUAGGUUAAGCUUAAGACUUGUUGUUAAAGCAUUAGAGCUUGGGUUAGAACUUUAUGUUGUAAAAGCUCGAUGGAAGCUGUUAAUUCCAUUGGUUUUAGUGAAGUAAGCUUGAUGGAAGCUGUUAAUUCCAUUGUAAAAGCUAGGGUGUGCAUGAUGAUGGAUAUAUAUAUAUAUAUAAAUAUACAUAUAUAGAUAUGUGUACUAUAGAAAGUUCAUGAGUAUGAUAUAUGGUUGUAAUGCAUGUGGAAAUUUAGCAUGUUGAACUUUGGGAAUUUCUAAAUGUUUCACGUUGAUUUUGUCAUUUCAGUAGAAUGGCUUUCUUCUUGAGAAAAUGGAAACUUUUCUUUGAUGCCCUGUCUCUCGUUGCAGUGAAAAUGAUUNAUACUUUCCAACUCGAGAGCCUUGUGAGUUUUCAACGCUUACUCUCUAGCAUGGUGGAGAGUUAAGAUUUUCUAUGCAGCUCCCAUUGUUUAAACAAAAGUUUUCAGUGUGUACUUGACAAACAUGAGUUGAUUUAUGUGGCCGUACACUUUGAUUUCUUUACAUGCCACACAUUUUGGGAGCGUGCUUACCUUUAUACUGUAUUUCAUAUUUUGAUGGCAAUGAUGUUUUCGGUGAUUGAAACUCUUUUUGUUACACUUAUUUUUGGCACUAUUUUGCCAAAGAAAUCAUUGUAUUAUGAUUUUACGAUAUUAUUUUGCAAGGCCCAAAUAUCCUCAUUAUGGUUUGGUUUAUAAGAUUUGCAUUUUAUAUUCUGGUUUUAUCAUUCAAAUGAUCCGUUUAUUGCUUGUUUCCCAUCUACUCCCUGCUCACGGAGCCAAUGAUCAUUGAGUCUGUGAGACUUACCCCCUUAUUUCCCUUUUACAGAUAAUGAUCGGCUAACGAGCUAUUCAUCGACAUUCAUGGUCCACUACGAUGUAGGUAAAGGCAUCUCCUAGUACCCUAUUCCAAUUCGCUCCGCUGCUGGCGGUCGACUCGUAGCACUUUAUUUAAUUAAUUGUAAAUGGAUAAUGGCCUUGGUACAAGUAUUAAAUUAGAGAUUUUAGACUUCAUUGUAUAUACUUAUGAUUAGAUGUUUAAAAGAUUGAAUUGAUUAUUAUAAUUGUGGUUCAAGUUAUGAUACGAAAGUAUAUGGUUUGAGCACUAAUAUGAAUUGGUGAAAGAGUAUAGUGCAUUAUCGGGAAUCUCUAAUAAGGCUUGCUUGGGUCUGAUGGGUUAUGCCUAUUAGGUCCAUGUGUCGGUCAUGGCUUGGAAUUUGGGCUGUGACACCUUUUAGGACCAACAGGGUUGGAUGUGACAGUGAAAAUUAUUUAUCUGUAAAGCCCAUGAGGAAUAUAGUAUAGUGAAAGGAUUGAUUAGUAAAGAUUAUAAUAAAAGUGGCCUUAUUGAUAUUCUUUUCUCUAGAGAGGUCAAUUGCAAUGCGUUGUUGGAAAUUACUACAAGUAAAGGGUAAAUAAGGUAUCUUAAUUAAUUUAAGUAACAAAAUGAUGGUAUUAGAUUAAAUGAAAUUCUAAGUAAAAUAUGAGUCACGAGAUGACAUGGACUUUGGUCCAUAAUUGUAGAGAGAUAUCUCUAAGGAUCUCACUCAUAUUCUUCUUUUGGGGUUUAACAUAUAAGUUUUGUUGGAUUAUGAUUAGGUCUAAGGGAUCCAAGUCUAUAAAAGCAAGGGUUGCUACUUAUUUGGCCAUCAGAAUUAUUUUAGUAAAAGUUUUUAAAAAAUAUAGUACAACUAUGGAAUAUGACAUUUAAUACAGGACAUAAACAUAGUCAUAUCCAUAAUAGUUAAACAUAAAUAAGCAAACCAAAUAGGACUAGUGGAGUACGACUCGAAACAAAAGGGCUGACGCUUACUGGAUACCUUACGAACACUUAACAAUGCUGAUUAUGGAAGUAGCUUUUUUCAAAGGACAAUAAGCUUAAGCAUCUAUUGAUCUACAAAACAAAUACAUUUUUGUAACACCUCGUACUUUGGUAUGGUGCCCAAUAUGACCUUAAGGAUAAGAUGAAGGUCAAUUGAGGCCAAUGGAAGUGCUUAAGAGUGUUGGAGGGUGAAAAGAAUAAUUUAGAAUAAAAUAUUUCGUAUGCAAAAAUAAUAAAAAAAUAAUAAUAUCUUAUUAAGGUCGAAGUUGUGGAGUUAGAAAGGUGCUAUAGAGCUAAACCGGGGCAAAGUAAGAUGUUUUGGAGCCUUAGAAGGCUAGAGGAAAAUUUUAAAAUAAAAUAUUAACUUUUAGAUAAAAUAUAUUAAAAUAAUAUAGAUGUCAAAUUGGUUUUAUUACACGAAGAACGUGUGAUUUGUACAAUUUGUCUAAGUGGGGGAGUGGAAGUAAGAAAUAUUUUGAAGAAAGGAAGCUUUAGUGGGGCCCACGUGCAUUCAUAAAUUAAAGUGAGAAAGAGUAAGUAUAUAUUUAAAUAUUAUGGUCACACCUUGGUGGAGUAUGAAUUUGACAUUUUAUUUGAACAAGUGCAAUGGAAGAAAAAUAGAAGAGAAUUGAAAAUAAAGGUGUCACGACCCGGAACCUCCCUCGAGCCCAUGACAACCGCCGCGGCGUUCGGAUUGAUACUUAUUAUCCGAAAUACCAAUCGAAACCUCACAAGGCUUACAUAUCAGUUUUAAACAAUUUUCAGUCGUUUUCGGCUCAAGUAAAUCCAAAGACAAAAAUAUAGCAUUUUUAUAUAAAACAAUAUUUAUAGAAACACGUGUAAGUAAUCUUUUGUAACUUAGAAGUAAAAUAAAUUCAUACAUACAAUAAUUUACAAAGUUUUAACGUACAAUAAUAAUUACAAUGACAAGUGGCCCAUAAAUACACCAAGUGUUGGUGAUAAUAACCUACUAUCUGUGUGAUAGAGGGGUCAAUUGGAAUCCUCGACAAAAUCGGGUAUCUACAAGCUACCACAGGCCUGAAAUAUUUAGAAAGGAGGUGGGUGAGAUUUUGCAAUCCCAAUGAGUAAACAGACAUUAUCAUAAAUAUCUAAAGGCGAGUAACAUGGAGGCAAGUUUAAACAACAAAUUACAAACCAUUUCAUAAGGUUUUCAAUCUAUUUCUUAAACCCUAAAAUAUUUAUAAUUUACCAAAACAGUUGUUAAGGCUUAUAACUUUUAUUAAAAACAAGGCUCAAGCCAAAACUAGUCCUCGGGGAUACCUUGGCCAAGGCAUCUAACCGAGUCCACCAAAGUUGUUAAGAUAUUUACAUGUUAAACACAUGUUAGUUUUAAAAACAAGCCAUUCCUUGACGUUGGCCGAGUUACACAUUCACGUGGGGGUUCGACGUGAAGUGAGCUCUAACACUACCCCGGGAGUUACCCUCCUCGCCUCUACAAUCGGAGUAACUAUAUAAUCGGGUUUACCGUGCCUCUCUAAUAGGCAGUCCACGGAAACCCGUCACUACAGUGACUAAACCCACCAAUUUUAAUAAAAUUUCGACAAUAUAAUGUGGCUUUUAUUUAUUUACCUAGCCUGCAUAGUAAAAGACAGCUUACGUAAAUUCUCAAUGCAAUUAUAAAAUAUAGCCACAUAUACUCAUAUAUCAUAAGCCAUUCAUAGGAAAAUAUAUUUUUCAAGACAAUUGGUAGCCUCCAAUUACUCAAUUUUAUAAUCAAAAGUUUCUUAUUUCAGAAAAUCAAGACAAUAUAUUUAUUUGUCACAUUUAUUUCUAAAACAUCAAAAAUCCCAUUUUAAUCUCAUUUUCGUUUCAUAAAAUCCAUGAAGAGCAUUUAAAAAUAAACUCUAGAUAAUUUACAAUAAUAAUAGGUUUACUCACCGUUUGUACAAAUUAAAUGCUUUCUAGAUGCCCCGAUCACUGUUCGUCGGAUACGACUUCCUUGCCUUUACAGGAAGGCUCUCCUCCUAGACACAUUGCAAAAAUUUCACAAUUUACCAAAUUGAUGCUAAAUCACUAUAUAAUUGACUUAAAUCCUAUACUAAUGCAUGGUAUGAAAUGCAAUAGCCUAAAACGGCUUAAACGCGGUAUUAACCUAUUUUUGGCACUUUACCCGAUAAAUUUCUAAUGCGCUCUAUUUUAGCUCUAAAUUGUCCCAUUUUCUCUCCAACAUUUCUAACCAUUAAAUAUCAGCCAAUAAUCCUCUAAAAUCACCAAAGUCAGCUCACUUUUCUCCUUGGAAAAUUCAGCCAAAAAUGGGACAUUAACUAGGUAAAUUUUUCACUUUGUUUUUCUAUCACAUUUAAUCAUUUUUCAUCAUUUUCUCUUCAUUUCUCUUAGAAUAAAAAUCAGUUCUUCAUCAUUGUACAUCAUUGAAGAUUCGGCCAAGGGUGGGUAUUGUGAAAAUUUCAUGCUUUCUUACCCAAUUUGAUUUCUAUACACAUUUAACUAACUAAAACUAUCAAUUUAACUAAAAAUCAAAACAUAAGAAUUUCAAAUUCCUCCCCCUUGAAAUUUGGCCAGCCCUUGGUAUAACUUUUUGAUCUCUCUCCUCAAGCAUGCUAAUUGGAAACAAAGGCAUAAGAAAAGUAGAAAUCAAGUUAAAGUCGAAAAAUCUUACCGUUAGACACGUAAACGGACGAAAAACGCGACUUCCCCUUUGAAUUUUCUAGUUUUCCUUUGGUUUUUCUCUUUUCUUCCUUUCCUCUCUAUUUUCUCUCUUGUUCUCUCCUUAUGGCCGGCCAUCAUCUGAUAUGGGUUUAAAUGGGUUGACUUUCCUUUAAAAAAAUAUUAAAUCAUUAAAAAGUGCCAUGUGCCACUUUCCCAUUGGCCCGUUUUUAAAAUUUCAUCUUUUAAACUUCAAUUUUUCACCACUUAGAAUACCAUAGUUAUUCAUACCAAAAAUAAAUAAAUCCUAUAAUUUUGACAAGUUUUGGAUGGUGAAAAUUAUGGUUUUUACCCCAAGGCGACAAAAUUAUCGUUUUGCCCCUAUGUUUCAAAAAUUGCCGGAAUUGAAAUUUUUCACUUCCUAUCAUUAAAUUAUACUCCAAAUAGUUAAUCUUGGUCAACAAUUUCACUCAAUGAUCAAAUUAUUAUCUUAGGUGGCAAAAUGACGAUUUUGCCCUUAAACAUCAAAAUUUUCAAUUUUUUCCCAAAUGAACCCUCGAACUUCGAACAAUCAUUCUUAGUCAUUCCUGGACUGUAAAAUAUUAAAUUUCAUCCUACGAUUCCUAUUUGAACUAGUUCGAGGUUAAAUCAACUCAAGUGUACCGUUAGGUACAAUACCAGGUUUCGUCUAUUCUUCGGAACUUUCCUAGCGUAAUAAUAUGCUACUCAGUGCAUGUAUGUCAUGACAUGUGUUUAUAGGAUCGAGUUUACAAAAGAAAUGAUGGAAGGACCCAAUUGUAAAUAAUGAAGAGUUAAGAAAAUAUUUGAUGUAUAUAUAUUUGUACUAUGGAAAGCAAGAUGAAAUUCAAGUAGGAUGCAAGUAAAGUAAAAUGCAAGUGAGAUUGCUUAGCUUGAUGGAAUUUGCAUGUGAAGUUACUAUUACAUGCAAAUGAUUGCAUGUAAAAAAAAAGGAUAAAGCUUAGUGGAAGACAUAUAGGACCCCCACCAUGUAAAAGAUGACAAAGAGAAAAAGAACAAAGAGUAUUUAAUUGAAAAAAAACCAUGGUUUGUCAAAGAUAGCCCAUGGUAAACAAAGUAAGAUUGGUAAUGUGACUUGAAAAGAAAAGGGUAUAAUCAUAACAUCUGAUGGAAAAAAAUAAAAUAAAGAAAUUUGAGUUGAUGGAGGAACUUGGGAGAAUCCACCCAUACAAGUGAAAAAGUAAGGUUUCAAGGCUUUUUGCCUUGUGAUAUCUACCCACAUAAAAGAAAAAGAAAGAAAAGAUGAGAUAGUGAAGGUGGCGGAUGGAGAAGAUAAAUGAGGAUAGAUAUUGGGCCAAUGAACAAGGAAGGAUAUUGGUGCAUGAAAAUUGAGUGGGGGAUGAGUUGGUCCAAUGAGAAGUGAAGAAUAAAAGAAAGAAGAGAAAGGUGGGGGAAAGACUUGGAGAACAUUGGCAAAACCACACCUUUGAGGGAAAAGAAUGAAAGGAUUAGCCUUGUGAAGCUCCACCUAAGAGGAAGAGAGAAAAAAGAAGAAAAGAGACAUGCAAGGAAAGGCUCGACUUUUUAGAGAAAAAUCUAAAGAAACUGUGAGGUUUCCUUUCCUUUUACUUAGUUGAGUCUUGAAAUCUCAUCAUCCAAAGAGAACCUUAGAGAUUUGAAGGAGAUGUGUGGUUUGGUUUCAAGAUCCAAGUGAGGAAAGGUAAGAAUUAUGAUUUUAGUUUGAAUAUGUUUUGGGAACUUGAUGGUAACAGAGGAAAGUGUUUGUGGCAGCAAAGGUUUUCCAAGAUUUGAAAGAAAUAGAUAUAUGCAUGUGGGUUCAUCCUAGAAGUAUGGAGAUUUAAAGCAAGACAAAUGAUGAGUAAGUGCUUUUAACCUUGAGAUCAUAAGUGGAAAGGAAAAAAUAAAAAUGUGUGUUGAUUAUUUGUGCUUGUGGCAGCAACAGUGACCGAAGAUGUUAGAAGUUAGUGAGUUGCAUUUGGAAUUCCAAGUAAAAAUCGAAAGGUAAGCAUGCAAUGUGGGUACCUUAUAUUAUAUUGGACUUAGUUGGUUGAGAGUUCAAAAUUUGCAUGUUAGAUUAUUGUGAAUAAUAAGGAUGAAAAAUGUGAAAUUAGAUUAAAGAUUCAUUGAUUAAGGUGCUGCCCAUAUAUGUGUACAAUUAAGUAUAAAUGCGAAAAUAGACAUAAUGGAGAGGUAGAUUAUUGUGAGGGAUUCUUGAAAAUAAAGAGAACUAAGAAUAUGGUAUAUUGAGUUUAAUUUGCUACUAAGAAGUGCAUAAGUGAGGAAGGUUUGCCGUGGUGGUGUAUCAGAAGAGGUAACGGGUGAUCGACAAGUAGAAUUAGCGAGAGGCACACCCGAAUCAAUGGCGAAGUAACAUCCCACUAUUGUGAGGUGAGUAAGGGAUGUCUAUUUCAAAGUUUCAUAAACUAUAUAAUGAUAUACGCUUGAAUUUAAUAUUUCAACCUCAUGCAAAGGUUUUAUAUCAUGAAUUCUUACAAACGGAUUGACAACGUCAACGUGAUUGGCAUUUUGGAAAUGGAUUUAAAAUAAGCUUUUGAAAACCCAAAUUUAGUUAUAAAUGGUUUUGUCAAAUCAGGAGAUUCGAGAGUAGGUCGCAUGUCACAUCGGGAUAGUGUGACCCUUGUACACAAGUGAGCUCUAGCUAGAAAACCUUUGGGUCAUCGACGGGCUGUUAGACUUGGCUAGGCUACAGUCUGUGAUAUAUAUAUGUGGCAAGGCCACGGGAUGACAUACGUGGCUAGGCAGCCAGUUGAUAUACGUGGUUGUGACCACAUGAUUUCUCCGAUGGCGGCUAACAUCGUCGAGACUGCCAUGGUUGUGGGAAUCCGGUUGAGGGGGGCCUCCUAGAUGUUAUUAUGUGGAAACGGGUCCAUGGGUUGAUUAUUACGAUUACUUACUCGAAAGUGAUAUCACUUUGGGUUUUUAAACAUGUAUUUUUUCGCAUGGUGAGAAUUACAAGUUUUACUGUAGCUCUUUUAUUUAUACGAUGAUUUUGUAUUUAAUUCCUCCAGGAUGAGAUGAUUUAUGAGCUUGUGUAUAAGCUUUGAUAAUGCUUGAUUUUACGAGAGCAUGUGUGCUUAUGCUGGUUAAAUGAUUUCAAUGGUAGAAAUCUUUCCCUUGCACUGGCUUUGAUACAUUAAUUGAAAUGAUUAUUUUGCAUCAAAAUUCUUGGGUUAUAUGUAAGACACAAAUGUUCUAUUUGAUUUUAAAUAUUUAUAUACAUUCUUAUGUUUUUAAUAUUCAAAUUUUUUAUCUUUGGUUUGUUUCCCAUCUUCGUCCUACUCACUGAGCCGAUGAUCACUGAGUUUGUGAGACUCACCCCAAUAUUCUCAUUUUGUAGAGAAGUGAUCAGCUAGCGUGCUUUUCAUUGGCAUACUAUGGUCCACUGCGAUGUAGGUAAAGACAUCUCCUAGUACCCUAUUCCGAGUCGCUCUGUUGCUAGAGGUCCUUAUGCUGUCAAGAGAUUUUAGGAACUUGUCGUUUAUUGUAAAAUGUAAACAUAUAUUUAUGAUGAUGAAACAUAAUGUAUAGGGAGAAUAUUUGCUAUUAAUGAAAUUGUGAUGGUUAUGAGAUUUUUGACAGACGUGUUAUGGUUUGAUAAAGUGAUAAUUGUGAAGGCUUGUUCGGGAUCUGGUGGGUUCUCCUGCAAGUCUUAGACCCUGGUAACGAUCGGGAAGAGGGUCGUUACAAUCUUACAUAUGUGAGUUAUAAUAACUUCGUAAGCAAAUACCGGGUUGGGGGAACAAGCUAAAUGAGAGAGUGUUUAUCAAAGAUACUUUUAAAAUAAAUGCUAGUAAUCAAUUUCAAACAAUAUCAAAGUUUGCCUUUCAACCCUAACAAAUAUUCAUAGAGUUUGGGAAUUCAAUUCUUGGAUAAAACCAAACAUCCCUAGGUUCGAGUUAUGUGACAAGUAGGAUCACGUGUCCAAAGAAAACUUCAAUGCCAUUGUCUCAAUAAAAGCAAACUCAUUUAAAAAGAUUUUAUAAGGUUUUGUUAAGAACCCAUUCCUAAGCCUUUGAAAUAAGAAUAAUGGUUUGUAAAACAUUUACGUAUUUAUUAGGAAUUUGAAAAUAUGGUGCCCUGGAAAGCAAGUAUAUUCUCAUGUUUAAUUUCAUUUAAUUUAUUUGUAAUAAAAGUAUAUUUUGAUAAUAAGACGAAGAGUUUGUUUUAAGUAAGCAUUCAUUAUCUAGUUAUUAAGGUACUGUAAUUCUAUUGAGAUAUUAAUAUACAUUUGUAUGAAGUGCCAUGCAUAGAGACAUGUAUUUCAAUUGAAUCUAAAAAUUGUUCACAACCAUGUAAUAAAGCUGGUCAAUUUAUUGUGAUAAGGUUGUAGUGUCCAGAUUACUUCCAAUGAAACAAAUGUUAUUCACUUCAAGGGAAUGAUAAGUCUCAAAUCAUUGGAAUGGUUGAUUUUGAGUAAUGCACUAUAACAUGAACUGGUAUCACGUGAGAAUCAAAUUUAAGUGUAACCGUUAGUUAAAUCUUGAUCUUACACUUAUGCAUUUGUUUAUAGUAGAACCAAAAUCUUGAUGGAUAGUGGACUCGUGUUUUAUCUCCUUAUAAUUUUUUGUAUACCAUGGGCAUGAUCAUCAUAAAACAUUGAUCUAGACUCUGUAUGUUGGGAUUAUAAUCGAGAUGAACAUCCAAAACAUGUAUCCAAAUAGUGGAGUUCAUAGCAUUAACAUCACUUGUAGUGAUUUCAAGAAUAUUGGUGAUUAAUCUGGGCAUAGUGAAUUGAUGAAUUAGCCACUCAUCAAAUCUUGAUACUUAAAAGAUUAGAUCUAGAGUAUUGAAUCACUAAUUGGAUGAAAUUGGACACUAGGGGACAAAAUUGACAUGAAAGGUAAAACGAUAAUUUUACCUUUUGUUAUUAGAUGGUUAUGAGGGUUCACAAUAUAAGGUUUGCAAUUGGAUAACUAAUACUUAAAAGUAUAACGUAGCGAAAAAAUAAAAUAAGGAUUUAAUCAAAGAAACAGUCGAAUCCCACAAGAUCAAUGUUUGUGGUUUUUUUUUAUGUAAUUUUCAAAUUAAUUAUGAACAUUUAUAAGUUUAAAUAUUACAUACCUUGCUCUAGAUAUUGUAAUCAAGAGCCAGUUAAAUCCAAAAGGCUUGUGAUGAAGCAAGAAACCUGAAAAGAGAAUAAGACAGUCUGAAAUCCUGAAUUCAAAAUCUUUGCUUUUUCACCUUUAAGAUUUGUCAAAUCUUCAGCCACCCAAGUAUUUGGCCUCUAACAGUAUUCCACACAGUGAUCGAAUAAGACCUUCUCAAAGGUCGGAUUUUACUUGUGCUAACAAGUUUUGUUUCUAAAACAAAAAAACCAAAAGUUAUUGUCAAAUCUUAUUUCUGUUAAAGAGAGAAAACUAUUUUUCUUUUUCUUAUUUUUAUGAAACGACUAAGAAGUAGUUGGGGGCUUAGAGUUUUAGUUGGCUAACAUAACAUAUUUUUAUAGCCAAACUAAGUUGUAACCCUAAAUGCAACAUUUUUAUUUUGAUUUAAUUAAUUCCUUGUGAACUUAAUUAAUUUUCCCAUUUUAUUUUGGUUUGUUUCAAUUAAGUCCAACUUAUUUAAUUAUCCUAAUUUAAACGCAAUUAUGUCACAUAAUGUGUGUGACCCUUUAGGCGUCUAACAUGUUGAAAAUAAUAUAAUCAUAAUCAAAUAUUAAUUUGAUAAUUGAUUUAUAUUUAUAAAUCAUGAUCGACAUCUAGCAAUAUAUCAUGACCACCCGAAUGUUAGAGAGUCAAUUAAAGAAUUUGACAAAGCCUUUUAGUGAUAAGCUUCUCAAUGCACAACAGUCCUUUUGUCAAAUAUCCUAGAUAUGUCAUAAGCAUGGCUUGAUGUCUACUUAUGACAUUACAUAUUAGUUCUCAUAAUUCAUGACUAACCUUAUGAAUUUAGGAAACUAACUUUCCUCAAAUUGAUCAUGCUUUGGCCAAGGACUUUAUACAAGUUAAUCAAGAAUUGAGAACAAGUGAGAUACAUCCCUUAUAUCACUUGGGGUGAUGAAUCCUCUGUUGACCACUCAUCCAUCUUAGCAUGCUUCAUGGCAUACCCAAAAGCACCAUGUUUAGGCAUCUAGUCGCCUCCAGACCCGUAGAAGUGAAAUCAAAGUGUGUCAUUCUCCAUACAAGAUAACCUAGUGUCUCAAGUUCGAGGACUAGUUGCAUGACUAUCACAUGAGAACAUAUUCCAUAUACACUUGAGUGAAAUACCAAAUGGAGUUCUCAUAGCAAGUCAUGUUCAAUGAACUUGUUCUUUAACAAGCACCCACAUGUUAUUCUCAAGUAUCCCAUAUACUUCAAUCUAUGAGAUCGAUUGCGUACUUCCUAAGUAAGGAAGCUUAAUAUGUACCAGUCUUUGAGCAUUGUCAAUGCCCUGUCUUGACAAUACAAUGACCAAGAACUAUUUUAGGAACAUGGCUCUGAUGCAUAGAGAUCUCAUACUUGCAACAACUUUAUAAUUUUCUUGCAAGGCCUUUAUGUUCCAUGGGCUUCAUCCAAUUAGUACUUAAUAACUCCUUAUUAUUGUACUAACAUGAAGGAAAAACUCUAUCACAUAAUGUUAUGCGAUUAAGUAUGCAUCAAAUGACAAUAUAUCCCCUGAUCAAUCUAAUUGACUCCAGGGCAUAUACUAACAUGUUUUAUUUGAUUAAUUAAAUUGUCUACAAAAAUGAUAACUUUUACAUGUUUGUCUUAAUUUAGACAAGAAAACAUGUUUGCCUUAAUUUAGACAAGAAAACAUGAAAACAUAUUUUUCUUAAUUUAGACAAGAAAACAUGUUUUGUCUUAAUUUAGACAAGAAAAACAUGUAUGUCUCAAUUUAGGACAAGAAAAAUAUGUUGUCUUAAUCUAGAUAAGAAAACAUGUUUGUCUUAAUUUAAAGAAGAUAACAUAUUUUGUCUUAAUUAAAGACAAGAGUUGUCUUAAAUUAAGAUAAUGCUAGGAGGAUUCUUGCAAAAUGAAUCUGGACAUCCAUGUUGAUAAAAGGAGACUCCAUGUUUGACUAUCACUAUUUUAUUUAUUAUUAAUUAUUUUAAAUAAAGAUGGAUAAUAAUAAUAUAAGAGUUAUUAUUCAACAAGGAGUUUUAUUUUAUCAAGAACUCUAAAUGAUAAUUAGAGAAUUAAAUUGUUUAUUCUUUAAUUUUAAUUUGGAUAAUUAUGGAGCAUGUUUGAUGCAUUAGUAUCUCUAAAUGGAUGGUCAAGAUUGAUUCAAAAGUAUUAAAUUUUGAUUAAACGUUUGAGGCAAGAGUUUUAAUAAAAAGAGAAAAUAUUGAAAAAAAAGAACGUACGUAUCUUUCUUGAAAAAAGUUUCAACUGUCAUUUUUCUCCUCUUCCUUCAAACUUUGUUGUACCUCUCUUCCUCUCUCCCAUUCCUGGCUAAUUUCUUAAAAGAAAAAUAGCCAUUAAUUUUUCAAAAGAAAAGAAAGACAAAAUCGAUUGCCAUCUUAUAGUCUAGCAUUCCACACCUUGUCCACUCAAAGUUCAAGUUGAAAUCAUUCUUGAAGAAUAUGUGGUAAGCUUGUUUGGUUAAGAAAUUAAUCAUUGGUGUGGUGGUAUUUGAAAAUAAGAAACUCAAAAUAAAAGGUAUGUUUUAUCUUUCUUUAAUAAAUUCUUAUUUUUUAGGAUGUAAUUAUGUUACUUGCAAUAAGAAUGAUGUGUUUUUCCGCUUGUGUAAUUAGAUUGCAUGCUUCCUUUAUAAAAGAAAAAUUUUUGAAAUUGAUGCUUUAUACAAACACAUCAAUGCACUUAGAUCCAACUUUAUCAGUAUUUCCAAGAAAAUAAUUUAUAAAUAUCGGGCUCUAAAGCUUUUGUAAAAGAUGUUGAGGAAAACAAAGAUUCAGUUUCAUAGAAAAUGAAAUAAUGUUGUCAUCUCUUGAAAAUCCUUGAAGAAAACGAAAGGAUUUAAAAAAUAACAUAAUUUGUACUACAUUGAGUAAAUCAAGUCUAAACACCAAAGUCGGCAAUUACCCAAUCCAAAGAUCAAGGUUGAGACAAAUACCAAAUCCAAAUGCCAGAAUCGAAAGAAAUAGCAACUCAAGCACCUUAGUCUAAGCAAUUGCCAAAUUCAAGGACCAAAGUCUAAACAAAUACCAAAAAUAAAAUCCAAAAUCAAUAAUAUCAAUUCCAAAGUCCAUAGUCGAAACAAAUAUCGAAUCCUAAUUCCAUAGAGUCAAAUAUCAUUACAAAUAGAAUGUGGAGUGCUAGACAGCAUGAAUAAUCAAAUCAAAGCGUGUCGUAGCACCAAAGUGGUUAAAUACAUGAUAGUCAUUGAUUGUAUAUCAAGGGAGGUAAGAUCGUAUUUGUAAAACCUCGACCUUUAGAGACGUGUAGCAAAGGUAGACACAAUGAUGUGGGUUAAGGGUAAUUUUGUCAUUUUCCUUGGUGAGCUCCUAAAAAUGGGUUUCUAACAUUAUUAAGGUCUAAGUAGGCUUAAGGAAUAGUGAAUGAGGUAUAUAAUAAUGAAAUAAAUGAAGAAAAUUGAAAUAAUGAUGAUUUCCACAAUAGGGGCAAAAUGGUCAUUUGGACCUCAAGUCUAAAUUUUUAAGUUUUCGUGAACUAGAGUACCCCUAGUCUAUUAUGGACCUUUCCUCAGUAUCAAAAGAGUAAAAAGUUGAACCAAAAGAAAGAUAGAAGGUAAAGUCAACUAUGCAAUGGCAUUUUGGUAAAUAAGUGGAAUUUAGUCAACUAUAGGAUAAAUAUCUCAUUUUUUCCAACACUUUCUCCUCACUUCCAGCAACUUCUUCUUCUUCUUCCCAUUUCUCUUCUCCAUUUCAUAUUUUCCAUCUUCCAUGGAAGCCAUCCCUUAAAACCUCCAUAACUUUCUCAAAGUAACUUCAAUUCUCAUGCUUUGGUACAUUUUUUCAUAGGAUUCCUUGUGCUCUUUCACUUCUACAUCUCAAGAACCCUCAAAAGUUUUUUCUCAAUACUUUCUCUCACUAGAUGGAUGUUUUAGAGAAAGAGAGAGACUUUCCAUAAUAGCUUGACAAACUCUUGGAAAGGAAUUCAACUACAAAACCACCAAGGUUCCAACGAGACCCCACAUCUCCACUUGGAGCAUUAGUAGAAGUCAGAGUCAAUUAAAGAAUCAACAAAGACAAGUGAGUGAACUUGCAUUAAAAUGUGUUGAAAUAAAUGAUUAUAUGCUUGAUUGAACCAUUUGAAAUAUUUUGUUGGUUUUCUUUAAAAUUUGCAUGGGAACAAGCCCUUGAUGAAACGUUUUUAUGUUAUGGAAUAUGAAUGUGAUGAAUUCAUGUGUUUCUAUAUUAUGUUGAUGUGUAUGUUAUGCAUUAAAUGGCAUUAUGUCAUAGCCCAAAUAUCGGGCCAUGACCGGUGGAUGGGCCCAAUGUGCAUAGCCCACUAAGCCUAAGCAAGCCUUUUUAUGUAAACCCGAUCAUCAUUCCCAACCAUCAUUUCUAAAACCACAUAUUGCAACUUUCAAUUAUAAAUAUUUCAUUAACGUUUUAUAGCAAUCCAAUAUUCACAUUUGUAUUAUGCUAACAUAGUAUCACUCAUUUGCCACCUUACAGUGGCAUCAAUAAUCAAAUAUACAUAUUUGAUUUUUAACAUGAAUCUUAGUGGUCUUCAUUACUUAUACAUGUACACAAGCAUAAGAGUCUUGACCAUCAGCAAAGUGACUUUAAAUGAAGGUACCGCAACUGAGGUGCCAUAGUACCUACCAAGAAGACGAGCAUACAUGGACAACUCAAUCUAGGUCCCAACUGCCUCUGAAUUUGAAAACAUGAAGUUUAAAAAUGUGAGCAUAAACUCAGUGAGUGAACAUAGGAAGGGAACAAGCAAUUGAUAGGAAGAAUUUGGAAAUAAUGAUGCACUUGUUUCAAAAACAAUACAAUUGAUUUAAUUUGUUACUAAAACCCUCUCAUUUCAAACUUUGAUCAAUAACCUCAUAAUGUAAAAAAACCCAUGAUCAAUCCAUGAAGUUAAAUGGGUGAAAAAUAUGUCAAAAUCAAGCAAGGUAGCAAGCAUGGCAGCAAGUUUCUCGCUGCAGCGAGAAACAGUCUCAAUUUGCAUAUGUUUCUAUUUUUUAUCAUAUCACCCACUACAAAUAUCCAAUUGACCUUAUUUUUAUACCAUUAAAAAGAUAAGAGGCAGGGCUACAAUUUUGAUGUUUACCACUUUUCCCAUUUAGGACGGGAAGGUGGUCAAAAUCUUUGUCGAAGUGAAAGCACUGCACCAGAACCCGAGAGUUUCUCGCUGCAAUGAAAAUGAAUCUCGCUGCAGUGAGAAACAGAGCAUUUUAAUAGAAAUGGGUCUUGUUACAUCAAAAGCCAUUUUCGUGUUGAAAUGAAAAGCAAUUUGAGAGCAAUUAACAAUGCCAACUUGCAACAUAAUCACAAAUAUUUCCAUAACUUUCUAUAACACAAACAUAUAUAUACAUAUGCAUUCAUCAUCAUGUGUGCACUCUCUACUCGCACACUCUAACAUCAUCAUGUGUGCACUCCCUACUCGCACACUUCAACAUCCUCACACAACAUUAUUCAUCAAUGCAUAAUGUAUAUUCAUAUACAUAUAUACCAACAUAAUAUAAAAGCACAUGGAUUCAUCCUUUUACACAACAUCAAAGCAUUUUAUCAAGGGCUUGUUCCCCGGCACACAUUUUUAAACAAAGGUUGGAUAAAAUCAUUCAAAUGUUUCAUCCAAAUACAUUUACAUCUCCCAAAGUAAAUUUUGAAAUGCAAGUUCACUCACCGGUCUUGUUGAUUCUUUUGCUUGACUCUAAUCUCAACUAAUGCUCCAAAUGGACAUGUGAGGCCUUGUUGGAACCUAUACACACACAACAUAACAACCAACCCAAAUUGGCAUUAAUAUAAUUCCGAAAGCUCUUUCCUAAUCAAGUUCUACUAGUUAUUCCUAACUAGCUUCCAAUUGCAAUUAAAUGGCUAGUUAUUCACACUACUCUAGUCACCCUAAGAGUGAAUAAACAACCUCAAUGAUAAAACACUCACAAACCCCAUUGUUAGCCAUUAUCAACAACUAAAGAAAUUUAACCUUAACUUGUACUCACCUUGAUGGUCUUUGUAGUUGAAUUCUCUUUCAAAAUUCUUCAAGCUAACAAGGGAAAUCUCUUUCUCUCUCUCUACAUGUCCAGCUAGUGAGAGGAAGAUGGAAGUAAGACUUUUUAAGGGUUUUAUGGUGAGAGAGUGAAAGAGCACAAAAGGUUCUAUGAAAAAGUACUCAAAAACAUAAAAUUGAAGCUAGAGAGAGAAAGUUAUGGAAGCUUUAAGGGAGGCUCCCAUGGAGAUGAAGAAACGUGAGAGGGGAAAGGAAGAAGAAAUGGCUGGAAGCUGCUGGAAAUUGCUAGAGCUUUAGAUAUUUAUAUAUAAAGUUUAUCCAUUUCUCACAUAAAUUACCAAAAUGCCCUUAACAUGGUGACUUUGUCUUCCUCUCAUCCUUUGUGAAACCUUUUACUCUUUUGACACUGGGCAAGGUCCAUAAUAGUCUAGAAAUACUCAAGUUCACAAAACAUAAAAAUUUAGACCCGAGAUGCAAAAUGACCAUUUUGCCUCUACCAUGGAAAUUAUCAUUAUUUUUAUCUUCUUUGUUUAUUUACCAUCAUAAAUAUCAUUUAUUCAUUCCUUAGGCUUAUUUAGACCUUAAUAGCAUAACAAAAACCCACUUGUAAGAGCUCACCAAGAGAAAUUAUGAAAUUAACCCUGGUCUGCAUUAUCGCGUAUACUUCUAGUUAUGUGUCUAUGGAGAUCGAGAUUUCAUAGGUUCACUUCUAAGUUACCCUUUUUAACUAGAUAACUAACCCAAAUUGGUAUCUGUAAACUUAUUAGCUAUCGUAUCAAAAUACGGGGUACUACACACUAUUGGGUGACAAUUGCAACCGUGCGUGUGCGGUGUGGGAGUGCACAUGACGGUGAUAGUGGUGUGCUGUGUGAGUGCACACACUGAUGAUAUAUGCCAUGUGCAGUGUGGAAGUGCACAUGACAGUGAUAGUGGUGUGUUGUGUGAGUGCACACACUGAUGAUAUAUGCCAUGUGCAGUGUGGAAGUGCACAUGACGGUGAUAGUGGUGUGUUGUGUGAGUGCACACACUGAUGAUAUAUGCCUUAUACGGCGUAGGAUUGUGUUAGGAUGAGCCAUACAGCUAAUUGGGAUUGGUUGAGGUUUGAUUCCAAUCAUGCAACAGUAUCAUUCAUGUUGAAUGAUUAGAGGCUUUCCUUCAUCAAUAAGACAUUAAUUAUAAUGAGUUAUAAGUCUAAUUGGAUGAAGUACAUGAGAUUAAUAUACCUUGCAAGGAAACUUGUAAUGGGUUGCAAUUAUGAGAUCCUUAUGCAACAAAGCAUAAUCUCAAAAUGUUAUUGGUCAAUGUAUCAUUGAGACUGGACAUCAAUGAUGCUUAAAGACUAGUAUAUUCUAUGUUCCUUACUUUGGAAGUAAGCAAUCGAUCUCAUAGAUUGAAGUAUAGAGAUACUUGGAACUAGAAUAUAGGUGCUUGCCUAAGAGAACAAGUUCACUAAACAUGACCUGCCAUGAGAAGUGCAUUUGGUAAUACACUCUAGUGUCUAUGCAACACUUCUUAUGUGUUAGUUGUGUAAAUACUCCCUAGACUUGAGACACCAGGUUGUCUUAUAUAUGGAGUGCUAUGCUUUGAUUUCAUCCCUACGGGUGCCUAACCAAGGAUGCCAAAAUAAGAUGCCUUUGGGUAUAGUAUGAAGCAUGUGAAGGCAAAUGAGUGGUCAAGAUAGGAAUCAUCACCUCAAGUGUUUUAGAGGACAUAUCUUAUCAGUUCUUGGUUAACAUUAGCUUAUUGAAGUCCUUCGCCAAGGCGACAUGGAGAUUAUGAAAAAUGUUUCAUAACUCUUUAUAAAACUAAUGCUAUAAUUGCAGGAACAAAUAUGGAGGUCAAUAAGAGUAGACACUGUACCAAGCUCUUAUCAUCUCUGAGAUUUAUGAUGAGGGAAUGAAUUACACUGAUAGAUUGUACACUGAAAGGUUAUCAAAGAACCCUUUGACUCUCCCAAUAAUUGAGUGGCCAUGAUGCAUUGCUAGAUGCCAAUCUUCAUUUAUGGAAAUAAUUAUAAAUUAAUUGAUUGAAAUUUAUAUUAAUCAAUUAAGUCAUUAAUCAAUUCCAUUGCCAACAUGUUGGGAACCUAAUGGGUCACACACAAUGAUUGCAUUUGAAUUAAAUUGGGAGAGUGAUGAUUUAAGUUAGACUUAAAUCACAUGCUAGGUAAUUAACUUCUAUAAACUUAAUUAAAAGAGUUUAAUUAAGUUUUAGACAUAAUUAUAAGGCCUUGAUUGCAAAAUAUAAAGGAAAUUAAUUUUGAUUUUAGUUUCCAAGGACUAAAUUAAAAGAGUUUAAUUAAGUAAUGGGCAAAUAUUAUAAUGUGUUAUAAUAUUGAGGGCUUAAUUACAGAAUUGAAGUUAUUUUAACCUAACUAUAUAAGUCACCUUUUAACUAUUUUCCAUAUGAAAGUUUUUCAGAAUUGAAGACAACAUAGUUUUUGUUAGAAAAAGAAAGCAUUUUCUUUCUUUGCCACCACUCCUUUUGUGUGAAAGAGAAAAUUGCUUAUGAAGCAAUUUUUGAGAAAGGUUCAGCUAAGAUUGUGGAAAAGAAGAAAAGGACAAUUGUUAUCCUCUUUGCUAGCACAAAGUAUAGUUAAAAGCUCCCUCAUUUGUUGAAGGUUCAAGUGCAAUCGUGUGUACUACCGUUGGAGGCCAAACACUUGAUUGGCUAGGGUUUUUGCUCCUUGUGGUGUUCGUGGGAUUGCUUCAGGAAGUGCCAUUGUGAUUACAAAAUUACUUGGCAAGGUAACUGUCUAUCAAUGAAAAUUUAUUUUAUGCUUUUAUGUGUUAAAUAUCACCAAGGUGAUCCAUGGGUGGAGGCAUGUCUUGGCAUUUUAGUUAUAAGUUUUAAUUUUCUUUCCGCUGCGUAUUUUGAGCAUGCCAUCCAUAGCCAAACCCAUCAGAUUGCAAAGGAUGAUUCUAGCUAUGUGCGGUGUGGAAGUGCACAUGAGUUGGUGAGAUGGGAGUUGUAUACAUGUAUGCACAUACCAUAUAGAGGUUAAGGAAAUCAAAUGUGAUUGUAUUAAAUAUUGAAUGUUGAAAUUUGACAAAUGCUUUCCAAUUGAUUUUUCAUUACAGCAAAAAUGGAUUUUCAUUGGGACAAGAAUUCUUUAACUUGAUAGCCCUGUUUUUCGCUGCAGCGAGAAACUCUCAGGUGCCGAGGGCUUGACUAGCCCAGAUUUUCACUGCAUCGAAAAUGCAUUCUUAGUGCAACAAGAAACUCUCGGGUGGUUGGGUAAAAUGCAGUCCAGAUUUUCACUUUAGCGAAAAUGAAUUCUCACUACAGCAAGAAACUCUAGGGUUGUUGGUCCAAAAUUUUGCCCUGAAGUUUGCUGCAACGAAAAUUCUUUCUUGCUACAGCAUGCUUUUUCGCUGCAACGAGAUUCGCUCUGCUAUGCUUGCCUUGCUUGAACUUUACUAUACCUUUCACUCUUUAACUUCUUUAUUGAUCAUGGUCUUUCAAUACUAAGGCACUAAAUGAUCAAGAGUUGAAUUAAGGGGUUUCAACAAGGAAUUGAGCUAAAUUGCAUUGUUUUCAACAUAAGUGCAUUAUGUUUUCUAAAACUUCCUGUACUAAUGCUUGUUCCCUUCCUAUGUUCACUCAUUGGGUUUAUACUCACUUUUUUCAACUUCAUGUUUGUCAAAUUCAGAUGUAGUUGGGACCUAGACUGAGGCGUCCACUAACACUCACUUUUGGUAGGUACCAUGGCAUUCAGUAGCUGUACCUUCACCCAAGGUCACUCUGCUGGAAGUCAAUGAGUCUUUUUGUCUGUGCAUAUGUACAUGUGAUGUAGAUCACUAAGAUAUAUGUUGUAAACAAUAUAUGUUUAUUUUGAUUAACAUUGCCACUAUGAGUUGGCAAUGGGUGACAUUAUUUUGGAUAACAAAAUGUAAGUAGUUGACUGUCAUGUUAUAUUGUUGAAAUAAUCAUACUUGAGAAUCACGAAAUAUGACAUUUAAAGUGAUGGAUAGAAUGAUGAACAAGAUCAUAUAAAAAGGUUUGCUUGGGCUUAGUGGGUUAUGCCCAUUGGGCCCAUCCGCUGGUCCUGGCUCGAGAAUUUGGCUAUGACAGUAUCAACUACCAAAUGAAACCAAAUCAAAGGGGGUAUGACUCUGUUAGCUAGCCAAUCAAAGCUAAGCAUUGUGUGCAAUGGCUAGUGGUUACUGUUAAUAGCUACAGGUCCAUAACUCAAGUAGGCUCCACUAAAACAUUUUAUGUUAUGUUCCUAAUAUCCAAAUAUCCAUUUCCAAAUGAAAAGGUGAAUCAUUCAAUGCCCUACAUAAAAAGGUUCAAAACAAAAUAAAGUUUAAGUGUUCAAAGUCCGUUUCCAAACAAACGAUGGAUUUAAUCAUCUACAUUUUAGAAGUUAGAAGUAAAGACUAAAUCAAAAUCAUCAAUCUGAAAGACAAAUUGACUCGGUGCUAGGGUCUAUGUGAAACUAAUCAUUUUUCAUUCCAAAUUUUCAAUUAUUCAAUCAAGCAAUUAUCCAUAGACAAAUAUCAAUUUUUGAGGCAUUAAACAUUUGAAAGGCUUAUUCUCCAUGCUCAAAACUAAAUAUAUAAUAACAUAUUUACAUAGUAUACAUAGAUUUCAUAAAACAAACUUGAAACCGUUGUUUACAUCACAAAGUUCAUCAAAAAACAUUUUAAUGCGAGGUUGUAGAAUAGGCUGUUAGUAUAAGCCCUACAAGCAAAUCUGUAGUUGUAUGGGAAUUGCAAAGAUAUUCAUGUAUGACAUUUUGUUAUUCAUAAUAACAUUGAGGUAGUUCUUUAUCCAUAAGUUUGUGAUUUAAUUACUUUUUGUAUUUAUGUAGAUAAAGCCCAUGGAAUUAUAUAUGACUUGUAAAGGAAUUGUAUUGAGAUACAAUUAUGAAAUCCUUAUGCAUUAAAGCAUUGUUCCUAAAAGUUCCUGAUCAUUGUAUUAUUGUAUCACAGCCCAAUUUUUGGGCUAUGACCGGCGCAUGGGCCUAAUGGGCAUAGCCCACUAAGCCCAAACAAGCCUCUUUAUGUAAUCUCGAUCGUAUUUCAACAAUCAUUUCUAAAGUUACAUUUCAUAAUUCUUAACUAUAAAAUAUUCAGUGAUAUACUACGGCAAUCAAAUACUUACAUAUAGAUCAUCAAAAUAAUAUCACCCAUUGCCAACUCAUAGUGGCAUCAUCAAUCAAAAUAUACAUAUAUUGUUUAUACUAUGAAUCUUAGUGAUUUACAUCACACGUAUGUAUACACAGGCAAAAGACUAUUGACUACCAGCAAAGUGACUUUGGGUGAAGGUACAACUACUGAAUGCCAUGGUACCUACCAAAAAGAUGAAUAUACGUGGACACCUCAAUCUAGGUCCCAACUGCUUCCAAAUCUGAAAACAUGAAGUUUAAAAGAGUGAGUAUAAAUCUAGUGAAUGAACAUAAGAAGGGAACAAGCAAAUGAUACAGGAAGUUGUAGAAAACAUGAUGCACUUAUGUUAAAAACAAUGCAAUUUAGCUUAAUUUCUUGUAAAGCCCCUUAAUUCAACCUUUGGUUAUUUAAUCCGUUAGAGUGAAAGAUCUAUGAUCAACAACAAAGUUGAAAAGAGUGAAAACUACAGCAAAUAUCCAAGCAAGAUAAGCAAGGCAAAGAGUUUCUCAUUGCAUUGAAAAUCAAUUUGGAGCCAAUUAACAAUUCCAACAUUCAAAAUUCAUUACAAUCACAUAAUAUUUUCUCUAACAUUUCUAUGGUAUGUGUAAACAUGUAUACAACCACCGGCUCAUUAGCUCAUGUGCACUCCCACACCGCACAUAGCUGGAAUCAUCAUCCACUAGUCAUCAACUCAUGUGCACUCCCACACUACACAUAGCUAGAAUCAUUAUCCACCUGUCAUCAGCUUAUGUGCACUCCCACACCGUACAUAGCUGAAAUCAUCAUCCACCGGUCAUCAGCUCAUGUGCACUCCCACACCGCACAUAGCUAAAAUCAUCAUCCACCGGUCAUCAGCUCAUGUGCACUCCCACACCGCACAUAGCUAGAAUCAUCAUCCAUCGGUCAUCAGCUCAUGUGCACUCCCACACCGCACAUAGCUAGAAUCAUCAUCCAUCGGUCAUCAGCUCAUGUGCACUCCCACACCGCACAUAGUUGGAAUCACCCGUCAUCAAAGGCAUGUGCACUUCCACACUGCACAUGUGUAGUUACAAUCAUCACAUAAUAUUAUCAUUCAAAGCAUAACAUAUAUAUCAUCAGAAUAUAGGAACACAUGGGUUUAUCACAUUACACAUUUUACAACGUAAAAUGUUUCAUCAAGGGCUUGUUCCUAGGCAUGAUUGUCACAACCCAGUUUUAGGGCCAUGACCGGCGCAUGGGCCCAAUGGGCAUAGCCCACUAAGCCCAAGCAAGCCUAUUGAUAUGGCCUGUUCAUCAUUUCAUCAAAAGUUCCAAAGGUCACAUUUCAUAAUUCCAAUUCAAAAUAAUGCUAACCAUUGCCAACUCAUAGUGGCAUUACCAAUCAAAAUAUACAUAUAUUGUCUAAAACAUACAUCUUAAUAAUUUACAUUGGGUUUGUCUAUACACAACAAAAGGGAUACUCGACUUUCAGCGGAGAGACUCGGGUGAAAGUACAGUUACUGAAUGCCGAGAUACCUACCAAGGAGAUGAAUCUACGAGGACACCUUGACCUAGUUACCGAUUGCCUCCUGAUCUAAAAACAUGAAGUUGAAAACAAUGAGUAUAAACCCAUUGAGUGAACAAAGGAAGGGAACAAGCAAACGAUAAGAAAAGUUUAAGGAAAUCAUGAAGCACUUAUUUUCAAAAACAAUGCAAUUUAGUUUAGUUCUUAUUAAAACUGUCACGACCCAAAUUUUCGGGCCAUGACUGGCGUAAGAGCCCAAUAAACGUAGUCCAUUAAGCCCAAGCAAGCCUAUUAAUUUAUCCUACUCAUCAUUCCAUCAAAUAUCGGUAAGUCAUAUUUCAUACUUUUGAAUCAAAAUAGUGAUAUACAUUGCCAACUCGUACUGGCAUUACUCCUUAAAAAUUUACAUACAAUGUUUACAACAUGUAUUUUAAUAAUUUACAUUAAGUUUGUCUAUACAAAACAAAAUAACACUCGACUUCCAACGGAGGGACUCGGAUGAAUGUAUAGCUACUGAAUGUUGAGACACCUACCAAAAUAUGGACACAGGUCUACAAGGACUCCUCGUCCUAGUUACCGGCUGCCUCAUGAUCUGACAACAUGAAUUUGAAAAUGGUGAGUAUAAACCCAGUGAGUGAACAAGGAAGGGAACAAGCAUACCAUAAGGAGUCUUUAAGGAAAUCAUGAUGCAUUCUUUUUCAAAACAAUGCAAUUUCUUUCUAUUCUUAUUAAAAACCCCUCAUCAAGCCUUUAAAUGAUUAAUGAUUUGAAAAUCAUUAACCCAUACAUAACGAACCAUUUGAAAAAUAAAAACUUCAAUAUUACACAAGUAAGUUAAAUACGACAACGAAUCUUCGCUGCAGCGACGUUGGGACUUAGUUAUUAACCGAACUAGGGUUUCUCAACUGGCCGAGGAUUUCUCACUAAACCUCCUCAUUUUAAACUUAACUCAUUUAAUCCUUAAUGUUGGAAGUCCAUGCUCUGAUAUGGUAGCAAAGAAGUGAAAGAUAGGACAAUAAUUGAAUAAGAUAGGAGACCAAAACAGAAAGUUUUUCGCUGCAGUGAGAUUCAAUCUCGCUGCAGCGAAAUUGUAACCUAGAAACAAAAAGUUUCUCGCUGCAGCGAAAUUGCAACCUAGAAACAGAAAGUUUCUCGCUGCAGUGAGAAUGUAUUUCGCUGCAGUGAGAAGCUACAGUGUCAUUCUCACUACAGUGAAAAUGCAUCCUCGCUGUAGCGAGUUUUCGGCCAACCUACCCUUUCAAAACCCGAGAAUUUCUCGCUGUAGUGAAAUACAGGGCAUCAAAUGAAAAGUUCCCUUUCUCCCAAAGAAAACCAUCCUACUUGAAAUGUUCAAAGCCAAUAUGAAACACAUAACAAUUUCUUAAGGUUUAACAUGUCAAGUUUCACAUGCAUUACAACCAUAAACCAUUAUCCAUCAAUUUCCUAUAAUAGACAUAUUUACAUAUGUAUAUAUAUAUAUAUAUAUAUAUAUAUAUAUAUAUAUAUAUAUAUNNNNNNNNNNNNNNNNNNNNNNNNNNNNNNNNNNNNNNNNNNNNNNNNNNNNNNNNNNNNNNNNNNNNNNNNNNNNNNNNNNNNNNNNNNNNNNNNNNNNNNNNNNNNNNNNNNNNNNNNNNNNNNNNNNNNNNNNNNNNNNNNNNNNNNNNNNNNNNNNNNNNNNNNNNNNNNNNNNNNNNNNNNNNNNNNNNNNNNNNNNNNNNNNNNNNNNNNNNNNNNNNNNNNNNNNNNNNNNNNNNNNNNNNNNNNNNNNNNNNNNNNNNNNNNNNUUUCAUGAAAAAUCGUAUAAAAUCAUUCAAACGUUUAUCAAAUACAUUAUAUUCCCAAAAUAAGUUUUGAAGGCAGUCCACUCACCAAUUGAUUGUAAAGCCUUUAAAUGACUCCAAUUCCCCUAAUUGUCCAAAUGAGAUGAUGGGGCUUUCUUAAAACCUAGGAUCACAUUAACAUAAACAAUAGAUCAAUUUACACACUAUGAACUCUAAAAGCUAUCUCUUAGCUAGUUUUCAAUUGCCACAUUUAACGGCUAUCUAUGUUCACUAUCUUAAUCACUAAAAAGUAAUGAACGUAGUCAACAAUAAAACAACUCAUAAAUCCCAAUUACUAGCCAUUUUUUGCAGCUAAAAAUCGAGCUUAGUUCAUCACUUACCCUAGGGCUCCUUUGUAGUCAAAUUCUCUUCCAAUUGCUUCCAAAUCAAUGGAGUAAUUCUUUCUUUCUCUCUCUAAAAUGCCCAACUAGUGAAAGAAAGUCUAGAAAGAAGCUUUAACAAGGGUUUUGAAGUGAGAGGAUGAAAGAAUUCAAAGGUUCUAGUCAAAAGGGUUCAAAGGUGUGAAAACUAGAGUUAGAGAGAGAAAAUCAUUCAAGCUUCAAAUCAAGCUUCCAUGGAGUUUUGAAAAAACGUGAGAGAGGAGAAGAAGAAGAAGACUAGCUAUCUGAAAAUCUCUAGAAGCUACUAGAAAUUCAAGAUAUUUAUAGGCAAUCUUAUCCUUUCCCUUAAAAUUAUAAAAAUGCCCCUCCACUAGUUAACUUAUUCUCCUCUAAUCUUUUAUGCAAUCUUUUUGCUCUUUUAACAUUGGGACAAGAUCCAUAAUGGUAUAGACAUGUUCGGGUCCAUAAAAACUUAAAAUUUUAACCCGAGGUGAAAAAUGACCAUUUUGUCCUUAUUAUGAAAAUUGUUGAAACUUCUAGUUUUCUUCAUGUUUUCAUCAGCACACAUCAUUUAUGCAGUCUUAUACCCAUUUAAGCCUUAAAAUAUCAUUAAACUUUCUUCUGGAAGCUUAUUAGAGAAAAUGACGAAACUACCCCUGGCUCGUAUUAUUACAUCUAUACUUAGAUAUAAGCCUAUAGAGGUUGAGGUCUCACAAAAACCCCUUAUUAAACCCUUAAUUGGUUAAUCACUUGAUGAUGAAGGAUCCAUGCACAACAAAGAAUUUGAAGAGUGAAAACUUUCAUAGCAUUCAAGCAAGUCAAGCGAAAUGACUAAUCCUUAUCAUCAGUAUAGUUGAAUUUUUGCUGCAGUGAAAUUUGGGAUCAAAUCAUCAGCUGGCCGAAGGUUUCUCACUAAAACCUGUCAUUUCAAACUUAAUUAAUUAAUUCCUUGAUGUUAGAAGUCCAUGGUCAACUAUGAUGUUAAAGAAGUGGAAAAUAUGGCAUAAACCAAACAAGGUAGCAAGCACGACAGAAGGUUUCUCGCUGUAACAAAACCACCUAUAAACAUCUCACUGCAACGAGAAUGUAUUCUCGUUGUAGCGAGUUAUAGGAUUGUAGCCAGCCUCCCAACCCGAGAGUUUCUUGCUGCAGUGAGAAAUAGAACACCAAGAAGAAAGUUCUCAUCUUAUCAAGAAAAGGACAUUCCGCUGCAAUGACAAAAUCAACUUGAAAAUACUUAGCAAUUUCCAAGGUUCAACAUGCAAGAUUUCACAUACAGUACAACCAUUUACCAUAUUCAUGAACUUUCUAUUGCAUAAAAAUUUAUAUGUACAUAUGUAAACACCAAUACCACCACCUCCUCACCCAACUCAUGUGCAACCCCCACAUAGCUAGAGUCAUUGUGUGCAUCCGCCACAUCGCGCACAGGCAAUAUCAUCAUACACAUUCCCUAUCCCGUCAUUACUGACAUGUGCAUCCCCCACAUCGCACACACACACGGUUAUAUUUAUUACACAAUAUUAAUUAUCGAUACACAACAUAUAUAUAUAUAUAUCAGCAUGCUAUAGGAGCACAAGGAUUCAUCAUAUUGCACAUUCAUCACAUAAAAUGUUUUAAUAAAGGCUUGUUCCCAUGCAUAAUCUUUAAGGAAAAAUCAAAUAAAAAUCAUUCACAUUCUUCAUCUAAAUACCAAUACAUUUCUCAAAAUAUUUUAAAUGCAAGUUCACUCACCUUGGUGGAUUUGUAAUUGAAUUUUUUUUCAAAAUUCUUCCAAGCUAAUAAGGGAAAUCACUCCCUCUCUCUCUACAUGUCCAACUAGUGAGUGAAUGUAUUUAAGAAAGACUUUUGAAGACUGUUGAGGUGUAAAAGUGGAAGAGCAUGAAAAACCUUAUGAAAAGGGUGUAGAAAAACAUGAGAAAUAAAGCUAAUUUGGGGAAGUUUUAAAGGUUUCAAAUGAUACUUCCAUGAAAGGUGCAAAUAAACAUGGAAUGGAGAGGAGGAGAGGAGGAAGAAGAAGAAGAGAAGCUACUGGAAAACUAAAGAAAAGCUACUGGAGAUUAGAUAUUUAUAGUUAAAGUUUAUCCAAUUUUCAUACAAUUUACAAUAAUGCCCUUAACAAGGCCACUUGUCUUCCUCUUUUUCUUUAUGCACUCUUUUUACUCCUUUAACACUAAGACAAAAUCCAUAACAGUCUAAAAGUACUUGAGUUCACGAAAACUUAAAAAAUUCUACCUGAGAUGAAAAAUGACCAUUUUACCCUUACCUAGGAAAUCAUCAUUAUUUCUAUUUCCUUUGUCAUUUUAUCCUUAUUUUCAUCAUUCAUUUAUGCCUUAGGCCUACUUAGGCCUUAAUAAUGUUUGAAAGCAUACUUCUAAGGGCUCACUAAGGAAAUGAUGAAAUUACCCUUAGUUCGUGAUAUCGCGUCUACUUCUAGCUACGAGUCUAUAAAGAUCAAGGUCUCACAAUGAUUUAGAGAAAAAAAGUCAAAUAUAAUCACUUAAGUCCUUCAUCUCAACACAUAUGAAGCUUUUCAUCAAAUCUCAUUCACAGUGGUCAUCACAUAUUCAUAUUUCAAAUCAAAUCAUGCCAUCCUCGAUGCAUGUUAUCAUAGUCAAAUGAAAUCAAAUGAGUGGUCCUUCCCUGGACGUAGUCAAAUCACGCUCGGUGGCCAACCGAUAGAGAAUCAAAUCAUGCUCAAACAAAGUUAAUGGCGAAGAAUGCAAUCAUGCGUGUCUUGAAGCAGCGGGCGGAGAACAAAUCACGCACAGUGUUGGGGCAGCUAGAGAAGAAUCAUAUCAUCGAUCGGAGUAAUCUCCCGAAAGUUGGCAUCACUCGAAGUAAUCUCAAUGGAUGACAUUUUUCAUGACCCGAUUUCCAAGCCAUGAUUGACACAUGGACUCAAUGGACAUAGUUUGCUAACCCCAAGUAAGCCUAUUUAUAUAAUCCUGCUCAUCAUCCCGUCAACUAUUCUUACAUUUACUGCUCAUAAUCUCAACCCUUAAGUACUUUAAUAGUAAGUUAUAACAAUCAAAAUUGCAUUUAUAUUAGCCCAAAAUAAUAUUAACCAUUGCCACUCAUGGUGGCUUUACCAAUCAAAAUAUACAUAUAUGGUCUAAGGCAUACAUCUUAGUACUUUACAUCACAUGUACGUAUUUAUAAACAAAAAUGACUCUGGGCUUCCAGCGGAGUGACCAAGGUGAAGGUGCAGCUAUGGAAUGACAAGAUACCUACCAAGGAGACGAAACUACGUGGACACCUCGACCUAGGUUCCAACUGCCUCCUGAUCUGAAAACAUGAAGUUGAAAACAGUGAGUACAAACUUAGUGAGUGAACAUAAAAAGGGAACAAGCAACGAUAAGGAAAGUUGAUAAGCACGAUGCAGUUAUUUGAAAACAAUGCAAUUUAGUCCAAGUUCUUAUUAAAAUCCCUCCAUUAAACCCUUGGUUAUUAAAUUAUUUAAUGAUGAAGGAACCACAUUCAACAUGAAAUUAAAAAGAGAGGAAAUUCCCAACAAUCAUUCGAACAAGGCAGCAUAAUAGAUAGAUUAUCGUUGCAGCAGAAAGGCAUUCUCGCUCGAACUUCAGUCACAAAUCAUCAACGGAACGAGGGUUCCACUCAACUGCAUGAGGGUUCCACUCAACUACAUGAGGGUUUCGUGUUAGAACCCCUUAUCUCAAACUAAAUUAAGUAAUCCCUUAACAUUGAAAAUCCAUGAUCAACCGUGAUGUUAAAGAAGUGGAAAAUAUGGCAAAAAUCAACAAGGUGACAUGCAGGAUAGAAAGUUUCUCGCUGCAGCGAGAUUCAGGCGGUAAAACAGAAUGUUUCUCGCUGUAGUGAGAAGUAGGGCACCUAAAUAAAGAAAGACCUCUUUUGCACUAAACAUCCAUUUGGUGCUACAACAAAAUCCAUUUACAAGUAUAUGGAAAUUUUCAAGAUUCAUCAUGCCAUAUGAUCACAUAUUAUAAUCAUGAUCUUUUUAUUGCAUAUACAUAUACCUAAACAUAUAUCAAUUCGUAUACCACCCCAUCUCACCUAGCUCAUGUGCAUCCCCCCACAUCGUGCACAAGCACAGACAUCGUGUGCUCUCCCACAUCACGCACAUUUGAUGCCAUCAUGUGCAUCCCCCCACAUCGUGCACACGGGCAAUAUCACCAUCCAUCUCAGGUGCACACUUACCCCGCACAUGCACGGUUGCAUUUAUCACAGAAUGGUACCAUUUAUGACAUAGUAUAUAUAUAUAUAUCAACAUUAUGCAGAAACAUAUGGAUUCAUCACACUAUCCAUUUCAUAACAUAAAAACAUUUCAUAAGGGCUUGUUCCCAUGCGAGUUUUGAAGAAAGAACCAAUAAAACGCUUUAGGGGAUUCAAUCAAACAUACAUGUGUAUAUCCUAAAGCCUUUUUAAUGCAAGUUCACUCACCGGUAUUUGUUGAACCUUUAGUUGACUCUAACUUCCCUAAUGGUCCAAUUGGGGCUGAGGGGCCUCAUUGGAACCUUGGUGGAUUAUAAUGAAAUUCUUCCCAAGAGUCCUCAAGUUAUCAUGAAAUCUCUCUUUCUCUCUCUCUCUCUUUCUCUACAUAGUUCAGCUAGUGAGAGAAAGUAUUGAAGAAAGACUUUUAAGGGUUUGUUUAAGGUGAGGGAGCAAAAUAGUAUGAAAAACUCUACAACAGGGUGUGUAAAGCACAAAGAUUGAGGUUAGUUUGAGAGAGUGAUGGAAGCUUGAGAGAAGCUUUCAUGGAAAAGGAGAGAAACAUGAGAUGGGAGGAAGAAGAAUAAGAAGCUGCUGGAGAAAUGAAGAAGCUGCUGGAAGAAUGAGAUCUUUAUAGUUAAAGUUUAUCCAACUUUACUUAAUUAUCGAAAUACCCUUAACAAGGCCACUUGUCUUCCUCCCUUCCCAUGUGCAAUCUUUUCACUCUUUUAACAUAAAGACAAGGUCCAUAAUAGUUUAAAAGUACUUGAGUUCACAAAACUUAAAAUCUUUGACUCGGGGUGCAAAAUGACUAUUUUACCCUUAUUGUGAAAAUUAUUGUCACUUAUAGUUUUCUUCAUGUUUUCAUCAUUAUACAUCAUUCAUUCAGUCCUUAUGUCCACUUAGACCUUAGAAAAUAUUAGAAAACCUUUUUCUGGGAGCUUAUUAGAGGAAAUGAUGAAAUUACCCUUAGUUUGUGUUAUCGCGUCUACUUCUAACUAUGAGUCUAUAGAGGUCGAGGUCUCACAAUAUUAAAGCACUACAGGUGGGAAUCACAAGCGAGAUUAAUGCCACCAUCCCUAUUUACCACCAUCCUUGUAGGGACACACAUAGUCACAGGGCGUGGGACUCCACUCCACCUCAAGUCAAAUCAAUGUCCAGAAUUCAUCUCUUGGACGCAACACAAAUCCAUAAAUUAGGCCAUUAUGCCUGCAAAAUUCCUUAUGUCCACAUCAAAUCAUAUUUCAAAAUCAACGAGCUUUAUUCAUCUCUAAGCUCAGUAUAAUUCUAAGUGCCUUCAAAUCUCUAAGGCAUUAUUAAACAAAACAUAAUCAAUCCAUAAGCCCUCAUGCCCUUAACCCCACAUGGGUAUUCAUCAUAUUAUAUCGUAUCAAUCAUGGCUUAACCGCUUUAUGCAUAUCCUUAAAUCAACUAUAAAUAUGUAGGCAUUCAUGCAUAGAUUAUAUCCAUAAGCAAUCAUGGCCCUUAGACCUCACAUAAUUAAUAUCACCCAACCAUUGUGCCAUUAACCCGAAUACAUAUCGGGCCAUAUACUUACUUCGUAGCCCAUUCAUCAUAAUUCAACAUAAUCCUUAAUCCAUAAUUCAUAUUAGUCCAUGUGUAGACCUCUUGCUCUAGGUCUUACAUACCAAGGGUUCUAAUAGAAUGCCACCUUAUGGCUCACCAUAAAUCACACAAACACAUUUCCUAGAUAGCUAAUUAGCUUAGGCAUCCUCAUCUAGGCACGUAAUAAUGUUCGUUCUUUAUCUUAGGCACAUACCUUUAGGCACAUAGAUAUACACGCACACGCACACACACACACACACACACACACACAUAUAUAUAUAUAUAUAUAUACAUAUCAAUUCUCUAGCCUAGGCAUUCUCAUCUAGGCAUACAGACAACAUUUAAGUACCAUGGCAACACAUACAUUAUGCGAGGUACAUCAUAUGCAUUUAAUUAGAUCCCACUCACCUCGACAAUUGGAGGUGUUCCCAUAGUUGAGCUCAAAUCCUCGGCCUAUUGUCGUCCUAUAGCUCACCAAUGCAUUAGGUGACUGUAACUUCCCUUAACACAUGAAAACAUCAUAAAAAUAUUUAUUUCCUAACUUUCCAAAAUAUCCCAACUUUUCAAAAAUACCCAAAUUCAAUAUACAUGCUCAUUCUUCCAACAAAUGAACUAAAUCCUUACCUUAGAAGCUAGGUUUCCCAAAUCUAGGCUCCAAAUCUCUAAUAAACUCAAAGGAAGAGAGUUUGAACAAAUCUGAAAAUAUUUAGAUAUGAGGUUAUUAAUGGAUUAAAUUAAAAAUCAAUUAGUAAAAACAUGUAAUCUUACCUUUAGAUAGAUUUCCCAAGCUUGGAUUAACUCCAUAUAGCUCCAAGAAUUUGUUUAAGAUACAUGUUCCCAAGCUAUACCAAAUCUAUUGAUACAUUUUUAAAUGUAUUGAUAGAAUUCCUCCAGAACAACUCAUAUUGUUUUUCCUGCCAAGAAUGUACCAAUACAUGAAGGGAUGUAUCGAUACAUUUUCCUCUGUAGGUAGUUUUAAGUCUUCUAAAACUUCAAAAAAUCUAACUUAACACCCCAAAUCCAUUAAUUGUUAAUCGUAUAUGUGAGACCUCAGCCUCUAUAGGCUUGUAACUAAGUAUAGAUGUAAUAAUACGAGCCAGGGGUAAUUUCGUCAUUUUCUCUAAUAAGCUUCCAGAAGAAACUUUUAUGAUAUUUUAAGGCUUAAAUGGGUAUAAGAUUGCAUAAAUGAUGUGUGCUGAUGAAAACACGAAGAAAACUAGAAGUUCUAACAUUUUCAUAACGGGGGCAAAAUGGUCAUUUUUCACCUCAGGUUAAAAUUUUAAGUUUUUAUGAACCCGAACAUGUCUAGACCAUUAUGGAUCUUGUCUUAGUGUUAAAAGAGCAAAAAGAUUGCAUAAACGAUUGGAGGAGAAUAAGUUAAUUGGUGGAGGGGCAUUUUUGUAAUUUUAAGGGAAAGGAUAAGAUUGCCUAUAAAUAUCUUGAAUUUCUAGCAGCUUCUAGAGAUUUUCCAGCAGCUGGUCUUCUUCUUUUCCUAUCUCACGUUUCUUCAAAACUCCAUGGAAGCUUGAUUUGAAGCUUGAAUAAUUUUCUCUCUCUAGCUCUAGUUUUCACACUUUUGAACCCUUUUGACUAGAACCUUUGAAUUCUUUUAUCCUCUCACUUCAAAACCCUUGAUAAAGCUUAUUUCUAGACAUUCUCUCACUAGUUGGGCAUUUUAGAAAGAGAAAAAGAGAAUUACUCCAUUGAUUUGGAAGCAAUUGGAAGAAAAUUUGACUACAAAGGAGCCCUAGGGUAAGUAAUGAACUAAGCUCGAUUUUUAGUUGCAAAAAAUGGCUAGUAAUUGGGAUUUAUGAGCUGUUUUAUUGUUGACUAUGUUCAUUACUUCUUAAUGAUUAAGAUAGUGAACAUAGAUAGCCGUUUAAUAUGGCAAUUGAAAACUAGCUAAGACAUAGCUUUUAGAGUUCAUAGUGUGUAAAUUGAUCUAUUGUUUAUGUUAAUGUGAUCCUAGGCUUUAAGGAAGCCCCAUCAUCUCAUUUGGACAAUUAGGGGAAUUGGAGUCAUCUAAAGGCUUUACAAUCAAUUGGUGAGUGGACUACCUCCAAAACUUAUUUUGGGAAUAUAAUGUAUUUGAUAAAUGUUUGAAUGAUUUUAUACGAUUUUUCAUGAAAAUAAAUGCCUUGGGAACAAGCUCUUGAGAAAUGAUUUAUGUUAUGAUAUGUGGUUAUUAUGGAUUUCUAUGUGGUUGCAUUUUGUUGAUAUACAUAUAUGCUUGAAUAUAAUGUUGUGUAAUUAUAUUGACUCAGCUAUGUGUGAGUAGGGAGUGCGCACAAGCUGAGGAUGACCCGGUUAUAUGCGAGUGGGGAGUGCGCAUAACCCAGUGAUGACCCAACCAUGUGCGAGUAGGGAGUGCGCAUGAGCUGGUGAUGAUGAUGAUGAUGGGAUGGUGUGAUGAUGAUGAUGGGUAUAUGCAUAUAUAUAUAUACAUAUGUAAAUAUGUGUGUUAUAGGAAAUUGAUGGAUAAUAGUUUAUGGUUGUAAUGCAUGUGAAACUUGACAUGUUAAACCUUGAGAAAUUCUUAUGUGUUUCAUAUGGGUUUUGAACAUUUUAAGCAGGGUGGUUUUCUUUGGGAGAAAGGGAAAUUUACAUUUGAUGCCCGGUAUUUUGCUGCAGCGAGAAACUCUCGGGUUUUAAAAGGGUAGGUUGGCCGAAAACUCGCUGCAGCGAGGAUGCAUUUUCGCUGCAACGAGAAUGACACUGUAGCUUCUCGCUGCAGCGAAAUACAUUCUUGUUGCAGCGAGAUUCAAUCUCCUUGUAGCGAAAAUCUUUCUGUUUUGGUCUUCUAUCUUGUUCAAUUGCUGCCCUAUCUUUUUACUUCUAUGCUACCAUAUCGGAGCAUGGACUUCCAACAUUAAGGAUUAAAUGAGUUAAGUUUAAAAUGAGGAGGUUUAGUGAGAAAUCCUCGGCCAGUUGAGAAACCCUCGUUUGGUUAAUAACUAAAUCCCAACGUUGCUGCAACAAAAAACUGCAGCGAGAAUGUCUUUCCCCUGCAACGAAGAUUCGUUGUCGUAUUUGACUUACUUGUGUAAUAUUGAAGCUUUUAUUCUUCAAAUGGUUCGUUAUGUAUGGGUUAAUGAUUUUCAAAUGAUUAAUCAUUUAAAGGCUUGAUAAGGGGUUUUUAAUAAGAAUAGAAACAAAUUGCAUUGUUUUGAAAAAGAAUGCAUCAUGAUUUCAUUAAAGAUUUCUUAUGGUAUGCUUGUUCUCUUCCUUGUUCACUCACUGGGUUUAUACUCACCAUUUUCAAAUUCAUGUUUUCAGAUCACGAGGCAGUCGGUAACUAUGACGAGGUGUCCUUGUAGGCCUGUGUCCAUCUUUUGGUACGUGUCUCAACAUUCAGUAGCUGUACAUUCAUCCGAGUCCCUCCGCUGGAAGUCGAGUGUUAUUUUGUUUUGUAUAGACAAACUUAAUGUAAAUUAUUAGAAUACAUGUUGUAAACAUUGUAUGUAAAUUUUUGAGUAAUGCCAGUACGAGUUGGCAAUGUAUAUCACUAUUUUGAUUUAAAAGUAUGAAAUAUGACUUAACGAUAUUUGAUGGAAUGAUGAGUAGGAUAAAUCGAUAGGCUUGUUUAGGCUUAAUAUACUAUGUUUAUUAGGCCCUUGCGCCAGUCAUGGCCCGAAAAUUUGGGUCGUGACAGUGUACUUCAAAUAGCUCAUAUAAUUCAAAUCCUUAUACAUAUAUUCUCAAAUAUACAUCAAAUUAAAUCAAAUCCUCAAACUAUAGGAUUAAUUCAUCCUUUUUAUUGAUAUUUGCCUUAAUGUCAUAUUUAGGUGUCAAAGUGCCAAACACAUGCACAAUUCCUUUGAAAACUCUCCUUAUACCAAUAUUCAUAGUCAUAUACCUAUAAGUGUAGUCAUAUUCACCAAAGUUCAAUUUAGCUCAUCAAUUGGCGUAGCUAGUUCAUCAUAUUAUUCGAAUCCUCAAUGUGCACUAAAAUUUUAAGUUUUUCUCUUUAGACCACAAUAGCUCAUGUGCAUGCUCCACAAGCAUAUACAUCAAGUUUUCAAGUUUACUCAUCAAAUCACUUGGCCAACAUCACAUUUAGGCCAUAUAAAAAAUUAGGGGUGUUGCACCAAAUUUACUCCAAAUAACUCCGUGUGCUUUUUUGUGACUUAGGGUUUCAAAUAGGUAAAGAGAGAAAAUAAAAAUGAAACCAAGCCUUUUAGAAGUGGAAUCUACUUCCUUUAAUGCUUAAAAUCCAAGGUUGAUUGUUGGAUUUGACUAGGUUUGAAAGGUGUAAAGUUUGAGAGAAAAUGGUGGAAGAAUAAAGGAAAAGGAGGAAAAAUGAAAAAAAGUCAAAUUUGGGGCUUUUAAGUUUGAUUUUGGUUGACUGAGUAACCUAAGGUCGACUAUGGAAAAUCUGUGGUCGACCUUAGACUAGUAGAUUUUCCCAUUUGUCUUUCUCAAGAUCAACUAUGAGAGCUCUAUAGUCGAUCCUGGUCCAGUAUGUUUGCUUAUAUUUGACUUUUCCUUAAUAAGAUUGAAUAUGGGAGCUCUAUAGUCGAUCUUGGUCAAGUAUGUUUGCAUCUUUUCCCAUUUUCCUUCCUAGGAUCAAUUACAAAAGAGACUAUAGUCUAUCCUAGACCAGUAUAUUCGACUUCCCCUACACUUUCACUCCUUUCUGAAGCCUAAACUCAUUAUAAACCUCUUCUACCAUUUCAAAUCAUUUAUAUUUCACUUAACAUCAACACAUAAACUCAUCUUACACAUCAAUUUCUCAUUCAUGCCCUAUGUCACAUAGUAUAUCGAUUAAUAAUAACAUAAUUUGGCUACAUAUCAUACUUUUCUAAGUGCCAAACAUAUGCAUUAUAUUUUUCAUGUGCCAAGCAUAUGCACAACAUUAUUUGAACUUUUACAUAUUUAGACAUUUCAUGACCAUCUCUCUAUGGAUAUAGGCAUUCCUUAAGUUCACAAACAACACAUUGAAGUUCAUAUCAACCCAUAAGCUAGUCCAACAUCAUACAUAGCUAUCACUAGGAACAGGGGUGUUAUAAUAACAUUAGUCACAAAAGUGUAAAUACAUAUCAAAGAUAAUAAACCUUUUGAAAAGAGAAAUAAACUUAACAUACAUAAUUUAUGAAUACCCAAAAAAAAUUUGGGCAUGUCCAUCAGUCCUAGUUUAGCUCUAAUCUUACAGAUAUGUUCUGCAUCUAAAGGUUUAGUAAAAAUAUCUACUAAUUGAUCUUGUGUUCUUAUAUAUUAUAAAGUUGUGUCUUUUUUUGUACAUGAUCUCUAAUAAAGUGAUGUCUUUUUUCUAUAUGUUUUGCCCUAGAAUGAUGGAUAAGAUUUCUAGUCAAAUUUAUUGCAUUAGCGUUAUCACAUUUUAUAGGAAUCUUCUUAAAAGUUAUUCCAUACUUUUCUAGUUGUUGCUUCAUCUAAAGAAUUUGUGCACUACAACUAGUAGUAGCCUCAUACUCAGCUUUGGUUGUUGAUUGUGCUACAUUGUUUUGUUUCUUAGAAAACCAUGACACUAACAUUUUUUCUAGAAAUUGACAAGUUUUUGAAGUGCUUUUUCUAUCUAUUUUACAUCUACCAAAAUCAUCAUCUGAAUAGGCAUGAAGAUCAAAGUUUGAGCUUUUGCGGUAUCAUAUGCCUAGAUUUGGUGUCACUCAAAUAUCUAAAUAUUCUUUAGGCAGCUUUUACAUGUGACUCUUUAGGUGAUGACUGAAAUCUGGCACAAAGGCCUACACUAAAACUUAUGUUUGGUCUCCUAACAGUCAAACAUAGCAAUGAGACAAUCAUUGGUCUAUAAAGCUUUUGAUCAGUGGUUUUACCUUGCUCAUCUUUAUCCAGCUUAGUCAUAGUGCUCAUUGGAGUUUCAUAUGAUCUUGUGUUGUUCAAUCCAAAUUCUUUAUGCAUGUCUUUUGUAUAUUUGGCUUGAUUUUUGAAUGUGCCAUCUUGUCUUUGUUUUAUUUAGAAACUAAGAAAAUAAUUGAGUUCACCCAUCAUACUCAUCUCAAAUUCUCUUUACAUAGACUUAGCAAACUCUUGACGUAGAGAUUCAUUAGUUGCACUAAAAACAAUAUUAUCAACAUAUAUUUACACAAUUAGAAUAUCUUUUCCAUUCCUUUUGAUGAAAAGAGUUUUAUCAACUUUCCCUCUAUUGAGGUCAUUUUUGAUCAAGAAAUUUGCUAAAGUUUCAUACCAAGCUCUAGGAGCUUGCUUUAAGCCAUAUAGAGCUUUUCUUAAUCUAAAAACAUGGUCAGGAAAUGUAGGACUUUUAAAACUAGGUGGUUAUUCUACAUAUUCCUUUUCAUUUUGAUGGGUUUGGCUAUGGACGACAAGCUCAAAAUACGCAGUGAAAAGAAAAUUAAAACUUUAUAACUAAACAACCAAAACAUGCCUCCACCUAUGGAUCACCUUGGUGAUAUUAAACACAUAAAAGCACAAAAUAAAUUAUUAUUCAGAAAGUUACCUUGCCAAGUAAUUUCGGAAUCACAAUGGCACUUCUUAAAGCAAUCUUGUGUACACCACAAGGAGAAAAAAACCUAGCCAACCAAGUGCUCGACCUCUAAUGGUAGUACACACGAUUGCACUUGAACCUUCAUCAAAGGAGGGAGUUUUUAACUAUUCUUUGUGCUAGCAAAAAUGACAACAAUUGUCCUUUUCUUCUUUUUCACAAUCUUAGUCGAAUCUCUCUUGAAAAUUGCUUCAUAAGUAAUUUAUUUUUUCACACAAAGGGAGUGAUGGCAAAGAGAGAAAACGCUACCCUUUUUCUAACAAAAACUAGGUUUUCUUCAAUUGUGAAAAACUCUCAUAUGGAAAAUAGUCAAAAGGUGACUUAUAUAUUUAGGUUAAAAUAACUUCAAUUUUACAAUUAAGCCCUCAAUAUUAUAAUACAUUAUAAUAUUGGGCCCAUUACUUAAUUAAACUCUUUUAAUUAAGUCCUUGAAAAUUAAAAUCAAAAUUAAUUUCCUUUAUAUUUUGCAAUCAAGGCCUUACAAUUAUAACUAUUUAUAAUUAUGCCUAAAACUUAAUUAAACUUUAUUAAUUAAGUUUAUAGAAGUUAAUUACCCAACAUGUGAUUUAAGUCUAACUUAAAUCAUCACUCUUCCAAUUUAAUUCAAAUGCAAUCAUUGUGCGUGACCCAUUAGGUUCUUAAUAUGUUGGUAAUGGAAUUGAUUAAUGACUUAAUUGAUUAAUAUAAAAUUUCAAUCAAUUAAUUUAUAUUCAAUUUCAUAGACCAAGAUUGGCAUCUAGCAAUGCAUGAUGGCCGCCCAAUUGUUAGGAAAGUCGAAGGGUUCUUUGACAACCUUUCAAUGUGUAGUCUAUUAGUGUAAUUCAUUCCCACAUCAUAUGUCCUAGAGAUGAUAAGAGCUUGGUACAGUGUCUACUCUUAUUGGCCUUCAUAUUCGUUCUUGCAGUUAUAGCAUUAGCUUUAUAGAGAGUUAUAAAACCUUUUUCAUAAUCUCCAUGUCGCCUUAGCCAAGGACUUCAAUAAGCUAAUGUUAACCAAGAACUGAUAGGAUAUGUCCUCUUAAACACUUGAGGUGAUGAUUCCUAUCUUGACCACUUAUUACCUUCGUAUGCUUCAUACUAUACCUAAAAGCAUCCUGUUUUGGCAUCCUUGGUUAGGCACUUGAAGGGAUGAAAUCAAAGCAUAGCACUCCACACAUAAGACAAAUUGGUGUCUCAAGUCUAAGGAGUAUUUAUACAACUGACACAUGAGAAGUGUUACAUAGACACUAGAGUGUAUUACCAAAUGCACUUCUCAUGGCAGGUCAUGUCUAGUGAACUUGCUUUCCUAGGGAAGCACUUAUAUUUUAGUUUCAAGUAUCUCUAUACUUCAAUCUAUGAGAUCGAUUACUUACUUCCAAAGUAAGGAACAUAGAAUAUACUAGUCUCUAAGCAUCAUUGAUGUCCAAUCUCAAUGAUACAUUAACUAGGAGCAUUUUAAGAUUAUGCUUUGAUGCAGAAAGAUCUUAUAACUGCAACCCAAUAUAGUUCCCUUGCAAGGUAUAUUAAUCUCAGGGACUUCAUCCGAUUAGACUUAUAACUCAUUAUAAUUGAUGUCUUAUUGAUGAAGGAAAAACUCUAAUCAUUCAACCUGAAUGAUAUUAUUGCAUGAUUGGAAUCCAGCCUUAACUAAUACCAAUUGGCUGCAGGGCUUAUCCCAACGCAUUUAUUAGUCCAUUAAAAAAUGCACUCUUAGCAUCCAUUUGAAACAAUUUAAAAUCCAUAUAACAUGAAAAAGAUAAUAGCAUUCUAAUGGCCUUUGGUCUAACAACUAGUUCAUAAGUUUCAUAAAAUCUAUAUCUUUCUCUUGGCUGUAUCCUUUGGCCAUCAACCUAGCUUUAUUUAUAAUUAUGCUUCCAUUUUCAUUUAUUUUAUUUCUAAACACCCAUUUUGUUCCUAUAAUGGGAUAAUCACUAGGCCUAAGGACUAGUUCCCAUACUUGGCUUUUCUUAAAUUGGUUUGGUUCUUCUUGGAUAGACAAAAUCCAAGUCAUCUUUUAAUGCUUCAUCUAUAGUCUUGGGUUCAAUGUGAGAAAUAAAAGCAACAUAAUCACAUACAUUUUCACUUGAGCUUCGAGUUCUUACCCUUUGUUGAGGAUCUCCAAUAACUUUACUUUGAUCCACAUACCUCAUUUCUCUUGGAUGUGUGGGUUUUUUCUUUACCAUGAUGUCAUCAAUUAGUUCAUUUAGCUGUUGAACUUGAUCUUCAUCUUCUUUGUUUUCAUUGUCAAGAUCAAGUUCCUCCACAUUCUCUUGAAGAAUAUCUAUUUGAUAAUUAACAACAUUUUUUUUUCUAGAGGAGGGGUUAGUGUAAUCAAAUAAAACAUGUAUGGAUUCUUCAACAAUUAUGGUUCUUUUAUUAAAUACCCUAUAUGCUUUUGAGUUCAAUGAAUAACCAUGAAAAAUUGCUUCAUCACUCUUUGCAUCAACUUUUCCUAAGUUAUUCUUACCAUUAUUUAAAACAUAGCAUUUACACCUAAAAGAAUGAAAAUAACCAAUAUUUGGUUUCUUUCUUUUGUAUAGCUCAUAAGGUGUCUUUUUAAGAAUAAGUCUAAUCAUUGCUUUAUUUAUUAUGUAAUAUGCAGUAGUAAUAGCCUUGACCCAAUAGAAUGUAGGUAAAUUAUUUUUGCACAACAUAGUUUUAGCCAUUUCUUCUAAUGUCCAAUUUUCCUUUCCAUUACUCCAUUUUGUGGUGGAGUUCUAAAUGUUAAAAAAUUAUGGCUAUAUCCAUUAUCAUAGUAAAGUUUUUCAAAACCUAUGUUUUCAAAUUCCUUACCAUGAUCACUUCUAACACUAGUAAUUGUGUACUUUUUUUAUUUUAUUUAUAGAAAUUUACAAAUACUUCUAAAGUUUCACUUUUUAUUACUAGGAAGAACACCCAAGUGCAUCUAUUGUAAUCAUCAAUAAUUACAAAUCCAUACAAUUUUCCUCCUAAACUAGUUGUUCUAUUUGUUCCAAACAAAUCCAUAUGCAACAGUUGCAAUGGCCUAGUAGUUGUAACUUCAUGCUUAUGUUUAAAUUAUGUUCUUCUAUGUUUACUUUUUGCACAUGCAUCAUAUAAUUUGUCAAUCUCAUAAUCAAUCUUAGGUAGUCCUCUUACUAAGUUUAAUGAUGAUAGUUAGAUGAUGUGUGCAUGCUUGCAUGUCUUAAUCUUUUGUGCCACAACCAGCUAUCCUCAUUUUUCUUUUCGAUGAAAUACACAUUUUUUGUAACAAAUCAUCUAGAUACACAACAUAUACAUUGCCUUUCCUAUUUCCUAUAAAGAAAAUUUUGUUGGUUCUAAUUUUUACAACAUAAUAGUAAAAAUUUUCAAAAUAACCUUAAGACCUUUGUCACAUAAUUGACUCACACUUAGCAAAUUAUAUUUAAGACCAUUCACAAACAAUACCUUAUUAAUAUGGGUGGAAGAAUUUUUACCAAUGUUACCAAUACUUUUGAUGUGACCUUUUGAGUUGUCUUCAAAAGUCACUUUUGCUCUUUGUUGUGGUAUCAAUUUCUUGAAAUUCUCUUUUCUUCCUAUCAUGUGUCUGGAGCACCCGUUGUGUAAGUACCACAUACCUUUUUCUUUGACAUUUGAUUUUAAGCACAUAUUUUUAACCUCAAAAUCAUUUACUCUGAUGAAGCAUAGAUUUGCAAUUCUUUCUUUCUUCCAAUUUUAUGAUUCACUACUGUCACUCAAUUCAGCCAACAUUGCUUUCUCUUUGAAGUUCAUUGGAUAGCUUUUUUAGAACAUCCUUUUUGUUUUCUUUUCAAGAAUCUAGUGAACUUCCAAGUCAAUAAGGUUAUCUUUUCAUCAUCCCCUUCUUCAUCAUCACAUUUAAUAUUCUUUUCAUUUUCUUCCUCAACUGCUUUUAGAGUAAUGCUUUUUCUCUUUUUCUCUCCUUUAAGUGCUUUAUCCAUUUCUUUUUCAUGUUUUAGAGUCAUCUCAUGUGUGAGCAGGGAUCUUAGAAGCUCAUCAAGCUUGAGGACAUAAGUCCUUGGCUUUCUUUAUGGUAGUCACCUUAGGUCUCCAUGACCUUAGAAAAUAGUGGAGGUUUUUCUUCACUAGUUGUGCAUUUGGAAAUUUUUUUCCUAAUGCCUUUAGUCCUUUGUUACAGCUUUGUGAUUCAACAAAAUUAGCUUUUUAUCUUUGUCAUCCUAUUUAGCUCUUGUCUUAACAUGUUUCACACCAUCAUCAAGUUUACUAGGGACAUAAGGUCCAACAAUUAUUCCCAAAGAUCUAGAUCAAUAGAUUGUAUAAAAUUUCAAAUCAUAGAUUGUCCAACAAUUAUAUCUCAUUCUUCAAAAUGGGUAGUUCCUGCCUUUGAACAAAAUAGGUUGUAUGAUAGAUUGUCCUUUACUAAUAAAGCUCAAGGAUGCCAUUACUGUUACUUUAAGCUUUUGUUCAUGAUCUUUUAAAGGUUGUUAAAUCUACAAAACUUGCAAACCUGCUCUAAUACCAAUUGUUAGGAAGAUAAGCUUAAAGCAAUGUAACCAAGAGAAGGGUGAAUUGGUUAUGAAUAAAAAAUUCUCCCUUUCUUAAAAGAACUAUGAAAAUGCAGUAGAAAUAUAGCAAAGACAUAGUAUGAACUAAAUAAACAAAGUGUAGAAAGAUAAAGAGUGCUAGGCAAAAUUUUUAUAGAGGUUCGAUCUUCCAAUGCCUAUGUCCUUUCCUUUGGUAGCCUAGGGAGUUCAAAUCCAUUAUCAACUUGGUUUUUCAAUAGGGUUAGGUGUAACCUUUACAACAUGCCUUUUAACAAGAUCAAGUGUAACCUUCAAAAUAUGCCUUUUCACAAGAUCAGGUGUAACCUUACCAAAACACUAUCUUUUCAUGUUCAAGCAUAGCCUUUAUAGAAGAUACAACCUUUUAAAGGAUCAAGCAAAACCCCUUUAUCUUUUGCUUAGAGGUAUAACCAACAUAAUAGUGGAUUCUUAAAAGAAUCUCUAGCUUAAAACCUCUAAUAAGGUUAGUAAAGAAAUUUAGGCUCAAUGGGAUAAGAGCGUUUUCAAAAGAAAUGAAUGAUGAAAGAAGGUUUAAGCUCAAGAAGUAUCAGCUGAAGGAUAAAAAUGUGAUCUUUAGGUUAUGCUCUUGCUCAAAGAUAUGAUGUUUUUGUUAAUAGUUAUUUUGAUUGUUUUUCCUUUAUUUCUCUCUACAAGGAUGAUUCAAAACCAUUCAAGUUUGCUCCUUUAAUGUUCUCAAGGUAGGUAUUUAUAGCUCUUGUGAUUUCUUGCCCAUUGAAGUGAAAUUUGAAUCAGUUUUCAUAUGUUCCAGCCAACUUCCACAUUUCUGUCGCACAUGGAGAAUUGAUUUUUUGAUCAUGAGUUGUCGAUUCUUCAUAAAGUGUGGAGCUUUCUAUCUCUAAAGAAUCAAUUCUUCUUUUUUGAGAUAUUGGUUUUUCAUUAAGUCUUGGACUUUUUGUCUUUAGAGAAUUGAUUCUUUUUUCAUUAGAUAUCGGUUCUUCCAUAACUUGGUUCAAAAGAGACACCUUUGCAUUUUAGGAUUUUUUUUUGCCUCUAGGUGUCAAUUCUUCACUAUUGACUUGAGCCAAAAUUUGAAUUUCAUCUUGACUUUUGACACUCCAAUCUUAUCCAUUCGUACCAUCUCUUUCUUGGUCACCAAGUUUCUAAUCUUUGUUUUUGGUGCUUCAAAAACAAAAAUCUUUUCCAUGAAGAAUCGAUUCUUUGUCUUUAGACUUGUGUUCUUUAAUGCAUUCUUCACUUAGAACUGACUUUUGCUACUUGAGGAAUCGAUUAUUUCUUCUUCAUAUUUUUGCCUUUUAUAUUCUAUUCUCUUAAAAUCGAUUCUUGUUGUUUGAGGCAUCUGUUCUUCUCAAUUCCUGUUGCUUCAAAAAUUGACUUCUUCUUCUAUUAGAAUCAAUUCUUAACUGAUGCUCUCUACAAAGAAUUGACUUCUCCCAUCUUUAAAAUUGAUUCUUCCUGUGAUAAAGAAAUAUAUUUUGCUUUCUUCUCGUUUAAGAAUCAAAUAUUUGCUUUUGAGAAUUUAAUUCUUAGGCUGAGACAUUGAGUUUAAAAAUAAAAAAUAUCUUUAGGAAAACUUAGAAAUGCUUCUUUAAGUUCAAGAGCAUUAUCAUUCAUUUUCAAAGCAUCUUCAAUCAAUCUCAACAUUUCAAUAUAUCUUUCUUUCUAAGAUCAACUUCAAAACAUCCUUGAGGAUUUCCUUUAUGUUCAAAAGCAUAUUUCAAUCAUUUUCAAAACAAUUUAGUUCAAUCAAUUUGUCAUUUCAAAACAAGAAUAAAGUUAACACACAUGAUAUGAGUAUGAGUACAUGAUGAUAUGAGAUAUGAUAUAUUUAUAUGUUAACCUAAGGGUGAUAAUGGUUUCACCAUUGCCACUAUUUUGGAGUUAGGUGUAAAUUCCACUUUUGGAGUGAGCCAUUGAUUCCACUCACAUGAUGCAUCAUGAAUGCCCAAGUGUGAUGUGGGCUUAACCAUUCAUAAGAGAUGUCUAAAAGGUAAUAGGGGCUUAACCAUCACCAGUCCAAGGUUGAUGGGGGCUUAUCCAUCGUAAUUUGUUAUAUCUUUGAGUAUAUCUUGAUGAUGAAUAGUAACUCUAUAUGUUUGAUGCAUAGAAAUGUUUGAACAAGGUGGGUAAGAGGUAAGCUUAUUAUAUGAGUAUGAGAUUUGAAGAACAUGAAUUCUUGAGUUUAUGUGUAUGGUUAUCGAGUUCUAGAAGGUAAGUCUCGAUACCUCAUUUGAAAUAUGAGUUCAUGAUUUAUCCUUUUUUGGAUUCCAUUCAAAGGUUUUAUUUGAAGUUGCAUUUUAAGAAUUAUGAGACUUCAAAGGUAUGAAGAGUGUUUUCCCACAUUGUUGAACAUGCUACUCAUUUAUUUUAAAUGUUUGGUUCAUACUCCUAAGGAAUUCAUGAAACUUGUUUAGAAGUAUGACUAUUAUUUUACUAGUUUAUUAUAUGUAUCGAAAAGAUUAUACAUGCAAGGUUAUAUAAAUGUUCUAUUUAUGUAAAAGCUCUAACCUUGUAGCUUGUCCUUUUCCCGUAUCCAUUCAUGGAGUCAUUGUGAUUCAAACGUUAGUUUCUCCAUUUUUGUUACAAAUCAAUGAUACUUGUCAAGCAGCCAUGUCACAGAAAUGUGGUUCGUUCCUCCUUUAGUAGUUGACAUAUUAGCCCUUGAAGCCUAAGGAGUUGGGCAGUGUUUCACUUUAUGAGUUGAUCUAUAUAUUUUUGUUGUAAAAUUCUUAUUUGGUACUGGAAUGUUAAGCCAUUGAAUGGUAGGUUACUUUGUUGAGAAUAUGUGAAUGCUAUAAAUAACGGCCUAUAAGCCCUUAUGAUCACUUGCAUUGCAUUGACAGUAUGUUGAGAAGUUCACUAAUAGUAUAUUUACACCUAUGUGUUGAUGUUAAUGCUAUAAUGACAUAUGUUAAAAAGGGCCGUGAGCAUAAGGUUUGUGAAUUGCAUAGGUCCAUUUAUGGUCUCAAGCAAGCAUCUAGAUCUUGGAACAUAAUGUCACGACCUAGAACCUCCCUUGGACCCAUGACAACUGCCGCGACGUCCCGAUUGACACUCAUUACCUGGAACGCCAAUCAGAACCCCGCAAGGCUUACAUAUCAGUUUCUUACCUUUUUUGUGAGAAAUCGUUUUUAAACAAUUUCCAGUAGUUUCCGGCUCAAGUAAAUCAAAUGACAAAAAUAUUUUAAAAGGAUUUAUAGAUAAAUAUUACUAUUCAAAAUAUUGAUUAAAAUAUAAGAUUUUUAUAUAAAACAAUAUUUAUAGAAAUACGUGUAAGAAAUCUUUUAUAACUUGGAAGUAAAAUAAAUUCAUACAUACAAUAAUUUACAAAGUUAUAAUGUACAAUAAUAAUUACAAUGACAAGUGGCCCAAAAUACACCAAGUAUUGGUGAUAGUAACCUANNNNNNNNNNNNNNNNNNNNNNNNNNNNNNNNNNNNNNNNNNNNNNNNNNNNNNNNNNNNNNNNNNNNNNNNNNNNNNNNNNNNNNNNNNNNNNNNNNNNNNNNNNNNNNNNNNNNNNNNNNNNNNNNNNNNNNNNNNNNNNNNNNNNNNNNNNNNNNNNNNNNNNNNNNNNNNNNNNNNNNNNNNNNNNNNNNNNNNNNNNNNNNNNNNNNNNNNNNNNNNNNNNNNNNNNNNNNNNNNNNNNNNNNNNNNNNNNNNNNNNNNNNNNNNNNNNNNNNNNNNNNNNNNNNNNNNNNNNNNNNNNNNNNNNNNNNNNNNNNNNNNNNNNNNNNNNNNNNNNNNNNNNNNNNNNNNNNNNNNNNNNNNNNNNNNNNNNNNNNNNNNNNNNNNNNNNNNNNNNNNNNNNNNNNNNNNNNNNNNNNNNNNNNNNNNNNNNNNNNNNNNNNNNNNNNNNNNNNNNNNNNNNNNNNNNNNNNNNNNNNNNNNNNNNNNNNNNNNNNNNNNNNNNNNNNNNNNNNNNNNNNNNNNNNNNNNNNNNNNNNNNNNNNNNNNNNNNNNNNNNNNNNNNNNNNNNNNNNNNNNNNNNNNNNNNNNNNNNNNNNNNNNNNNNNNNNNNNNNNNNNNNNNNNNNNNNNNNNNNNNNNNNNNNNNNNNNNNNNNNNNNNNNNNNNNNNNNNNNNNNNNNNNNNNNNNNNNNNNNNNNNNNNNNNNNNNNNNNNNNNNNNNNNNNNNNNNNNNNNNNNNNNNNNNNNNNNNNNNNNNNNNNNNNNNNNNNNNNNNNNNNNNNNNNNNNNNNNNNNNNNNNNNNNNNNNNNNNNNNNNNNNNNNNNNNNNNNNNNNNNNNNNNNNNNNNNNNNNNNNNNNNNNNNNNNNNNNNNNNNNNNNNNNNNNNNNNNNNNNNNNNNNNNNNNNNNNNNNNNNNNNNCAAAAUUUACACAAUUCACCACAUUGAUGCUAAAUCACUAUAUAAUUGACUUAAAUCCUAUACUAAUGCAUGGUAUGAAAUGCAAUAGCCUAAAACGGCUUAAACGCGGUAUUAACCUAUUUUUGGCACUUUACUCGAUAAAUUGCUAAUGCAUUCCAUUUUAGCUCUAAAUUGUCUCAUUUUCUCUCCAACAUUUCUAACCAUUAAAUAUCAGCCAAUAACCUUCUAAAAUCACCAAAAUCAGCUCACUUUUCAUCUUGAAAAAUUCGGUAAAAAAUGGGACAUUAACUCGGUAAAAGUUUCACUUUGUUUUUAUAUCACAUUUAACCAUUUUUCAUCAUUUUCUCUUCAUUUCUGUUAGAAUAAAAAUCAGUUCAUCAUCAUUGUACAUCAAUGCAUAUUCAACCAAGGGUGGGUAUUGUGAAAAUUUCAUGCUUUCUUGCCCAAUUUAAUUUCUAUACACAUUUAACUAACUAAAACUACCAAUUUAACUAAAAAUCAAAACCUAAAAAUUUCAAAUUCUCUCCCCUAGAAUUUUGGCCAGCUCUUGGUUUCACUUUUUGAUCUCUCUCCUCAAGCAUUCUUAAUGGAAAUAAAGGCAUAGGAAAGGUAGAAAUCAAGCUAAAAUUGAAAAAUCUUACCAUUAGACGCGUUAACAGGCGAAAAACGCGAUUUCCCCUUUGAAUUUUCUAGUUUUCCUUUGUUUUUCUCUUUUCUUCCUUUCCUCUCUAUUUCUCUCUUGUUCUUUCCUUAUGGCCAGCCAGCACCUAAUAUGGGGUUUAAAUGGGCUGACUUUUCAUUAAAAUAAUAUUAAACCAUAAAAAAAUGCCAUGUGUCACUUUCCCAUUGGUCCGUUUUUAAAAUUUCAUCUAUUUGUUUCCAAAUUUUCACCAUACACUUGUCCCACAUAUCCAUAGCUUAGAUAAAAUUAUCAGACUUAUCCAAAGUCUUGGUGGAGUAAGUUUUGAAAUUUACACUUUUACCCCCGUAAAAGUGAAAAAUUACAUUUUUGCCCAAAAAAUUGAAAAUUGCCCAUAGACAUAUUUUUCAUCCCUUAUACUCAUACCAUUCCUCAAUUUGUCAAAUUUGAUCUAAAUUCUCUCAAAAUCUCAAAUUUUGUCUGCGAGUGGCAAAAUUACGAUUUUACCCCUAAACAUCAAAAUUUUCAAUUUUUCCCCAAAUGAACCCUCGAACUCCGAACAAUCAUUUUUAGUCAUUCCUGGACUGUAAAAUAUUAAAUUUCAUCCUACGAUUCCUAUUUGAACUAGUUCAAGGUUAAAUCAACUCAAGUGUACCGUUAAGUACAAUAUCGGGUUUCGUCUAUUCUUAGGACUUUCCUAGCGUAAUAACAUGUUACUCAAUGCAUGUAUGUCAUGACAUGUAUUUAUAGGCUUGGGUUUUACACAUAAGCUUUGAUACUAUUGUCAAAUAAUGUCGUUUCUAACAAGAUGUAGACGAACCUUGUGUUGAUAAAAGGAUACAGAACAAGAACAUUGGUUUCCUAGUUCUUUAUGUCGACGACAUUCUACUCAUUGGGAAUGACAUAGGAAAGUUGUCAAUAGUUAAAGGUUGGUUGAACCAACAAUUUGAUGUGAAGGAUUUAGGAGAAGCUAGAUAUAUUCUAAGGAUUAAACUUAUAAGGGAUCGUAAGAACAAGCAGAUAGCAUUAUCUUAAGCAACCUACAUAGACAAAAUUUUGGCCAAGUUUGCUAUGCAAGAUUCCAAGAAGGGUUUUAUGCCUUAUAGAGAUGGAAUCAAACUUUUAACUAAAAGCAUUUAGUUGGAAACGUAACCAAGCCCAUAAUUUGACUUAGGAUAUUCUAAAUAUGGAUUUAGAAAAUCUGGUAAAAAGUCAAUCAAAACCCCACGUAUAAAAAUAUUGAGUGGGAAAGGAUGCUAGUAAUCCUAGAGUCCACGGUCUCCAUUGUUGGCCCAUUGGCAUGUGAAACAUGUCACUCCUUACAAGCGGACAUAAAUCCAGAUCAUGACGAACUGGGUCUCCGAAAGGAUAAAUCCUCUUAGGUGGAUUAUGAAGUGAGACCUGCCAUAGAGACUUACUAGGUAAGGAGCUUAAAAGAAUGAAACAAUGGUUGUUACACUUAACAUGAAUUUGGAAUUAACUUGCCUACAAUAGCUCUUUUAGUAAACUUCGCGGACCAAAUGAAAGAUCUCCUUAACCAUGUUAAGUAUGAAGAAACUGGGCAACAUAGUUAAGUGGGUGGGUCCCAGUUUGCCUGGUAGUAAAUUAUCACAUCCCAUAGUCGGUUAAUUUAUUACAAAAAGGUACAUGACUGUUGAAUUAAUAAUACAAUUUACAGGGUUUUAUAUAUUGUCAUCAUGCAUACAUGCUUCAUGAAAUGUUCAAAGUCCAUAAAUAACUAGUAUGCUUACAUAAUUUCAAAAUGUACUUUUAGAAACAUAUUUGCAUCACAAAUAAGAAUCCACUUUCAAUUUUGCUAAACAAAUGCACUUUGAAUGGUGAUAACUACACUAAAUGGAAAAGAAACCUUAAUAUUGUCCUUAAUUAUGACGAGAUCACAUGGGUUCGUUUUGACCAUGAGCCUGAAGCACUAUCAACUCCACAAGAUAUUGAAUAUCAUAAAAAGUGGCAUGAUUCAAAUAAGCUGGCUAAAUGCUAUAUACUGGCUUCUAUGAAUAGUAUAUUGCAAAAGUAGCACGAAGGCAUGGGUAAUGCUGCUGACAUAAUGUUGCACCUACAUGAGAUGUUUAGUAGAAAAACUAGGUCUACUAAGGUAAAAGCAAUCAAUGCUUUUAAGGACCUUAAGCAGAAACUUGGGGAGCUAGUUAGAUAUUACAUGCUGAAAGUGAUCUCUUGUCUCAAUGAGGUAAAACUAAAUGGUGUUGAGAUAGAUACGAAAAUGCAAAUAUCAAUGAUCGUUCAUAGCUUGAAUUCAUCAUUUUCAUAGUUCAAAUUGGAUUAUGAACUGCACACUAGGGAUUACACCCUAAGUGGGCUAAUGGAUGAUCUUCAAAAUGUGGAAGAGGUUCUUGAUUUGAAAAAAAAGCCUGAAGCACAUGUAAUUUCCACUUCUAAGCCCAAACCUAAGAGUAAAAAUAAGAUAGUUGGAAAUAAAAUAUUUUUGAGGGCUUAGUGGGAGCAAAGAAAAAGCCCAUGAAGAAAAAGAUUGCUUCAAAAGACAACACUAAAGGAAAAUGUUUCCAUUGUGGUGUGAAAGGACAUUGGAAGCAAAAUUGCAAGGUCUGCCUUGAAGAAAUCCAGAAGAGUCAACAAGGUAUUGGUUUUCUAAAUAUGUUAAAAGCCUGUUUAGUGGUUGAUUCUACGGAUGCUCAGAUAGUAGAUUCUGGAGCCACUAACCAUGUUUUUAAUUCUUUAUAGGGGUUUCAACAUAGGAGAAAACUGAGUAAAGGGCAGUUUCGGAUGAGGAUGGAAAAUGACACAUUCGUUUUAGCAUUAGCAGUGGGAGCCAUUACUCUUCAAUUUCCUUAUGAUCGUAGCUUAGUUUUGGAAAAUGUUUUAUUACAUUCCAAAGACUUAUAGCAAUUUGAUUUUUGUUUUUUGUCUAAACAAGUUUAGAUAUUCAGUUUAUUUUAGUGAGACACUCACUAUUUAUUUGAAUAAGGAUUUUAUUUAUUCUAGAAUUGUAAGAUAUAAUCUUUAUUUCCUUGAGCCUACAACUUAUUCUACAAAUGCUAUAGAAGCAAUACGAUUUAAAAUUGAAAGAGUUAAAGAAUCUAGUAUAAAUCAAAAUUAUCUUUAGCAUCUACAUUUAGGUUAUAUCAAUCAAAAUAGACUCAAUCGGCUUAUAAAGGAUGGUACUCUACCAAACAUGGUUGAGGGUCCUUUACCAGUAUGUGAGUCUUGUAUUGAAGCUAAAAUGACUAAAGGGCUUUUUAAGGCAAAAGGUAAUUGAAUGCCAAACAUUCUAGACUUGGUGCACAUAGAUGUGUGUGGACCAAUGAACAUAAAAGCUAGAGGAGGUUAUGAAUAUUUUAUAACUUUUAUUGAUGACUACUCAAGACAUGGCUCUGUGUAUUUAAUUCAUAAAAAAGUGAAUCCCUUGAAAAGUUCAAAGAAUUCAAAGCUGAAGUUGAAAAGCAAUUACGCAAGCCAUGGAAACAACUUCGAUCAGAUUGAGGAAGUGAGUAUUUAUCAGAUGAAUUUCAACAAUAUCUCACUGACAAUGGGAUAGUUUCCAAUUUGUCAGCGCCAAGAACACCUUAACAUAAUGGUGUAGCUAAAAGAACAAAUAGAACUCUUUUAGAAAUGGUUAGAUCAAUGAUGUCUUAUGCUAACCUUCCAAUCUUAUUCUGGGGAUAUUGUAUGCAAACUGUUGAGUACUUACUCAAUUUUGCUCCAUCUAAGGCUGUGCCUAAUACACUAGAGGAGCUAUGGACAAGGCGUAAAUCAUCUAUAAGUCAUUUGCAAACUUAGGGGUGUCCUACACAUGUUUUAAAGCUUGAGUCCAGAAAUAUGGAACCAAAGAUUGAGGUAUGCUUGUUUGUAGGGUAUCCAAAAGGAACAAGAGGUUAUUACUUCUAUAAUCCUCAAGAUAAGAAAGUUUUCGUUAGUGCGAAUGCCACUUUCUUAAAAGAAGAGUUUGUGAGAAAUCACAAACCUAGAAGUAAAAUUAUCUUAGAAGAAUUGUCUAAUCCUUCAGAUUUAAGAGUUAAUUCUGAAGAUGUCAUAACACAAUCUGAUUCAAAGGUUGAAAUAGAAUCACAACCUGAACAUCAAAUAGUGGUGCCUCAACGUAGUGGGAGGGUUGUGAGACAACCAAAAAGAUACAUAGGUUUGGGAGAAAACAUGAUUACACUCUCAGAUGAACAUGAAUCUGAUCCUAUUACAUAUAAAGAAGCUAUUAAUGAUGUAGAUGCUGAAGAAUGGCAUAAGGUAAUGAAAUCUAAGUUAAACUCCAUGAAUUCUAAUAAAGUUUGGAGUCUAGUAGAUCCACUUGAAGGAAUAAAACCUAUAGGGUGCAAAUGGAUUUACAAGAGAAAAAGGAAGUGAUGGGAAGGUAGAGACCUUUAAGGCUAGACUAGUGGCCAAGGGUUUUACCCAAAGAGAAGGGAUUGACUAUGACGAAACCUUCUCUUAGGUUGCUAUGCUUAAUCCAUCAAGAUCCUUCUAUCCAUAGUUGCACAUCUUGGUUAUGAGGUAUGACAAAUGGAUGUCAAGACCACAUUUUUAAAUGGAGAUCUUGAAAAGCACAUUUAUAUGGCUAAACCAGAAGGUUUCAUUAAAAAGGGCCACGAGCAUAAGGUUUGCGAAUUGGGUAGGUCCAUUUAUGGACAUAAGCAAGCAUCUAAGUCUUAGAACAUAAGAUUUGAUACUACUAUCAAAUCAUAUGGUUUUCAACAAAAUAUUGACGAACCUUGUGUCUAUAAAAGGAUACAAGAUAAAAAGGUUAUUUUCCUAGUCCUUUAUGUUGAUAACAUUCUACUAAUUGGGAAUGAUAUAGGAAUGUUAUCAACAGUUAAAGGUUAGCAAAACCAAUAAUUCAAUGUGAAGGAUUUGGGAGAAGCUAGCUAUGUUCUGGGGAUCAAACUUAUAAGGGAUCAUAAGAAAGAAGCAGAUAGCAUUAUUUCAAGCAUCCUACAUAGACAAGAUUUUUGCAAAGUUUGCUAUGCAAGAUUCCAAGAAGGGUUUUAUGCCCUCAAGACAUGGAAUCAAACUUUCUAAAGAGAUGUCACCUAAAACUCUAAAGGAAGUUAAAAAUAUGAAACGGAUUCCAUAUGCAUCUACCGUUAGAAGUCUCAUGUAUGUUAUGCUAUGCACUAGGCCAGAUAUUUCCUAUGCAAUUGGAUUGAUUAACAGAUUUUAUUCAAACCCAGGCAUGGAGCACUGGAUUGCAAUCAAGUGCAUUUUUUAAUAUCUUCGUAGAAUGAAGAAUUACAUGCUUGUAUAUUUUGGAAGUGACAUUGUAGCAGUAGGGUACACUGUUUCAGAUUUUCAGUCUGAUGUUGAUUCUAGGAAAGCAACAUCAAGAUCUAUUUUCACCAUUAGAUGAGGAGCUAUAUUGUAGAGGAGUGUAAAGUAAUCUUGUAUUGCAGACUAUACUAUGGAGGCAGAGUACGUUGCAGAUUGUGAAGCAGUAAAGGAAGUUUUAUGGCUCUGUAAGUUCCUUAUGGAGCUUAAAGUAAUUCCAUAUGUGGACAAGCCUAUUACACUUUAUUGUGAUAACAGUGGAGCAAUGGCUAACUCAAAAGAACCAUGGAAUCAUAAAGCAGCAAAACAUAUUAAAUGGAAGUAUCAUCUCAUUCGAGAGAUCAUACAACAUGGAAACGUACUUGUGAAGAAAAUUCCAAAUGAGCAUAAACUCGCCAAUCCAUCAAAAAGACUUUAACACAAAAGAGUUUCGAUCGUCACUUAGAAGGUCUUGGAAUGAGGGAUAUGUCAUACUUGCUUCAGGGCAAGUGGGAGAUUGUUAGAAAUUUUGAGAAUAUGGUGCCCUAAAAGAUAAGUAUAUUCUCAUAUUUAAUUUUAUUAAAUUUAUUUGUAAUGAAAGUACAUUUUGAUAAUAAGAAGAAGAGUUUGUUUUAGUAAGCAUUCAUUAUCUAGUUAGUAAGGUACCAUGAUUCUAUUGAGAUAUUAAAAUGCAUUUGUAUGAAGAGUCAUACAUAGGAGAUAUGUAUUUUAAUUGAAUCUAAAAAUUGUUCAUAGCCAUAUAAUAAAGUUAGUCACUUUAUUGGUUUAAGGUUGUAGUGGUCCAAACUUCCAACGAAAUGAAUGUGAUUCAUUUCAAGGGAAUGACGAGUCUUAAAUCAUCGAAAUGGUUGACUUUGAGUAAUGACACUAUAACAUGAACUGAAAUCAUGUGAGAAUUAAAUUUAAGUUCAACCAUUACUUAAAUUUUAAUCUCGCACUUAUGCAUCUGCUUAUAGUAGAACCGAAAUCUUGAUGGAUAGUGGACUUGUAUUUAAUCUCCUUAUAAUCUUUGAUUUACCAUGAGCAUGAUCAAUACUUCGUAUUUUGGAAUUAUAAUCGAGAUGAACAUUUGGGAACAUAUACCCAAAUAAUGCAAUUCAUAGCAUUAACAUCACUUCUAUUGAUUUUAGGAAGAUUGGUGAUUAAUUUGGGUUUAAUGGAUUGAUGAAUUAGCUACUCAUCAUAUCUGGAUACUCAAAAGGUUAGAUCUAGAGUAUUGAAUCACUAAUUGGAUGAAAUUUGAGACUAGAGGACAAAAUUGACAUAAAAGGUAAAAUAGUAAUUUCGCCAUUUUGUCAUUGGAUGGUUAUGAGGGUUCACAAUAUAAAGUUUGAAAUUGAACAACUAAUAAUUAAUAUCAAGUAUUGAAUUGUUUCUUGUAAUUAUAGUUAAUCCAAGAGUGCAACCAUGAAUCUAUGGUAGAGUGAUUUCAUGGUUAAUAAGCUUGGAUUAUUUUUAAUGAGAUUAAGAAUAAUUCCAAGUUUGUUGGAGCUUGGAAUAUCUAUGUCCAAAUAGAUUCCCCACUUAGCUUCGUAGAAUUCAACUUGUUUAAGUUGGAAUACAUAUUUUAAUUUGAUUAAUUAAAUUGUGUACAAAAAUGACACUUUAACAUGUUUGUUUUAAUUUAGACAAGAAAACAUGUUUGGUCUUAAUUUAGACAAGAAAAUAUGUUUGUCUUAAUUUAGGACAAGAAAAAUAUUUUUUGUCUUAAUCUAGACAAGAAAACAUAUUUGUCUCAAUUUAGACAAGAUAAAAUAUUUUUGUCUUAAUUAAAGACAAGAGUUUUCUUAAAUUAAGAUAAUGUUAGGUGGAUUCUUGCAAAAUGAAUCUAGAAUCCAUGUUAAUAAAAAGAGACUCCAUGUUUGACUAUCAAUCUUUUAUUAAAUUAUUAAUUAUUUUUAAAUAAAGAUAGAUAAUAAUAAAAUAAGAGUUAUUAUUCAAUAAGGAGUUUUAUUUUAUCAAGAACUUUAAAUGAUAAUUUAAGAAUUAAAUAUUUAUUCUUUAAUUUUUAUUUUGAUAAUUAUGGAGCAUGCUUGUGCUAGGAACCACAUGAUUAGAGCAUCAACGUAGCGGAAUAAUGAAAAUUGAAAUAAAAUAAAAACCAUGCAUCCUACCUUUAGAUCACCUUGGUUGUUUAAUAUAAAGCUAAGCACCUGUCACAGCCUAAUUCUUGGGCCAUGACUGGCGCAAAGACCCAAUAGGCAUGGCCCACUGAGCCCAAGCAAGCCUUUAUAUAAAAACUUAUUUAUUAGACCACCUGUCCCUCUUUUACCUCUAAGGUUCUUAAUUCAUUGUUUUCAAAAAUAAUUUCCUUUCGAAUAUAAAUCAUGGUAACUGAACAAUACCAUUCACAAAAUAAUCUUACUAUUUGCCAAUCUGUGGCAACAAUAUCAUGCAAACCAAACAUAUAGUGUUUACAACAAACUCAUGAAUUACAUUUAAAUAACCAUACAUACAAAACACCUUGACUAUCAGCGGAGUGACUCUAGCUUGGAUACUAUCAUGGAGUGUUCUGGUAACCUACCGUAAGAUGAACAGGAGGAAGCGCCUUUACCUAAGAUCCAACUAUCUUCGAACUUGAAAACUAAAACAUGAAGUUAAAAAGGAUGAGUAUAAACCCUAGUGAGUAAACAUAGGAAAGGAACAAGCAAACGUACGGAGAGCUUUUCGAAAACAUGAUGGACUUGUUUAAAAACAAUGCAAUUUUGUAUAUUAUGAACAAAACUCCAUGUUGUGCUAUUUUUCAACUCAUUGUAAAACAUUUAGGAAGUUCAAGCAAGGCAAGCAUAGUAGAGCAAAUCUUGCUGUAGCGAAAAUGCAUUCUUAGCAAGAAUGAAUUUUUGCUGCAACAAACUUCAGGGUAAAAUUUUGAACCAACAACCCGAGGGUUUCUCGCUGUAGCGAGAAUGCAUUUUCGUUGCAGAGAAAUUCUAGGCUAGUCAAGCCCCCAACACUUGAAAAUUUCUCAUUGCAGCGGGAAUGAAUUUUGUUGCAGUGAGAAACAGGGCAAUGAAUUUAAAAGAAUUAUUGUCACAAUGAAAAUUCAUUUUUUGCUACAGUGAAAAUCAACUGGAAAGCAUUUGUCAAAUUUUAACAUUCAAUGUUCAAUGCAAACACAUAAUACUUUCCCUAACCUCUCUAUGUACGUGUAUACAUGUAUACAACUCCCAUCUCACUAGCUCAUGUGCACUCCCACACCACACAUAGCUAGAAUCAUCCUAUGCACUCCUAAAUCGCAUGAGGCAAUAUCAUCAUGUGCAGUCCCACCUCGCACAUGGCAUAUAUCAUCAGUGUGUGCACUCACAUAGCACACCACUAUCACGCACAUGGCAUAUAUCAUCAGUGUGUGCACUCACACAGCACACCACUAUCAUGCACAUGGCAUAUAUCAUCAAUGUGUGCACUCAUAAAGCACACCACUAUCACCAUCAUGUGCACUCCCACACCGCACACACACGAUUACAAUUGUCACCCAAUAGUGCCAUUCAAUGCAUAACAUACACGUCAACAUAAUGUAGAACCACAUGAGUUCAUCACAUUCAUAUUUCACAACAUAAAAAAGUAUCAUCAAGGGCUUGUUGCCAUGCAUAUUUAGAGAAAAGUUCAAUAAAAAUAUUUCAAGUGAUUUAACCAAAUACAUAUGCAUUUAUCCCAAAACAUUUAAUGCAAGUUCACUCACCUUAAUGCCACCUUACAAAACCAGUGCCCACAAAGUCUUAAUCCAGGUAGUCCUGAAAUACCGUUAAAACCUAUAUUUACCAAUAAGCCAUAACAACCUCCAUCAAGUAAUAAUUUGAAUUUAAUAAUUCUAAUAAAUAUACACUAUACAAUCUACACUCUAACCCAACUUUUAACCUAGAAUUCUAGUUUAAUUCACAAACCCAUUAAACUAAUUGUUCAAGUUUAAAGUUUCUUUACCUUGGUGCUUGAAGGUAUAAAGAUCAACCAAACCUAGCAAAUUUCGAGGAAAAAAAAAUUUGAAAAAGCUUAGAAAAUAAAGUCUAAAAAUUACAAACCCAUAAAUUCAAAAAUUCAAGGGUUGAAAAUAUAUACCUUUUAACCUUAAAAAAGAAGAUUUGAAGCUAAAAAUCCAAGUGUUUUUGAAAGUGAAGAAGAAAUAGAAAAUAAAGGAAAGGAAAUGAGAUUUUUCUUUCUCUCUCCAAAGGUUUAGAUGUGCUAAAAAUUGGGGUUAGAAGCUGCAGGUUUGAUGCCUAAGAAGUUAGGAAAAGGAAUGAGUAAGAAGAGAGAAGGAAAGUAAAGAAAACAAGGAAAAGAAAAUGAAAAUCUUGAUUUUAAUGGUGGAGGAACAAAAAUGGCAUUGGGAGGAGAUGAAGGAGGAAGAUGGUUGUGAAACCUCAACCUCUGUAGACACGUAACUAGAAGUAGACACAAGAACAUGGACUAGAGGUAAUUUCAUCACUUUCCUUAGUGAGCUUCUAGAAGUGGAUAUUCUAACAUUAUUAAGGUCUAAGUAGGCUUAAGAAAUAAAUGAAUGAUGUAUAUAAUAAUGAAAUAAAUGAAGAAAAUAGAAAUAAUGAUAAUUUUCACAGUAAGGGCAAAAUGGUCAUUUUGCAUAUCGAGUAUGAAUUUUUAAGUUUUUGUGAACUCGAGUCUUCUAGACUAUUAUGGACUUUGUCUCAGCAUCAAAAGAGCAAAAAGUCAAACCAAGGGAAGGAAAAGAGGCAAAGUCAACUAUUGAAUGGCAUUUUUAUAAAUAAAUAGAACUUUAAUCAACUUUAAGCAUAUAUAUCUAAUUUCCAACAACUUCUUCUUCUUUUUCUUCUUCUUCCCAUCCUUUAUCUCCAUUUCACAUUUUUCACCUUCCAAGGAAGCCUCCCUUGAAACCUCUAUAACUUUCCCAAAAUCAACUCCAGUUUUCAUGCUUUUAUACACCUUGUCAUAGGGUUUUUCAUACUCUUUUACUUCUACACCUCAAGAACCCUCAAAAGUCUUUCCUCAAUACUUUCUCUCACUAGUUGGACAUUUUAGAGAGAGAGAGAGAGAUAUUCCAUAAUAGCUUCAAAACUCUUGGAAAGGAAUCCAAAUUACAAAAUCCACCAAGGUGAGUAAUGAAUUAAGGUUGAUUUUUAAGUUGUUGAUAAUGGUUAAUAAUUAGAUUAUGAGUGUUUUAUUGUUGAGGUUGUUUAUAUAUUUUUUUAGUGUGAUUAGAGUUGAGUAAAUAAAUAGCCAUUUAAUGGUAAUUGGAAGCUAGUUAAGAAUAACUAGUAGAACUUGAUUUAGGAAAUGGCCUUUAAAAUUUUAUUAAUGCUGAUUUAGGCUGGUGUGAUGCUAUUGUGUGUGAUAGGUUCCAAUGAGGCCACACAUCUCCAUCCGGAGCAAUAGACGCAGUUAGAGUCAAUCAGAGCAUCAACAAAAAUAGUGAGUGAACUUGCAUUAAAAUGUUUUGGGGAUAAAUGCAUACAAGCUUGAUUGAAUCAUUUGAAAUAUUUGAUUGAUCUUUUCUCUAAAAUAUGUAUGGGAACAAGCCCUUGAGGAAACAUUUUUGCGUUGUCGAAUAUGACGGUGAUGAAUCCGUGUGCACCUAUGUUAUGUUGAUAUAUAUAUAUAUAUAUUAUAUGUAUUGAUAAGUAAUAUUGUGUGGUAAUUAAAACCAAGUGUGUACGGUGUGGGAGGGCACAUGCCGGUGAUGACAUGGUGUGAUUCCAGCUAUGUACGGUGUGGGAGUGCACAUGAGCUGAUGACCGGUGGUUUAUAUAUGUUUGCUGUGCGGUGUGGGAGUGCACAAAAUGAUUCUAGCUAUGUGCGGUGUGGGAGUGCACAUGAGCUGAUGAUCUGUGGGUGUAUGUAUGCUUAUACAUAUUUACUGUAGAGAUGAUCAUACAUGCUAUAAAACUGUUUAUAUAUGCUAUAGAAAGGAUAAGGAAAUAAGAUGUGAUUGUAUUGAUUGUCGAGUGUUGGAAAUUAUUAACUAAUUUCAAAUUGAUUUUCGUUGCAACAGAAUGGAUUUUCAAUGCAGCAAAACCCCCCUUAAGUUCAUCAGCCCUGAUUCUCAUUGCAGCUAAAAUGAAUCUCGCUGUAGCGAGAAAGUCACGGGUCGUUCACUUAAUAUGUGCUAAGAAUUUCCUGCAUUCUCGCUGCAGCGAGAAACUCUCGGGAGGUUCAAAAAAUUUCUUUCUCCAAAAUUUGUUGCAGUGAAAAUUCAUUCUCGCUGCAGCUAGAAACCCUUUGUUAUGUUGUUAUACUCGUCUUGCAUGGAUUUUGUUGUAGUUCUCACCCUUUCCAACUUCAUUAUUGAUCAUGAAUCCUUCAACACUAAAGGAUUAAAUGCUCAAAGUUUGAAAUGAGGGGUUUUAACAAGAAUUUAAACUAAAUUGCAUUGUUUUUACUAUAAGUGCAUCAUGUUUUCUAAAAUUUUCUUUAUUGUUUGCUUGUUCCUUUUUUAUGUUCACUCACUGGGUUUAUACUCACUCUUUUAAACUUCAUGGUUUCAGACUUAGAGGUAGUUGGGACCUAAAUUAAGGUGUUCAUGUGCACUUACCCUUUGGUAGGUAUUUUUGCAUUCAAUAGUCGUGCCUUCACCCAAGGUCACUCUACUGGUCGUCAGAAGUCUUUUGUAUGUAUAUAUAUAUACUCGAUGUAAAUCGUUAAGAUUUAGGUUACAAACAAUAGAUGUAUAUUUAGAUUGAUGACGCCAUUAUAAGAUGGCAAUGAAUGAAUGACAAUAUUUUGGAUUAAUACAAAUAUAAAUAUUUAGUUGCCAUAUAUGUUACUGAAACACGCAUAGUUGAGAGUCAAGAUUUGUGGUUUAGGAAUGGUGACGUUAUGAAAUGAUGAACAAGAUUUCAUAAAGAGGCUUGUUUGGGCUUAACGGGCUAUGCCUAUUGGGCCCAUGUGCUGGUCAUGGCCUGUGACAAUGGUGCCUUGGACAUAAUGGCCGGCCAUGGGAUAAGGAUGGAGAGUUAAAGCUUCCUUUGGAAGAUUUGACCAAACUUUAUGGAAAAUUAUCUUUUUGCCCUUUAAGGUUUUCACCAUUUUUAAUUGUAUCCUCCCACAAUCUUUUAAUUCCAAUUUCUCUCCAUUUUUCUUCCUUAACACUUGUACCAAUAAAAUAUCAAAUUUAUGAUUCAACGCAGUAACACUGUAAUAUUUAAAUAUUUACUUACCCGAGCUAGCUUUGUUUAAUAAAGACAUGCGAUCCCCAUUAACAUCAUUUUUCUCUAAAAUUUCCUUGUCCUUCUUCUCCCCCACUUAGAUUGAUCAUGUAUUUCUCCUUCAUGGAAAAUUUCGACAUCGAAUAAAAUAUUAAUAUUUUAAUAUUAUUCUAUUAAUAAAAUAUUAUUUUAUUUCAAAAUUUUCCACUAGCCUUCUUAGGCUCCAAAACAUCUUACUUUGCCGUGAUUCACAUUCGAAUCACCUUUUAUCUCACAAAUUUUUCCUCGAUAAAAAUAUUAUUAUUUCUUCGUGUGUGAAAUAUUUUAUCUUAAAAUACUCUUUUCACCCGUCUCCAUCCUUUGGCACUUAAAUCAGCAUCCAUUGACUUUUUGUCUCGUUGAUAAGGUCAUAUUGACUUCUAUGCGAGGGUACUGGGUGUCACAGCACCACAUAAAAUUAAUAAAAGUUUUACCUUUCCAAGUGAUAUCAUAAUCAAAUGGAUUCCUUUUGGGGACAAAACGUGAACACCUUUUGCGUGAAAGAAUCCUAGCAACUCAAUCCCUUGGCCUCCAAUGAUGCACACACGAUCGCAACGGAUCCUUCUCAAAGAGAGAGCUUUAUGUCGCGGGCUUGUGCUAGCAAAUGGACAAUGAUUUGUCCUCUUUUCUUCUUUGAUUUCCAGCAAAGAAUCAAAGGAGAAGUUUUCAAAAAAAUAAAAAUAUAAACUUCUCAAGUGUGGCAGGACUCAAGAGAAAAACCUUUUUCUUUUUUUUGUUUCCUUCCAAAAAAAAAAUAGUGGCUAUAAUGUGAUAUUUAUAGCUAGGUUUAACUUAUUAAAAUUUACAAAAUAAGUCCUUAAUAUUAUUACAAUUAUAAUAUUUACCCAAUACUUAAUUAAACUCUUUAAAUUAGGUCCUUAGUAGUUAAAACCUAGAAUUUGAUUUAAGUCUAACUUAAAUCAUCACACCCUUAAUUUAAUCCAAAUUGCAACCUUUGUGUGUGUGACCCAUUAGGUUCCUAACAUGUUGGCAAUGAAAUUGAAUUAUAAUAUCAUUAAUUAAUUAAUUUAAAUGAAUCAUAUUCAAUUUUAAAUUAACUAAUUCAAUUCCAUAGACCAUGAUUGGCAUCUAGCAAUGCAUCAUGGCCACCGAAUUGUUAGGAGAGUCAAAAGAUUCUUUGACAACUUUUCAAUGUACAGUAUUUUAGUGUAAUUCAGUCCCUCAUCAUAUAUCCUGAAGAUGAUAAGAGCUUGGUGCAGUGCGUACUCUUAUUGAGCUCCAUAUUUGUUCUUGCAGUUAGAUCAUUAACUUUAUGGAGACUUACGAAACUUAUUUCAUAACCAAGGAUUUGAUUAAGCUAAUAUCAACCAAGAACUAAUGAGAUAUUUCCCCUUGAAUCACUCGGGGUGAUGAUUCCUUUCUUGACCACUCAUUUGCCUUCAUAUACUUCAUACUGUACCCAAAAACAUCUUGUUUUGGCAUCCUUGGUUAGGCACCCCGUAGGGAUGAAAUCAAAGCAUAGUAAUCCACAUACAAGACAACUUGGUGUCUCAAGUCUAAGGAGUAGUUUCACAACUGACACAUGAGAAGUAUUGCAUAGACACUUGAGUGAGGUACCAAAUGCACUUCUCAUGGUGGCUCAUGUUCAGUGAACUCACUCUCCCACAGUAAACACCCAUAUGCUAGUUCCAAGUAUCUUUAUAUUUCAACCUAUAAAAGCAAUUGCUUACUUCACAAGUAAGGAACAUAACAUGUGCCAAUCUUUGAGCAUUAUUGAUGCCUUAUCUCAAUAAUACAAUGAUCAGGAACUUUUAGGAACAAUGCUUUAAUGCAUAAAGAUCUCAUAAUUGUAUCCCAAUACAAUUCCUUUGUAAGGCAUAUAUAGUUCCAUGGGUUUUAUCUACAUAAGUACCAAAGGUAAUUAAAUCAUAAACUUAUGGAUAGAGAACUACCUCAAUGUUAUUAUGAAUAAUAAAAUGUCUUACAUGAAUAUCUCAAAAUUGUAAUUCCCAUACAACCACAGAUUGGCUUGUAGAGCUUAUACUUACAAUCUCCCACUAGUACUAAAGCCAAUCAACUAUGUAUCUAAUACCAAUGUUCUCAACAUGACGAUUAUGCUUCUACUAGGAUAAUGCUUUAGUGAGAGGAUCAGCAAUAUUAUCCUUAGUGGGUAUAAGCUCUAUGCAAAUGUCUCAUCUUCUAUUGAUUUCCCUGAUCACAUGGUAACGCCGCAAUACAUGUUUGGAUUUUUUUUUGAGACCUUGGUUCCUUUGCUUAUGCAAUGGCUCCAUUGUUAUCACAAUACAAAGGUAUUGGAUCAACAAUGCUAGGAACCACAUCUAGUUCAGUAAUGAACUUUUUAAUCCAAAUUGCCUUUUUCACUGCCUCAAACAUAGAGAUGUAUUUGGCCUCGAUUGUAGAAUCCUCAGUUGUCUCUUGUUUGGAACUCUUCCAACUCACUGCACCUCCAUUGAGUGUGAACACAUAUCCACUUUGCGACUUGCUAUCAUCUUUGUUAGUUUGAAUGCUUGCAUCCAUAUAUCCCUUAACUUGGAGUUCACCUUCUCCCUAAACCAGGAAUACAUCCUUAGUUCUUCGUAAGUACUUCAACAUGCUUUUCACUACUAUCCAGUGACUUUCACCAGGAUUAGCUUGGUAUCUACUCAUGACACUUAGAGCAUAAGAUACAUCUGGUCUAGUGCAAAGCAUCACAUACAUGAUAGAUCCUAUUACUGAAGCAUAAGGGAUCUUAUCCAUGUGAUUUCUCUCCUCUUUAUUCUUUGGACACAUGUCCUUGGUGAGAGAGAUGCCUUGCGACAUAGGUAAUUAUCCUUUCUUGGACUCCAUCAUGCUAAACCUCUUUAGCACCUUGUCUAUUUAUGUGGAUUGCGAGAGACCUAGUAACUUUUUAGAUCUAUCUUUAUAGAUCUUUAUUCCAAGAAUGUAGGUUGCUUAUCCCAAAUCCUUCAUGGAGAAUUGUUUGGACAACUAAAUCUUCAUAGAUUGCAGCAAUGGUAUAUCAUUUCCUAUGAGCAAUAUGUCAUUAACAUAGAGCACUAGGAAAAUUAUGGCACUCCCACUAGCCUUUUUAUAGAUACAUGGUUCAUCCUCAUUUUUUAUGAAGCCAAACCCUUUUACAACUUCAUCAAAACGGAUGUUCUAACUCUGAUAAGCUUGCUUAAGUCCAUAAAUGGACUUUUGAAUCUUACACACCUUAUUAGCAUUAACAUUGGAUAUAAAACCUUUAGGUUGUGUCAUGUACACUUCCUCUCGUAAGUUUCCAUUAAGGAAUGUAGUUUUUACAUUCGUUUGCCAUAGUUCAUAAUCAUGGUAUGUAGCAAUUGCAAGCAAAAUGCUAAUGGAUUUAAGCAUAGCAGCUGGUGAAAGGGUUUCUUCAAAGUCAAUACCUUUUCUUUGUUUUUAACCUUUUGCUGCCAGUCUAGCUUUAAAGGUUUUCACCUUGCCAUCUACAUCGGUCUUUCUCUUAAAGACCCCCUUGCAUCCAAUAGGUUUUAUCCCUUCAGGUGGAUCCACCAAAGUCCACACUUGUUUAGUAUCCAUGGCAUCCAUUUCAGAUUUUAUGGCUUCUAGCUAUUUCUCAAAAUCGAUGUCCAACAUUGAUUUCUCAUAGGUUGUAGGUUCAUCAUUUAUGGGCAAUGCAUCCCUUUCCAUAAGAAAUCUACAUUUUUUUGGAGCUUGACGUAUUCUAGUAGACCUUUUGAGUGGUUGUGCCUCUUGAGAUUAUGGUUGUACAUCAGAUGCACAAUCUUAGGCUCAAGUUCCAGUGGAAUGUCAAUUUAUGGGUCUUGAGCUUCUUCGAGUACCACUUUACUCCCACUAGCCUUUUCAUUUAAAAGCUCUUUCUUAAGGAAAGUGGCAUGCCUUGAGACAAACACCUUUUGCUUAGUGGGAUAUUAGAAAUAAUAUCUAUGUGUUUCUUUAGGAUAUCCCAUAAAUUUACAUUUGUCUGAUCUCGUUUCUAGCUUAUCAAACAUUGUGCGCUUCACAUAAGUAAUACAACCCCAAAUCCUAGCAUAAAGCAAGUUGGGCCUUUUCCUACUCCAUAUCUCAUAUGGUGUCUCAUCAACUGAUUUGGUAAGAACCUGGUUCAAUAUGCGAGUAGCAGUUUCUAGGGCAUAUCUUCAGAAAGAUAUAGGAAGAUUUACACAACUCAUCAUGGAUUGAAUCAUGUCUAAUAAUGUUCGAUUCCUUCUCUUAGACACCCCAUUGUGCUGUGGAGUCCUUGGAAGAGUCCAUUGUACGAGAAUCCCAUUCUCUUUCAAAUAAUCCUGAAACUCUUGGCUAAGACAUUCUCCUCCUCUAUCAAAUCUAAGAGUGAGAAUACUCUUCCCAAUUUGUUUCUCAACCUCACUUUAUAUUCUUUGAACUUAUCAAAGGAUUCAGAUUUAUAUUUCAUCAAAUAUACAUAACCAUAGCGAGAAUGGUCAUUUGGGAAGGUGAUGAAGUAGGAGUAUCCUCCUCUAGCACUAGUAUUCAUAGGACCACAUACAUCCGAAUGUACAAGUCCUAAUAACACCCUAACUUGUUCACCCUUCUUGGAUAAGGCGACUUGAUCAUCUUACCAAGGAGACAACACUUACAUGUCGUAUAAGAUUCAUAAUUAAAUGGAUCAAUAUAACCUUGUUUGUGUAACUUGGUUAAGGGAGUCUCAUUGAUGUGUCCAAGCGUAUAGUGCCAGAUACAAGAUAGUUUUGGAUUAUCUUUCUUUACUUUAUUGACCUCUAUAUUGAGUAUGGGUCUCUUAAGAUCAAGAAUAUAGAGACUGUUCGAAUGUGUCCUUACACCAUAAUGUAUCUCUCCCUUCAAGAAAGAAGAACAAUUGGCCUUAAUGCAAAAUUUAAUAUGUCACGACCCAGUACUCCCCUCGAGCCCAUGACAAUCGUCGCUGUGUCCCGAUAGACACUCAUUAUCUGGAAUGCCAACCGGAACCUCGCAAGGCUUUAAUAUCAGUUUCUCAUUUUUCUUGUGAGUAACCAUUGCCAAAUAUCACGUUCUAAAAGAUUUUAAACUAUUUCCAAAUCAAAACAAUAGAAAAACAAUUUUUUUCUCACAGGGGCAUUUUGGUCAUUUUUUCACAAAAAUCUCGAAAUCCGCUAAAAAUGUAGUAUGCGAGUACAAAACACAUAAUUCAUAAUAAAAAAUAAAUUUGGAUGUCUAAAACAUUCGUUUAAAAUGAAAUUAUAACUAUUAAAAAAAAUAAAAAUAUUGAAUAAAAUAUUCAAUUUUCUCAUAAAACAAUAUUUUUAAAACACUGCAUAAAUAAUUUUUAUAGUGUAAAAGCAAAAUAAAUUCAUAUAUAUUGUAAUACAGUAAGUCAAAGUAUUUAAUUAAAUUUACAGAAACAAGUGGGCCAUCGAAUAACCAAAAGUAAGAAAGAUUGUGAACCUACAGUUUGAAGGAUGCAAAUCCAAUGGUAGCCUCGAUGAAAUUAGCUAUCUAUAAACUAUCCUGAGCCUGAAAUGGGUGAAAAUGAGGGUGCUGAGAUUAUAUAAUCCCAGUGAGUAAACAAAUACCAUCUAAAACAUCUAAAGUUGAGUAAAUAGAGACAGAUAAAAAAAUUUAACAUACUGUAAUUCAUCACCUUUCAACUCGUUUCAACCAAAUAAAAUCAAUUCAUAUAAAUCGAGUAAUCAACAUGGCUUAUGAAUUUCUUAAAACUUUGGCUUGAGCCAAAAUCAUUCUCAUACUCAAUUAUUAGGGAUACCAUGGUUGAGGGCUAUCCCAACUGAGACCGCCAAGGCUGUUAAAAAGUUAUGUACGCAUAAAUCGUGUUUUUAUUUUGAAAACAUAGCCGUUCCUUGGCAUUGGCUGAGUUCACCUUCACAUGGUGGUUGGGCAUGAAGUGAACUCUAAAGUGUUAACCUCAAGAGUUAUCCAUCCGGGUCUCUCACUGAGGUAUGAAUAUAAUAGGAUUACCGUGCCCCUCUAAUAGGCUGAUCCACGGAACCCAUCCACUGUAGCGAAUAAACCCACCAUACAAUAAAAUUUGCAAUAGCAUGACAUGGCAAUUAUUUUAUUUUACAACCUCUUAAGGCAAAUUAACAGUUCAUACAUUUUCAACACAUUUACCAAAUCAACCAUUCAUGCCAAUAUUAUCAUAAGCCAUUCAAUUCAAACCAUGAUUUAUAACACAACAAUUGGUCUCCAAUUACUCCAUUUUCCAAAACCAUCAUUCAAUUUCAAGACAAUUUUAUAAAAUCAUUUCAUUUAAUCACAUUUUGCUUAUAAAACAUAAAGAUUUGCCAUUUAAACUCAUUUUUCAUAAAAUCGCAAAAUCGGAUAAAAACAACUUUAGAUAAUUAAGACGAUAGUAAGGUUACUCACUGUUUCAGGAGUCGAAUUCCAAGUACUCCGAUUCUUGAUCCUCGGGGUACUAUCUCUUUACUUUUGCCAGAAUGCUCCCCACCUAGACAUAAUGCCAAUAAGCCAUUUACUANAGGAGUCGAAUUCCAAGUACUCCGAUUCUUGAUCCUCGGGGUACUAUCUCUUUACUUUUGCCAGAAUGCUCACCACCUAGACAUAAUGCACAAUAAGCCAUUUACUAUAUUGUGCUAAAUUGUUAUAAAACCAAUUUAGGCUUUAUACUAAUGUAUAAAAUGGGAUGCAAAUUGUUUGGAUUAUCAUCUAAACACGGUGUUCUACACAAAUUCAAUUAUGUACCUAAAUAAAACGGUAUUGGCCUAAUUUAAUCUAUCUCUUGAUUAAUUGGCCAAUAUGUCAAAUUUAACUCCAAAUAAAUUCCAUUUUUCUCCUAAUACUCCAAAUCAUCAAACACAAGUCAAAUAGCAUAAAAUCUAGCAAAAUCAUUUUCACAUUUUCUCUUGGAAAAUUAGGCCAUGGUGGGUGCAUCAAUACUAUGACUUUUCCUACUUGAUUUUCUCACCAUAAUUCAUCAUUUCCUAACCAAUUCACUUGAAAUUAAAUCAAAAUCAUCAUCCACACUCUACAUGGAAAAUUCAGGCAAUGAAGAAUCCAUGAAGAACAUGUGAUUUUUCUUACUUGUUUUCCUUUUAAACAUGAUAAAUCAACUAUAAAUACUAAAAUAUCUCAAAAUCUAACCAAAAUAAAUCAUCAAAUAUUCCCUCUCUAAAUUCAGUUAACCAUGAAUCCUUCAUGAUAUCUUGUGAUUCAACCAUGGAAAAUGCAAAAUAAUGCAUGGGAAAGGUAGAUCACAAGUCAAAAUCAAGAAAUUUUACCUUUGAUUGCUUGAUUACUUGAAUUUUCACACUUUUCCCUUGAAUUUUUCCACCUAGGGUUUGUGUUCUUCUUUUCUUCUUUUG
Molecule: long non-coding RNA, 97111 nt
Filed under: Theobroma cacao (cacao)
Lineage: Eukaryota; Viridiplantae; Streptophyta; Magnoliopsida; Malvales; Malvaceae
Description: long non-coding RNA (TCAC_LNC001023)
Source: RNAcentral